GGGAGAAGGGUGAUAAAGUUUUUGGGGAGCGCUCAGCGCGACUACUGGCUGCUUCAUCACGGACGAUCCGGUCGCCAACGACGACUUCUUCCCCGACGUCCACGACCUCCUCGACGACAUGGCAAGCGAGGACACCGACCCCAAGUCCAGCGCUUCUGCUGCUGCUGUCCAGUACGUGUUCAUGUCUUUCCUGUUAAAGGUUCUGCCACAGUUCCUUGUUCUAUUCCUUGUCCUACACAUGUUAGGUUCUACUUCAUAUAUGCUACUUGCUAUUCUGUCUGCUUUAGAUAUGAUAGGCUAUGGUUCAUAUAUGCAGAAGCUAUUUUCCUUCUCUCUGUCAGAAUGCAUGACUUGUUUUAUCUCUACUAUAUUAGUCAUGCUUUAUCUAGUAUUUCUGUUAAUAAAAUCAUUCGGUAAAUUGCUCAUAUUUCCAACAGAAUAAUACUGGCAUCUUCCGGCAAGAAAAUGUCCCGCACCAACAUUUCAUCCCAUGACAUUGUUGCAGGAUCGAGGAGUUCAGAAACCCUUGUGAGUAGGCAAUUACCGUGGGGAGUCCAAGGUUUUCUCGUACCAUCUCUAGCAAGCCAGGGAUCAGUCCGAUAUUGAUGUUAGUCCCAUCCCCGACCCAUCAAACGAGCCCCUCUUUCAGCAGUGCAACCCCCUUCAAUAUACUUCGCCAUGUGUACGAAAUUCCUUGUCUAGGUUCAGCUUCCAGUAAAGAAGUUGCCGGAAAAUACUUGGCCUUAAGAACUCGAGCACACAAAAAGUCAGGGACAGUGAGCAUGCGCCAAGCCUGCCUCACCAACAUGGCAAGGUUAAAACCAUGUAGAUCACGAAACCCUAACCCCCCCUUUGCUCUUCGACCUACUCAGCAACUCCCAGCUUAACCAAUGCACUUUGUUCAUCUUCUCUUGUUGUCCCCACCAGUAUCCGCAAAUCAUAGAUCCCAUCUGCUCACACAAAGAUUUCGUUAAGUCAAAGCAUGACAUUGCAAAUGUUGGGACCGCUUGUGCACAAGCCUUUAUCAGAACAUCCUUCGCUGCCCUUGAUAGUAAUCUUUCAAUCCAUCCUUGUAUCCUUUUCCAAAUCCUAUCUUUCUGUGUUCUCGCUGCUCCCACAUACACUGGAAGCCCCAAGUACCUUUCAGUUAUUGCUGAUAUCAUUCAAAAUAUAAUUAGUUAGACUCCGCCUCCCCCCGUGUCGCCUCCUCUGAGGCGACUCGGGGGCCAACCCUAGCGCCACCGCCGCGUUUCCCCCUCUCCUCCCCUCCCUCCGCCGCCGCCUGAGGGCCUCUGAGGCGCGGGUGCUCGGCCCCAAUGAUGGUGGCGUCGGGAUCUGGCGCCUCCUCUUCGUUGGAGGGCCUUGGCUCCCUGGGGCGGCGACCCCGGCCGGUGGGCGCGGUGCAGCCGGCGGGCUCUGGUGGGCAGCCUCCCACGGCCGCGCGGGCGGCGUGGGGGCUGCGGACGCUGGCACAGUGGCGAGUGGCGACUCCUCGCAAUCCGUCAUGGCUCCAUGUAGAAGAUCCACCCCUGCUCCGACCUGUCCCGAUCCAUGCUGGCACCGAUCCUUGGCGGCUGCUUUCGGCGUCCCCUAUUGCCGGCCUGGCGGAUCUGGCGUGCGGGUGAGGUUCUAGGGGAAACCCCUGGCUGGCGCGGCGGCCUCCCCAAAGUCGACGCCUUUGGCGCCGAUCCCCUUCCUGGAGGCUUGGGGGUGGAUCCUAUGCCUUCCGCCUCCUCCUCGAGCUAUGGCGAAAGCUUUUGUUCCCCUGUUCUGGGCGUCGACGGCACCCUGGUGUCGUGCUCCUUCUUGAAGGCGGCGGCUGGGAACAGCUCUUGGUGGCGGGGCUGCUGGUGGUGUGGUGGCGGUGCGACUUCGGCCUUCUACUUGGUGCUGCGCCUUGCUUCGCGGGACCAGAGGACGGUUUCUUUGGUGGAGCGGUGCUUCAUCCAUACAUUGAUGGCGACGGAACUUGACGGCAUGGCGCAGUGCAGAUUCGGAGUUCGAUGUGGGAGGAUGGACUCGUGUAGGAGGACGACGCUGUCUGUCGUCAUGGUGGCAUCGAUGGCAGAGAGACCUGGCAUGGUAGAUGCAACAGUACAGCUCUGAAGAUAGACUCGUGGCAGGUGGCUGCGGCGGCCUCAUACCCGGCAGGCGUCCUGGUUGAGGAGUGCGCCGGACUGGUAGGUACCCCAUAUCAGGCAGGCAUCCUGGUUGGGACCUCAGGUCUUAGAUGUUUAGGUCUUAGAUGUUUAGCUUUGGCUGCGAUGUCUGUUUGGUAUUAGGCCCAGGCUAUCAGUGCCCCUUCAUCAAUUGGAUAGGUGUAACGACAGUUGUUGCUUAGACGGUGGCUUUAGUCUUGCUGUUAUAUGACUUUGUAAGGUUUUGUAAGAAUAAUUAAUAAAGUGACCGUAUGCAUCAUCCAUAUGCAGAGACUGGGGGUCAUCCUCCUUUUCUAAAGAAAACCUUUCAGUUCUUGCUUCAGCCCGUAUAUGCAACACCUCAAGCACCCUUUGCCGAUCAGCAUGCCUUGUAUUCUUACUAAAAAACACCUGAGUACUUAUCAAAAUUGAUUGUCUGCCCUGAGCAAUUCUCAUAUAGUUCUAGUACAUUCUGCAGAGUGUUAGCACUUUCGCCAUUGGCUUUCAUUAGUACUAACGAAUCGUCUGCAAAUAACAAGUAGUUGAGACUCGGAGCAUUAUUACUCAGUUUUAUGCCCAUCAAACUUCCAUCCCCGUCCGCUUUAUUCAACAAAGACGAGAACCCUUCAGCACAAAUGAGGAGAAGGUACGGAGACAGGGGAUCACCUUGUCCUAAUCCUCGCUAUGGGACAAUCACAUCCGUAAAAUCCCAUUCACCUUCACCUUGUAUGAGACCGAGGAGACACAAUCAUAAUUCUUUCAAACCCCAUUUUCUCCAUCAUUCUCUCCAAGAAAGACCACUCCACACUAUCAUAAGCCUUGCUCAUAUCCAACUUGACCGCUGCAAAACCUUCUUUUCCCUUUCUUUUAUUCUGUAGAUAAUGUGUGCACUCAUAGGCUAGCAGAAUAUUAUUCGUGAUGAGUCGACCGGGGACAAAAGCACUUUGGUUUGGGGAUAUAAUUUCAACCAGAAUUUGCUUGAGUCUAUUUGCAAGUACCUUUGACACCAACUUGUAGACCACACUGUACAAACUAAUGGGUCUCAAGUCCUUCAUACUCUCUGGAUUCUUGGUUUUAGGGAUUAGAACCACACAUGUAUCAUUCCAACCUUCGGGCAUUGGGCCUCCAUUCAAUUCACUUAGCACCUCAUGCAAGACUUUUUCACCAACAAUAUCCCAACAUUUCUUGUAUAGAACAGUGAGGGCAUACCAUCCAGGCCAGGAGCUUUAAGAUCUCCGAUACUAUCAAGUGCACACAUCACUUCCUUCUCGGUGAACUCCUUGCAUUAGCAAUUCGUUCUCAUGGCCGGAGUAACUGGAGGGUCAACGUGACUCAAGAGCUCAUCCAAGCGAGUACCUGCAACAGAAGUAAAAAAGAUUAAUAAAAUAGUUAGAAUAACAGAAAAUACUCACCAGAUGAUAAUUAAAGGAGGAGGACUGCAUGGUCCAUGCCGUUUGUACUCCUUGGAUGCAUGGAUGUGCGCUGCUGCAUCUGCAUGGAGGGAGAUUAACGUGUCCUCGUUGACCGAAGGUUUCGCUUGGAGAUUUAAUGUCACCACGAUCAAUGCCCACAGAAACGCCAUCGAUCUCACUCUCUACAAAUAUAUAGCGACAACUAAUGGCAUGCACCACGGCACAUCAACAUCACAGCGUCCAUCUCCAUCCCCAUCGCCAUAGAUAGUUGAUCAACACCACCAUGGCCAGCCGUUGCCUCUUGUCCCUAUUACCGAAAAAGGGUUUCCCCCGCUUUGUAUUCCAAAACAAACCAUCAUAAUACAUAUUGCAAUGCUGAGGCGAGCAGCACAUCAAGCCCAAAGAAAAAGAAAAAAGGAUUGCCUCUUGUCCCUAUUCAUGUGCCUCAUCCUCGUAGUCUCCUCGUCAAUGACUAUCGAGCCAGGACCAUGGCCUGAAACACCAACACCACCGAGACCCGACUGCAUCAAGUCUGUGACAGACACCCCGCAAAAGUGCGCCGGGCAGGUCCUCCAGGCUCUUCUCUACGGCGAGGUGCACAUCACCAAGGACUGCUGCGAGGUGCUCCGCAGGGUCGGCGAGGAAACCUGCAUCAUCAACGAAAUGUGCAUACAAAUCGGCUAGCUAGCUGCUAGUCCGUCCUCAAGCAAGAUACGGUUCAACUUCACCCCAAUCCUAUUCCUGGGUGCAUGUGCACCUAUUUUCUUUCAUGUUGAGCUCACGGAAAACCUAAAAUCCUCUGUUUUUUCUGUUUCAUAAAAACUUGUUACCACAUAUAUAGUAAAACACGUACAAGAGCAUCUUAUUAUGACUUGGUCAACAUAACGGUAACAUUAUAAUAGUCUCUCUGCUUCAAAAUACAAGUGUGUAUUAUGUUUUUAAAAGUCACACAUACAUACGGCGUCGACUUAUAAUAUCUGACAGCAUCCCCCUAAAAAAAAUAUCUGACAGCAUCUAUGGUGACUAGAUCAAGAUUUUCUCGUUUACGUACUUAAUGAAUUGUGGUCUAACCAAGCGGUUAUAUUACUCCCUCGCAGAAAAAUAAUAAUUAUAUAAGUCUUCCGCGACGCGCACAUCACCAAGGACCGCUGCGAGGUGCUCCGCGGGGUCGGUGAUGAAACUUGCACCGUUAACCUCAUGUGUGCCUCCAUCGCGCCUAUACUUACAACAACAUCUUUCUGAGAAACGCCCCCGUGUUUCUCCCGUGCGGCCGACUAAACCCCUCCGCUCCGCUUUCGCCGGAGCACGCCGCAAGGCGAAGCCACUGUGCCCGCUGCUCGUGUCAUGUGGUUGCGUCGGGAACGGCGGAGGCUCUCUAUUCUGUUGGCAUCGGCGGCACGGUGACGCAGCUGCUCAGAUCCAGCAUGUCCGGUACCGGAGACCUAUGAAUCUUUUAUACGUGGCGUGUUACCAGCUGUAGAAAAGUAGGAAUGGUUUUGGUUUCCCGAUUCUUUUUAUUAAGAGAGGCAAAAGAUCUGCCUCAUUCAUUUAACUAGUAGAGUGCCCGUGCGUUGCUACGGGCAACAAUGUAAUUGAAUGAAUAAAAUAAAUAAUUAAAUACGAUAAAUAAUGUUAAUGGAACAUUGUAGAAUGGCAACAUUGAUCUCAGCACACCGCAAGCUUAGUCCACUACUUAAUGGGUUCCAUAACCAAACUUAUCCAAAGAGGACGACAACAUGGCCUGCAUUCUCCAUUUUAGUGUUGCCAACGUAAGCAGACCUAGCUGCCCAAUAGUAUCUAACUCAAACACAAACUUCAUAUCAUAGAAUCUCCUUUAAGACCGCUCCAUAUAUUCCUCGUCUCCAUGUUCAAACAUAGCCACGAGGGCCUCAGCGACUUGAUCUGCUUUAAUGCACCCGCCUUCCAAGUGUUCCACCUCUCAGGAGCAAUUGUCCUGCUGUAAACAACUGUUAGUUGUUUCAUCUUCUCAGGUAGUCCCAUGAAUCCACUUGUCAGACAGUCCAAUCAAUCCAAAAGAAAUAAAAAUCAUUUAUAAUUAGUAAACAAUUAUAGUGGAAAAGGACAAACAACAAUAGGAUCUUGAAUAAAAAACUCCACAUGCACAAGUAAAUUUUUAUAACAGCAGAUCCUCUCCCAUUCUCCACAUUCGUUUAUGAAAGAAAUUCAAAAUAUAUAGUACCAAUCCAAGAAAAAUAGAGUCUAAAAGAACCGGAUCGUCCUACAUCUAUGGCAAAACUGCCUGCUUGCAGUUGAGAUAAUGACUUUCUCAAAAUGACAGAUCCUCCAAAAGUGAUAAAAAAGUAGGCUAAUUAAUGUUUUCAACUGAAGAUGGAUAGGAAAAAACUGAAGACGGCCAGGGCUUAAACCAACAUUUUUUGGCAUGCUGACUUUUAGCUCUAAUAAAAAAGAAAAGAACAAAGAACACAAUAAAAGUGGCAAAAGGAAGUAUGGUGCAAAAAACUCCAUGGCAAAACUUUUUAUACUGAUAUCCAAAGUUGCGUCACAGAUUAUGUAUUCUUUGUGUUGUUCUUUUUAAAACUACACGCUCGCAAGGAAGUAUAAAAACAAAAAUAUAUCAGUAAGUACAUACCUUGCAACAUAAGGGUCAAUUCAUUACAUUUUUUAUCUAAAAAGGCUUUCGUCGCACUUUAUAUAUAAAGCAACCACCACACAUUACAACCAGCAACAAGAAAGGAAAAGAAAAGAAAAAUAAAAUUGACAAGAUACAAACACUACAGAACAGCAAACACUGGCCUCAGAUCAUGCCAACAACGCGACUGCAACAAGGGGGCAAUUCGUCACAGGAGGAAAGCUACGCUCCAUCAACUCCCAAGGGUCCCUGUUGUCCCACCUUCCGUCGUUGUCUCCGAAGAGGGCACCCCUGCCCUCUUGUCUUGGAUCGAAGGACGCCGUUCCUCUCACAGGAACACAUACGCCGCCACCGUCUCCGACCAAGACCAAGAACCCCACACCACUGCCGAGCAAGAACACUACCGAAGAAUUGGCAGAGCACCACCGUGUCGAUCCCCUGACCCCUAUGGACUCCCAAGGUGGCACUUUCACGAAGUAAUCGAUGUCGAUGUGCCGUCACCACCCAAUCAAGAGAUUUUAGGCUUUCGCCGCCUGGGACCAGGGGGCGGAGGGUGGGAAGACGGUCUCGAUGUUGCCCACCAGAGGGAGAAACGGCGCCGAGAGCAUCGCUGACUGGCACCGCCAGUCAAGGGUUUCCCCUGACCCCGAGCCCGCACCUCCAUUGCAGCGCCAACCAUCCAAACAGGAUGCCCCGGGGAAACCCACAACCUGCUGGCAGAGAAAAACAGGCGCCGGAGCAGCCACUAUCUUCAGAUUGGGACCACGCCCGCCGCCGCCUCGCCACCCAGUAGGGCCAAGACGGUGCACCACUGCACCGACUCCCCCGCCCCCCGUAGAGGAAGGAGAGGCGCCCUCUUCAUCAGUGGUCGCCGCCACCGCAAGCCCUUGGGGUCCAGACCAGACGCUCUGGGUCAGACCCGUACCGCACCGCCGCGGAGCUGCACCGCCACUGGAUCCAUGCAUCCCCACCGCUGGACCCAACUCCCCCACGAGCGACGGCCCGCACCGCCGAGAUCCCGACAAGGGGAGGAAGGAGAGAAGCCCCGCCGCUGCUAGCGCCGCAUGGGCUUCGCCCGACGUACGCCCUCCGGCAGCAGCGAGGGGGAGGGAAGGNNNNNNNNNNNNNNNNNNNNNNNNNNNNNNNNNNNNNNNNNNNNNNNNNNNNNNNNNNNNNNNNNNNNNNNNNNNNNNNNNNNNNNNNNNNNNNNNNNNNNNNNNNNNNNNNNNNNNNNNNNNNNNNNNNNNNNNNNNNNNNNNNNNNNNNNNNNNNNNNNNNNNNNNNNNNNNNNNNNNNNNNNNNNNNNNNNNNNNNNNNNNNNNNNNNNNNNNNNNNNNNNNNNNNNNNNNNNNNNNNNNNNNNNNNNNNNNNNNNNNNNNNNNNNNNNNNNNNNNNNNNNNNNNNNNNNNNNNNNNNNNNNNNNNNNNNNNNNNNNNNNNNNNNNNNNNNNNNNNNNNNNNNNNNNNNNNNNNNNNNNNNNNNNNNNNNNNNNNNNNNNNNNNNNNNNNNNNNNNNNNNNNNNNNNNNNNNNNNNNNNNNNNNNNNNNNNNNNNNNNNNNNNNNNNNNNNNNNNNNGUCGUGGGAGGGAGGUUCAGUUCACAAGCAAUGACUAAUAGCAGUAACAUAACACCCCAAGUACCAAGCAAUUUACCUCUAGUCCUUUUGAUAACCAUGCAAGUGGCUUCAGGUUCACGAACACGCUGGGUAUGUUUAGCUCCCUCUAGUUCUUUUGACAACCAUGCAAGUGGCUUCAGGUUCACGAACACGCUGGAUAGGUUUAGCUCCGGUACAAAAAGGUUCAAACCUGAGAAGUCAAAAUUUUAAAAUAGUUCAACUAACAAGAGCUUGUGUACCGUGUUGGAUAGGUUUACCUCCAUCAAAAUCUUAAUUCUCUCAUAUUACUCAAGGAUGUAACUUAUUAGCUUCUAUAAAUCUCUAGAAUCAGCAACUGUCCUUGAUUUAUUAGGAUUAACACAUUUACCGGAAGAUGUAUUGUUGAUCUGCAUAAUUACUAAAAGAGCAAAAACAAACAUUCUGCAUAUAUAUCAUUGAAUCUGCAUAUUAUUAUCUCUACGUACUGACAAAACCCGUACGAGUUCAACACAGAGACACAUAAAAAAUAGAGAAUUAUGUUAUUGAUUGGCCAAAGAACAAGCAACAGAACAAUGCAUCUCAUGUCAAUUUCCACACCGCCAAUGCCGAGUCUCAUCCAUGGUUUACAAACAAUUUUAAAUAUAUAAAGAGCCAUCCGAGUUGGCAAGUAACAUCCAUUAAAAAAAUUAUGCUUUUCAAUGACAAUCACCUCCACAAGCAAAACUAUAAAAUGAAAUUUGUUGCAUCAUCAUUAAACCGUCAUAUGUAUACGAACGGAAUCAAUCGCGUGCUUGGAGAGGAGUUUGCUAGGGUUUUGAUCCAUAGAAGCAACGCGGAGGAAAAAAGGGACACAUGUGGGAGUAAGGGUUUCUUCUAUACUGCAACCAUGUCGGGCUCCGAUGAGCCCGGCGGCGUCCUCAGGAGGCCAGGAGCUCCACACCUUCCUCGAUGCCGCUGGCAUAGGUUUGAGUCUGUGGUGUCAAAUCGCUAGGUCUCCUGCGUCAGUGCCUGAAUUGUCAUUGUUGAACUGCAUGUUCAUCCACCUGUCGUUCUUGCAUGGCGUACAAGCAAGUUUGCUGACAAUAACUGGGUAUUAUGGAGCAGCGCAUACCUUUUUAUUCCCUAUAAUCAUUUUCCUUGCUUGUAGACAAUCUGAAUCAUUUAUACAGAAGCUACAAAUGUUGGUGCAAUCUAGCCGUCGUCUUCAUGAGUCGACCCCAAAAUGCAUUCCAAAGCUAACAGUUGGGUCGAUCGUAUCAUCCCUGUAAUGUCAUUACAAGAAAUUCAGUGAACUUCAAAUAAAAGCACAACGGUAGGACGAUUGGAUAAAGUGAGUAAUGCACAUGCAACAUCGAAGGUAAAUCUCUGGCAUCAAAACUUGGGUUUCCUGUGUCAUAACAAAAUAUGGUAUUGACACUUAAAUAUCUAUAUAGAAGUUCAGAAGUUGCUUUCAACGCUUAUCAUAAGAAUCCUUUUUACAAGAUAACUUGGGGCUUCUUACACCAUACCAAACUUAGUUCAACAGCAAACAAAUUAAGUGUCUAAUCAUAGCGAGCUAGUAGCCCUCUAAAUCCCACGAAUGAAAUAGGUACGACCAUGAAAGAUUUCUUUCUUUACUUGAUCAUUUUCAAAAAGCUUGUUCAUAUAACUGGAAACCAUCGCGCGGACUAUCCCUCGCCUAGAGCAUCGACUCUACAAAUAUUACACAUUUUGUCACUGGGCACUCCUGAAUCAUAAGGUACAGGCAUGGAGCACACGACGCAAUAGAGCAGAAGAGAAUGAUGCACCUGAAACUUUCGCACCACAUUAAGGUUCGUGGGAUUCUUGUCCGGUGAAACAACUUGGCCUAUAGGAACCCAAAUAUACCAGCACAACUAAAUUAGAACCAAUAAGGCAAUGCACAUAUAGCCAGAAUUUUAUAGAAGGAUCACGCGCCUUGUGAGCAUACACCAUUCCUCCAGCCACUUGUAAUGGCAGCAUGGAGCGCACAAGCUGGGCAGUUGAGAUGCAUCCUCCGUUGCCUCCGUCAAAUGCGCGGAAGGCCUCGGCAACCUGCAAGUGGUCUACUGAGAUAGAGGAGCGACAAGGUCAGAGGAGAAGCUGCGAAGGAGAGGUGACCUCGUCGAAGCUGUUACCAUCAGUGUACCAAUCUCGUCCCGUGCGGGGUAGGAGGCCGAGCGAGCGGGAGCGUGAUUAUCUCAAGCCUGCUAGUCUUGCCGCCGUCGACGUUAAGCAGGAUGUCCAGGGCAAACGUUUGAUCAACGCAAGCAACGCUAAUCUGCUGAUGGUUCAAGGCAGCACCCAUUCAUCAUUUAUAUACAUAAUAGUUCAUGCCUGCAGCCUGCACUGUAGGACAUCUGAUAGGUGUGCUCCUCUAAUUCAUUCAAUGAAAAUGAAAAGUUGAGUCGUGAAAAACCUCGGAAAUACAAUCUUGGCUGAACGAUUUCCAACGGAGAAGAAAUCAAUGAAAAACUUACCAGCCAAAACAGCAGCCCACGCGUCCGUGCCAGGGCUCGCCAUCGUCCUUUGACUAUACGAGACCAUGGAGGGAGGGGAGGGAGGACCGCGGAGCACGCGUCCAGCAUGGCACCAUGGGGUCGAAUAGCACGAGUCCAUAUCGAUGAAGGGCGGGAUGCGGGGAACCAAGCAUUGGCGAGGCGCGGUCGUGGAGGUCGAGCGGCGGCCGAGGAGUGGCCGGUGGAUCCCGAUAUCCCGUCGCACCCAUGCACAGUAGUGGAGGCCGGAUCCCGUCGUGAGUGGAGGCCGCGACCAUCGCGGCACCAGUGGAGACCGUGGUUAGGCGGUGUCGCAGGCGGCGAUGCGUUCAGAGGAGGAUCGGAAGGCUGCGGCCGCCAUGGCGUCCGUGGGGAACGGGGGCGGCGUCGUAGGUGAGAGGGUAAUAGGGUAGGGUGUGAGCGUGGGAAGGAUUAUGUUUCAUCACACGGUUUUUUCUGGGUUUUUUUCACCUGCUCCACGGGAAUAAAAAUGGGUGGGGGUGAGGGGAGGGAGUUGCGAUCGAUGGGAAGGGGAGUAGGGACGAACGAACGAACGAGGUAGGAACUGUGCCAUUAGGAAAGUUUGUUGUUCGAAAAGCCGAGGAUCGAUAAAUUAGGAAAGUUAAGAUUUGGAAUUGAUUGCGAUUUUAUUGUUUGGUAAGUGCUAUCAGAUCCUGCCUAUUUGUAACAUAUUUGGUUAGGAAAGUUUGAAAAGGUUAGGAAAUUUUUUAUUGGGAUAGUAAAAAAAUCAACAUGAGGAUAUGGUGGUGGGAGUUGGGACAAAAAACCCAGACGAAAGGGGUGGGACUAUUCAACCAACUCGUGCAUUAGAAGUAGAGAUAAGAGGAAUAGAGUUUAUGGUCGUGUUACAACACAGACAGCGCCGCAACAACACAAAUAAAGGUGACCAACUACUCUCGCAUCAUCAAGUAUCCCAACAUUCUAGCACCCACAGUUACCCAAAGCAUGGCCUCCUUCUUGAUGUUGGCGAGUAGGACCGUCGGUGGGGCACUCUUCUGACGUAACACUCGCACAUUCCUCUCGUUUCAAAUGGUCCAGGCGACGAACAUGGUGAGCGAGGCCAUCGCCUUCCUGUUGGGGGUAGAUGUGUAUUCAGAAAACCAGAAAAUGUUACUCCACCGAGUUCUGUCAACACAUUAUUUGGAACGUGGCUUAACGGGAUAGAGCCCGAAUUAGCGAGACAUAUUCGCGUAGGAGUCUGUACCUUGUUAUGGGCACUCUGGAAUUGCAGAAAUGAUUUGGUUUUUAACAGGACAACAUGCAUUCAUUUUUUGCAGGUUAUUUUCCGAGCCACGACGUUGAUCCGUUCAUGGUCGCUACUCACUCCGACGGAGGCCAAGGAGCGUUUGGUUACUGGAUCUAUCCGCUGGAAGAUGGUUGCUCGGGAUAUCUUCAACCGGUUUGGAUGGCGGUCAUGUAAUAGGAUAGGCAAUUAGUUUACCUAUCUCUCUUUUGCCAGCCGGUUGUGGCGUCCUUUAUUUGGCUAGUUUGGCUUCUAGCCCUUUUAGCUCUGUGUGAACUCCUUUUUAUUUUCAUUUGGAGACUUUAAGACCUUGUUGGAACCUAUUUAUUUGUUCAAUAAGAUGGCCGUAUGCAUCGUUCUGAUGCAGAAACCGGGGAAUCCCCCUUUUCGGAAAAAAAAUAUCAGAAAAUGUGAUACUACCAACAAUAUGCACCUCGCUUUUGUGGCGACUUGCUAUACUUGUAUUCAGUUUGCGAUAUUAGGCAGUUGAUGGGCUACAUAUCUAAUGCUCCAGUGCAGAAAAGAAGCCUUGAGGAAUUCUAUGCUCCAGUCCAGUCCAGUGUUUGUCCCCAAUUCUAAUGCUCUCGCUGUUGCUUCGUCUUGCAAGCAAGAAGCAGUGUCUGCAAAAGGGUCUUGUGUACUCUUUGAUGCAAUGAAUGAAUGCUUCAGGAUGUAGAUCCUGAUGCUGAACCUGAGCGUGCAGUCUGAAGCUGCGUUCAGAAAGACCGACUCUACUCUGGGUGGCUAGCUAAUUAACUAAGCUGCAAACAUUUCCAGAAUGUGAAAAAUGCCAACCACGCGAGAUACAGAAAUACUAGUCCAAUAUGUGUGCUCUGCCGCGGCUCUUUGGUCCGACGCCACACGGGAAUACAUAUGGUAAAUUAUCAGGUCUGAAAAGAUUUGUGUGCAAUUUGUUUUGUCAUGUAUUUAGAUAAACUUAUACCAGUAGUUCAGAACAGCUAGUUCUUACUCAUUUGCCAUGAAAAAGUAGUUUCAAAUUUAAAUAAAAUGGAAAAUCCAUUCAAACAUCAAUAUGUGCUUCUAACAAAAUUCCCAUACUUCAUAUUAGUUACUACUAGUAUUUGUUAAUGUCAUGUGUGGGUUGUUGAUAGGAUUUUCCUUGUCUUCCAUUUUUGGUUACACAAUCUAUUCAAUUUUUAAGAUGUGUUACUUACUUAUUCUUUGUUGCAUGCACAGCUAAUGACAUAAAAUUGGCUUCUAACUUCUAAGUGCUUAACUAUUUGGGAUAUGUUUCUCAUGGAACUUUCGUGGUGGCUUAGCGAUGACUUGUAAUUUCAACUCAAAAUGUUAAGUAGUUGGUGCCCGAUUAAAAUUUUGGAAGUAGCUUCUUUUUUGUGUCCUAGCUGCUGCACCUUGUGAAUCCUCGUUACUCGGCCCUUGCUGUAAGAGACCUGUUACAUUUUUCUUGCUUUUUCGAAGAGAAUCAGCCUGCGGUAAGUUGAUUGACUUGUUCAAGCUUGUAAACUGCUACUAGCUAGCUAGUGCCAAAAUUUUCCGUCAUUGCAAUGCCUAAUCAUGGAUGUAAUCUGAGCUAAUCAUUGGAUAUGAUAUAUGAUACCAAAUUUGAGGUCAGUUACAGUACUCCGUCAUUGUGUUACUACCACUGUAGUGCCCCCUACAACCUGUUCAGGUGUUCGAUCGAUCGAUCGUCCGAGAGCGCGCAUGUUUUUGGUGGCCACACCCUUUAUGUGGUAAGCCAGAACCUGGCAUCCAAGAACUCACCUCUCAACUAAAAUGGCAUAUGGCCAUGUGCUCUGUCCUAUUGUUGUAGUAUUUGAACAGUAUCAACAACUAAUCCUAUCGACGGUGGUAGAUUACACGGUUACGUUACGUGCUGAUCAGCAAAGCUGCAGUACGAUAAUCAAUAUAACUCAAAGCUACUUGAGGGGAUAUACAGGCAAAACAAAACCAAUUCUUGUAAAUACAUCAGUAGUCAUAGUACCGUAUUUCAUCAAGGCACCAACUGCUUAAUAUCAUGACAAGUCACACUACUCGGAUUUUAUUCCUGAAGAUAUCAACAUGAGCAUAGAGAUGGAGAAAAAUGAACAGUCAGUUCCUUAGUACUAUUAGGUUUCUACUACAUCAAGGCACUAACUGCCUAAAUAUCAUGAACUGAAUACAAGUACAAUAAGUCACUAAUAAGCCACCAAAUAUGAAAUUUUAUUUAAGCACUCAGCACAAGCUAAAUCAUGCUGUUAGACUUCAAGAAGCGCAUGCUCAAGCUAGUGCAAUACAAAAAAAUGACAAUUCAGAAGUAUUCCUAAUAAAUAGCAUGUGUACCGGAGGAUUCUGGUUAGAAACACCGCACAUAUUUUAAAAAUUCCAUUUUACUCAUAUUUUAUUAAACUACUUUCAAGAUUCUUUGAUAUCUAGUAUUCCCGAAGGCAUUAACUAAAUUAAUUUGUGAAAAAAAUGCAACUUAUAGCAGUCACAACUAAGCCACCAAAAAUAUAUAUGCAUAACAUGACAUUACAUAACAAAGUUUAGUAAAAAAACGGCUGCACUACAAGUACGGGCCAAAGAACGCGCUGAGCGCGGCGAAGUCGCCGACGUCACCGCCAUCCCCGCCGUCGUCCUCAUUGUCCUUCUCCUCCUUGACGCGGCCGCCCCGUCUGGACCCCUGCCCGGCGUCGCCCUGGCGGACCGGCGGCGGCGGCGCGUCGUCGUCGCUGUCGUCAUCGAGGACGACGACGCCUCCCUCGUCGCGGCCACGGCGCGAGCAGCGAACUGCUCGUAGGCGCGGCACUGGCGCUCCAGCUCCGUCCGCACCCAAUCUUCGCGCGCCCACUUCAAGGCCGCUGCGUCGUCGAGCUCCUCCGUCACCCCACCGGCGAGCCCUGGCUCCGGCUUCACGACGGCGAGCCCCGGCUCCGUCUUCGGUUAUCUCCGCAUGCCUCGGUUUUCUUAUGUAGUUACUUUGUGAUAAUCAUAGCAAUGAUAUUGUCCUUCCAAACCUGGAAAAGAAGUGUUUUUACAAGAGUAGACAACUGCCUUGGUUGAGGAGCUCCUUCUUGAUGAAGAAUAUGUACGCAUAGCUUGUAUGCACUCUUAGUAGUUCCCGUUCAAGUUAUAGGGGGGUUUGGAGAAUAAUGUUUGCUGCCUAAACAUCAAAGAGAGAGUAAACAAGAUUUUCAUUCCAAGAUUUAUGGUUAGGUUACCAUAGAUCUUUCAAAUUGGAGGGAUAAAUGUAAGGCUGGUGCUGAAUUAUGUGAUGAUGAUAAAAAGAGCUCCAAAUAGAACACCAUGGGGGAACUCCAUAUCAAUACAUUACCCUCGACAAGUUGAUAGAAAGAGUUAGAGUAAAGCAUAGGGCAAACUUUAAUAAUGGCAGUCCAAAAGGAAGAUUUGUGGACAUUAGGCCUAGCUCUCCAAAUGGAGGUGUCAUGGAAGUAUUUAGCUUUGAGAACUCUGGCCAUAAGACUUUCAAGGCAUUAUGCAAUUCUCCAAGCUGCAGAGAGGAUUAGGCUUGGAUGUUCCUUAUUCCUAACCCACCAUCCCUUUUAGGAGUGCAAAUACCCUUCCAAGCUCUCAGGCAUAAAGUUUUGCCUUUCCGCCAAAAGUUUCUUAUAAUAGCAUCUAAUUUGGCAAUCAGUUUUCUGGGCAGCUGAAGAUUUGUCAUGUAGUACAUCGAAAUAGAAACAAAGACGAAAUUAAUAAGAAUUAGGCCCUGUUCAGUGUCCCGGAGCUGGUGGAGCUACAGUUCAAAUUGACGGAGCUUCAUUUUCCUCGCUCCGCAGAUUCCGGGAGUUGGUGGAUUACCAGACAGGGUCCUAAUCUUGCAGCAUGAGAAACCUCUUCCUCACAUGUCCCUAACAAAGUUAAAAAAAAAAACUUGAUGGGCCUUUCCAGCGCAUGACAUAAUUUAGACCACUUGUGUACAUGGGCUGAAAGCGUUGAAGCAUCUCAUGGACUUGGGCCGGCCAAGCGUCAAGUAUACAGCAGAACCAACCAAGCAGCCAGGGCUCCAGAAUCUCCAUCACUCCGGCAAUGGCGGCAGUGGCUUUGCCACCAGCUAAACCUCCGUCGAUCUCGUCCACGACCAUGACCACCACCACCACCACCACCGCUACCGCCGCCGACGGAACCACCACCACAACCCUAAUCGCCUCCGCCGCCGGUGGCACCACUGCCAUCACAACCACCACCACGAUCAAAACCACCUCCGCCGCCGAUGGCACCACCACCAUCACAACCACAACCAUCACCACCACCGCACCACCAACCACCUCUGCUGUCGCCACCACCACCGUAUCCUCCCUCGGACAGGACCAGCUUGUCGAGAUCUUCCUCCGCCUGCCCAACCUGCCGGCCCUCAUCCGCGCCGCGCUCACCUGCCGCUCCUGGCUCGGCGCCGUCCGCUCCUCCCCGUCCUUCCGCCGCCUCUUCCGCGUCCUCCACCGGACGCCCCCCAUCGGCCUCUUCCUCAACAUCGACGGCGCUGCCACCCCCUCCUUCGUCCCCCUCCGCCGCUCAGAUCCGGAGGUCACCGCCGCCCUCCGCCGCGGCGACUUCUUCCUCACCUCCCUCCCAGUGAAGGCCGGCACGUUAACGACCUGGGGUGUCAUGGACUGCCGCGACGGUUACAUCCUCCUAUGGAACAAGCUCGAUAGGCCGUCAGUGGACAAGCCCUCCGUCGCCGUCGUGAACCCCAUGACCUGGGCCGUGGACAUCAUCCCGUUGCCCGGCAAUGUCAAGGCUGGGAAACGUCGCAAUUUCGCCUUCCUUGGUUUCCACCUGCUGUGCUCCGAUGAGAAGCCCUCGUCCUUCGGCGUCGUCUGUGUCUGCGGGGAUAAGCUAAGGGUUCGUCUCGCCGUCUUCUCGUCCGAGACGUGGGAUUGGGUUGUCCACCCGUGGGUGGAAAUCUAUGGACGCAAGAAUCUAAAGUUUGGUUCUGGCACACUCGUGGAUGGGUCUGUUUACUGGCCUUUCCAUGGCGAAGGGCGCAUGAUAAGGAUCGACACUGCGACCAUGGAUAUCACAUCUGUGGAUCUACCCCCGCAGGUGACGGUGGAGGGGUGCAAUUUCAUGGCUGGGGAGACCAAGGAUGCCCAACUCUGCAUUGUCUAUGCAUCUGAUGAUUUUGCUCUUCAUGUUUGGACCCGCGGUGUGGAUGGUGAUGGGAUUGAGAUUUGGGUGCCGCAGAAGACAAUUGGUCUGAGUGAAAUUGAUAGGAUCACUAUGGACCUGGAGGGCGACCUCGAAGUCGUGCAGGUUAGGUCUGGAUGCGUGUACUUGUCCACAACAUGCAUGACACCCGUUGGUACAUUCCGCUGCUGGUUCUUCUCCCUUUCACUGGAGACAAUGGAGCUUGAGUUACUGGUCGAGGGAUGCUUUGAUGGGGGUGCCUGUCCGUAUAUUAUGGCCUGGCCUCCUUGUUUGGUUGGUGAUGAUGGGAGCAUCGGACAUGAAGUUGAAGGUUCUCAAUGAAGCCUGCAGUUGUUUAUCAUAGGAGGCAAUUUAUGGAAGUUUAUGGGUAUGAGUUAAUCUUUAUUAUUUACUUUGUUGAUGCAAAAUAAUAUCUAAUUGGCAUUGAAAACUGGGAUAUCAUUCCUUUGUAUCUUAAGUAAUGGUUAAUCACAUUAGAAAGCUUUAGAUGCUUUAAAAUUAUUGGUUCAGUUCUGCAGUUAGUGAAUUUGAUGGAAGAUCAGAUUUUCGUCUACUGCAAACUUUCUGUGGGAUACUGCUAUGUUACAUUUGCAGCUAGGACUAAUUUGUUUCUGCAGUUUGUGUUUGUCCUUUAUUUGGAGAAAAACGGGACUGCUAGUUCUGGAAAGUAAUUAUAAUAUUCUGAACUUUCAGAUGUGCAUAAAGUUCGAAAAAUGAAAUUUUGAUAUGCACCAGUGAUUCUAACAAGAUUCCCUGUAUACGAAUUACUUUUUUUGUAACUGCAUAAUCUCUUAAGUUUGGAGGAUCUUUUUUCAGCCUUGUUUGUUCUUUGUUGUGCGCACAACUAGUAAUAUGCUUAUCUGUUAUUUUUCUUCUGAAUAUGUUCCCACCUUACUUUUGUGGUGGCUCAGUUGCGACUUGUUAUACUUGUAUUUCAGUUUACAAUGUUAGCCAGCUGGCCCCUUACUUGACUAGAUAUCAGAGAGUUUUGAAAGUAGUUACCGUUUGUUGCAUUAUUUCUUCAUCUGCUGUUUACUGUUUUGCUCUAUUUUAACUGCUACCAGUUUAUGUUCAGUCAUAAAAAAAUGUCAAGCGUCAACUAUGUUCAGUUUCUUUGGAGUAUAAGAUCACCUUAUUUGCAAGAAAGUUGUUGUGUUUUUUUUAAUUUUUUUGUUUAGAAGAGUGAAUUGCACAAGUUGCAUACUGAAACAUUGCACCAAAGGGUAGAAUUUACACAGACUAACACUGUGUUUUUGUGAUGCAAAAUAGUAGCAGGGGAGCUUGGCGUUUUUUGGCGAAGAGCAGGGGAACCUGCGGAUGGGUGGGCGUGCAACUGCAUAGGAAUGCAUUUCUGUUCAGUGCUCAUGUGAAGUUGGGAAUCAGCAUGAUGAUGGAUUUGUAGAAAGACUGUAUUGCCUAGAUUGUGGUCAAUGCUCAGAAUGAUGUAGUGAGUUUGUUGCUUUGCCAAUUGCAAUGAAGUGUAGUGUCAUGCCAGAACGUUCAAUAACUGAUCAUCUCUCUCCUUUUCGAUUAUUUAAGAGCGUUCAGCCUUCAGUAUGCUGCAUUCAGAUGCACCAUUUUGCGGCAAAGAACCAGGUUCAAGUGAGUAGUGAUUUCACUGGCAGAGAUGUGAAUUUUGAAUGGAAAUUCCAGCACCUAUGAAUCUUUGGUAGGUGGCGUGUUACCAGCUGGGGAACAAGUAGAAAUAGUUUUGGUUUCCUUGAUGUGCCGAAAAUCAGAAAAUAAAAAAUAUGCACCUCGCUUUUGUGGCGACUUGCUAUACUUGUAUUCAGUUUGCGAUAUUAAGCAGUUGAUGGGCUAGAUAUCUAAUACUCCAGUGCAGAAAAGAAGCCUCGAGGAAUUGUGAUGCUCCAGUCCAGUCCAGUGUCUGGCCCCAACUAGCCAGGACGCUGUUGCUUCUGUCUUGCAAGUAACCGGUCAAAAAGACGGCAUUUCUACACAAUGGCGCUAGAGCAGCAACAAGCAGUGCCUGCAAAAGGUCUUGUGUAAAUUGGACUAGUACUCUUUUGAUGCGAUGAAUGAAUGAAUGGUUCAUGAUGUAGAUCCUGAUGCCGACCCAGAGCGUGCAGUCUGAAGCUGCUUUCAGAAAGACCGACUCUACUCUAGGCGGCUAGCUAAUUAACUGAGCUGCAAACAUUUUCAGAAUGUGAAAAAUGCCACACCGGAAUGUUGUGGUAAAUCAUCACGUCUCGAAAGAUUUGUGUGCUCUGCCGCGGCUCUUUGGUCCGACGUCCAACGCCACACCGGAAUGUUGUGGUAAAUCAUCACGUCUCGAAAGAUUUGUGUGCUCUGCCGCGGCUCUUUGGUCCGACGUCCAACGCCACACCGGAAUGUUGUGGUAAAUCAUCACGUCUCGAAAGAUUUGUGUCCACUUUAUGCAAUUUUUUUGCCAUGUAGUUGGGUAAACUUAUAUCAGUAGUUCAGUAUAGCUAGUUCUUACUCAUUUGCUAUGAAAAAGUAGUUUUAAAUUUUAAUACAAUGAUAAUUCAUUCAAACAUCAAUACGUGCUUCUGACAAAAAUCCCAUACUGCAUACGUGCUUCUGACAAAUAUCAUGGAUGUAUCAAGUCACGUUUUAGUAUUAGAUACAUCCGUAUCUAGAAAAUCUAAGACAAGAAUUUUGGGAUGGAGGGAGUACUAGCAUUUGUUAAUGUGAUGUGUGGAUUGUUGAUAGGAUUUUUCUUGUCUUCUGUUUUUGGUUACACAAUAUAUUCAAUUUUAAAGAUGUCUUAGUUAUUCUUUGUUGCAUGCCCAGCUAAUGACAUAAAAAUUGGCUUCUACUCCCUACGUAUCAAAAUAUAAGACAUUUUCUAGGCUAGUUUAGCCUAGAAAAACGUCUUGUAUUUUGGUACGGAGGUAGUAAGUGCUUAACUAUUUGGGAUAUGUUUCUCAUGAAACUUUCGUGGUGGCUUAGCAAUGACUUGUAAUUUCAACUCAAAGUGUUAAGUAGUUGGUGCCUGAUUAAUAGUAUUGCAAGUACGUAGUUUCUUCUUUUUUGCGUCCUAGCUGCUGCACCGUCAAUCCUGCAUGUAUCCUCGUUCCUCGCCCUUGCUGCAAGAGACCUGUUCCGUUUUUCUGAUGAAUCAGCAUAUUUCUGGGAAGAGAAUCAGCAUGCGGUAAGUUGAAUGACUUGUUGGAACUUGUAAAGAACUGCUAGUGCCAAACAUUUUCCGACAUUGCAUGCAAUGCCUAAUCAUGGAUGUAAUCUGAGCUAAUCCUUGGAUGUGAAAUAUGAUACGAAAUUUGAGGCCAGUUACAAUACUCAAUCACCAUGAAAGGAGAUCCUAAUCAAGGUUGGUAGCCAACAUAAGACACUAACCGUUGAAUCGGACAAGUACGAGUGCUGAUAUCUCUGUGACCGACCUCACCUCGUGAUAAGAGCAUUGUUGGAGCAUAUCGAUCUUCAUACUAGUAAUAUUUCAUAUCAUUGGCAUUCACAUUCUGGAAAGUCGGUCUUUCUUAAAGCAUACAUUCUGGGUCAUCAUACAUUCUGAAGCAUUGCAACAGAAGAGUACAAGAGUUCAGACAGACCCUUUGCAAGUUGAGGCGCCGGCGCUGCACCUUGAUGCUAUAGCUAGCAGCCUCGUGCUCUAUCAUGGAGAAAUGCCUCGAUGAUCGCCAGGGCCAGGAGUGGCGCUCCCUUCAGAACUGGUGCCGUGUAUCAUCAGAUGUGCUAACGAGGAGCUCUGGGUGUCGAGGCCUGAACUGGGGUGGUUUCACACCCCUAGAAUAUAGGGUGUUUCUUAUUAAUAAAAUGGCCGCAUGCAUCUUUCUGAUGCAGAGGCCGGGGGAUAACCUACUUUUCGAAAAAAAGGACAAGGUGUUUGUUUGCCUGGACUCGAUCGGUGUCGGGCCAAGACCAAGACCACUGUAGUACCCCCUCCAACCUGUUAAGGCGUUCAAUCAUCUGAGUGCGCGCAUGUUUUUGGUGGCCACACCCUUUAUGUGGCAUCCAUAGGCACCAAACAAACAAACUUGCCCAUGUGCUAUGAGCCUAUGAGUUAAGUGGGAUAUGGCCAUGUGCCCUGUCCUACUGUUGUAGUAUUUGAACAGAAUGAACAACUAAUCCUAUCGCGUUAAAGAGUGGUAGAUUAUAGGGUUACGUUACAUGUUGAUCAGCAAAUCAAUACGAUAAUCGAUAUAACUCAAAGCUACUUGAGGGAAUACACAGGCAAAACAAAACCAAUUCUUGUAAACACAUCGGUCACAUGACAUGAAUUCCAUUCCUAGUAAAGAUAUAACAUGACCAUAGAGAAUGGGAAGAAUGAACAAUAAGUUUUAUAGUACAAGCCACCAACUGCCUAAUAUCAUGACAAGUCACAGUACUCGGAUUUUAUUCCUCAAGAUAAGCAUAUAGAGAUGCAGAAAAAUGAACAGUCAGUUCCUUAGUAUUAGGUUUCUAGUCCAUCAAAGCACUAACUGCCUAAAUAUCAUGAACUCAAUACAAGUAUAAUAAGUCACCAAAUAUGAAAUUUUUAGUUAAGCACUCAGUACAAGCUAAAUCAUGCUGUUAGCUGGGCAUAUGCAGCAGAAACAACCAAACUUCAAGAAGCCCAUGCUCAAGCUAGUACAAUUAAAAAAAAAUGACAAUUCAUAAGUAUUCCUAGUAAAUAUUAUGUGUACUGGAGGAUUCUGGUUACAAGCAGAGACACAUAUUUACAAAUUCCAUUUUACUCAUAUUCUAUUAUUACCACUACUUCCAUGAUUCUUUCAUAUCUAGUACUAGUAUUCCCCAAGGCAUCAACUCCUUAAUUAAAAUUGCGAACCAAAAUGCAACUUAUAGCAAGUCACAACUAAGACGCCAAAAAUAUAUAUAUGCAUAACAAGCCACAAGCAAGUUGUUAUCACACAAUUAGCAGAUCUUACUAGUAAAAGGUAGUAUGUAUUAAGGGAAUUCUUGUUAGUAGCACAGAUGCGUGUCCAACGAUUCAAUUUAUUCAAAGAUUAUUAUAAUUAAUUUUCCAGGCACAAAAGUAGAAACUAGGAGCCCUGGUUUCUCUCUAGAAAUAAACAACACAAAUUGGUUACUGAGCCCUAGCAGCCGAUGCAACAUAGCAGUAUUCCACAAAAAGUAUGCAGCAGAAGGAAAUUUACACUUCCAUAAAACGAGCUCCGAAAGGGAUGCGCUCUCCACCUAUAUAUCUGAACUCAUAGGUGAGAGUUCCCUGAAAUAAAUCUCCGCGAGUGAAAUCACUACUCCCCUGAACCCAUCUACUAACCAUUCUGAAACCAUCGCCACAAAAUGUUGUGUUUGAAUACAACAUCCAGAAGGUUCAACUCACCAUAUCACUGAAUGUUCUGAAACGACAGCAGAUUACACUGUUCAUGGCAAUUGGCAAAGCAGCAGACUCACUAUAUCAUUUCGAGCAUUCACCACUCACUACCUGAGUCAAUCUGGCAAUACAUACUUUCUACAAACCGAUCAAAUCAAAUGCAUCUGGUCUGGUUCCCAACUUUACACCAUCAGUCAACAUAAAUGCAUUCGACGCCGAGCACACGACUUUGCAGUUACCGGUCCGCCCACAGGUUCUCCUCCUCUUCGCCAAAAAACGCAAAUCUCCCCUGCUGCUGUUGCGUCACAAAAGCAGCGUGUUAAUCUACAUCAAAUCAGCGUCUUACUCUUGGGCAAAUUCUACCCUUUGGUGCGAUGAUUCAGGAUGCAACUUGUGCAAUUCUGUUCUUCCAAAAAUAUAACUAGGAAACGCACCAAGUUUCUUGCACCAAAGGGUAGAAUUUGCACAAGAUUAAUGAUUAAGACACAAGAUUAAGGUGGUCCUAUACUCCGAAGAAACUGAGUACAGUUGACUCGACACUUCCAAAAUCAGCUUUCUUGCAACAAGGUGAUCUUAUACGACAAUUUUCUGAAAAACUGAACAUAAAUUGCAGGUAAUAUAGAAAUUAGGUCGGUAGCAUACUAAAAAAUAAUUAAGCACUUAAAAGCUUAUUUACAUUAUUAGCCGCGCGCACUAACAAAGAACAACAAAAGUUGAAAGACAAGAGAAUCUGCAGCCUAAAAGAUGAAGAGAUUGUGCAGCAAAAAGAACUAGAAUUGUAUCGAUAACAGCUGCAUAUCUGAAAGUUGAUUUCAUCCAGAGUUUAUUAUAAUUACUUUCCAGAACUAGCUGUCCUGUGUUUUUCUCUAUAUAAAUGAAAAACACAAACAAAAAAAAUUAAACGAUGGGGCCUGGCAGCAAAUAAAACAUAGCAGUAUUCCAUAGAAAGUUUGCAGCAGAUGAAAAUCCAAUCUUCAAUAAAAUUCAUUAGCUCCAGAACUAUACCAACGGUUAUCAGGCAUCUAAAGAUUUCUAUGAGCAUAACCAUUGCGUAGGAAGGAUACAAAGGCACGAUCUUCCAGUUUUCAAUGCCAACUAAGUAGAUAUAAUUUUGCGUCAACAAAGUAAGUAAUUUAUAAUGCUAAUUAAGCUCAUACCUGCAAAUUUGCAUUAAUUUCCUCAUAUAAGACGAACAAGUGCAGAUUUCAGUGAGAAGCUUCAACUUCAUGCCCAGUGCUGCUCCCAUCACAACCAAUCAAACAAGGAGGCCAUGCCAUAACGUACGGAUAGGCACAGUCCCCAAAUGUCCCGUGGAUGAGCGACUCAAUCUUGAUGGUCUCCAAUGAAAGGAAUAAGAACCAGCAGCGGAGUAUGCCAACAGGGGUAAUACAUUUCAUGGACAAGUAGACAUAUCCAGACCUAACUUGCACAACCCUAAGGUGGCCCAGCCAGCCCCGAGUUACCCGACCAAUUUCUUCACUCAAAGAGAGUAUGUUCUGCGGCACCCAAAUCCCAAUUCCAUCACCAUCUACACCACGGAUCCAAACAUGGAGGAGGAAGUCAUCAUGAGAUGCAUAGACAAUGCAUAGGUGACCAUCCUUAGUCUCCCCAGCCUUGUAAUUGCACCUCAAAACGUCCACCUGCAAGGGUAGAUCCACAUUGGUGACCUCCAUGGUGGCUGUGUUGAUCCUUAUCAUGCGGUGUUCGCCAUGGAAAGGCCAGUAAAUGGAACCAUGGACCAGCAUGCCAGCAUUGUACUUGAGGUUGUUGUCACCACCGAUUUCAACCCAUGGGUGGAUAGCCCAGUGCCCCAAUCCCAUGUCUCCGACGAGAAGACGGCAGCACGAACCCUAGACACGUCGACGCAGACACAGACCACCCGGAACGACCAGGGGUUCUCCUCACAAGACAGCAGACGCGAACCAAGCCAGGCGAAACCACGGAGACACCCUUCCCUGGCAUCCUCGGGCAACGGGAUGAUGUCCACGGCCCAGGUCAUGGGGUUCACGGCAGCAACGGACAUCAUGUUCCAGUUCCACAGGAGGAUGUAACCGUCGCGACAGUCCACGAUGCCCCAGCCCAUGGGAUUGGGCCAUGUAUACGUGAUAGCCCGAAUAAAUUAUGAAAAAUAUAUCCUUUUCACGGAAAUUAUGAAAAUUAAUGUAACAAUGGAUAUAUGGAUAUUCAUUUGGUAUUAUUUAUAUAUACAUAUUUUUUAUAUAUGUUUGGUCAAACAUAAGAGGCAUUGGUUUUUGUAACUCAAUUUACACGCCAUCUAUCUCGGGAAGAAGGGAGCAUAUAGCAAUGGGAGAUUUUCUAAAAGCAAAAGAAAAAAACACAGUGGGAGAUCUUCUCAACAAAAGAAAUUGCAGUGAAACUUUGCCAUAUAAUGUUCUGCUACUUGAAUAUAACAUACUGAAACUUGAACUCGAUUAAAUAACCGGAGAAGAGAUAAAAGGUUCAGUUGCUGAAUGUUCUAAAAUGAUAGGCAGACUCACGGUAUCAUUCUGGGCACUGGCCACUACUCGAGGCAAUACAUUGCAAAAGCAAGUAUCCUUUGUACAAAUCUAUCACAACAAAUGCAGUUGAUUCCCAACUUUCCUCAUGAGCAGCCACCAACUUUCCUCAUGAGCAGCCACCAGAAAUAAUGCAUUUCGAUGCCAAGCACAACGACGACUUGCCACCCGCAGAUUCCCCUCCUCUUUCGCAAAAACGCAAAUAUCCCUGCUGCUGUUGCAUCACAAAAGCAGUGUGUUAAUCUUGUGUGAGUUCCUACUCGGUGCACUGCUUCAGGAUGUAACUUGUGCAAUUCUACUCUGCUAUCUCUAUACUUGGAAGAAACUGAACAUGGUUGACACUUGCAUUUUAAAAAUCUGAACGUAAAUUGCAGUAAAUGUAGAACAAAACAGUAGCACCGAGAUGCAGAAAGAAUGCAGCAAACAAUAACUACUUUCAGAACUCUCCGAUAUCUAGUCAAGGGAACAACUGGCUAACAUUGUGAACUGAAAUACAAGUAUAACAAGUCGCAACUAAGCUACCAUAAAAAUUAGGUCGGGAACAUAUCCCUAAGAAGAAGAAGAGGCAAAUAGUUGAGCACUUAAAAGCCAAUUUCUUAUUUUAUGUGCGCACAACAAAGAACAGCAAAGGUUGAAAAACAUAUCCUCAAAAAUUAAGAGGUUGUGCAGUGGAAGAAAAAUGGAAAACAAGAAAAUUUGCAUCCUCAAAGAUGAAGGGAUUGUGAUGUACAAAAAAAGUAAUAUGCAUAAAGGGAUUCUUGUUAGAGUCACAGAUGCAUAUCUGAAGUUAAUUAUAUUCAAAGAUUAUUAUAAUUACUUUCCAGAGCUAGCACUGCUGUGCUUUUCUCUCAAUAAAUGAGAGAACACAAACACAAACAGUAGGAACAAAUUGGUCAAUGGGGCCUAGCAGCAAAUGCAACAUCUUCUAGCAGAAUUUUACCAAUAGUUUGAAAUCAUCUAAAGGUUUCUAGGCAUAACCAUCAAGAUAGAAUAGCACGAUCUUCCAAUUUUCAAUGUCAACCAGAUAUUAUUUUGCAUCAUCAGAAAAGUAAUUAAUAGUGGUAAACUCAUACCGGAAAAAUCCCAUUCAUUCAUUUCCUCGUACGGCAAACAAGUGCAGACUUCAGCAAGAAGCUUCAACUUCAUGUCCAGUGCUCCCAUCAUCACCAAUCAAACAAGGAGGCCAGGCCAUAUAAUACGGAAAGGCACAGUCAUCAAAUGUGCCGUGGAUUAGUAACUCGAUCUCCAUGGUCUCCAAUGAAAGGUAGAAGAACCAGGUGCGCUGUGUGCCAGCAUUAGUCAUGCGUGUCAUGGAGAAGUAGACACAUCCAGACCUCACUUGCACAACCCUGACUUGGCCCUCCAAGCCCCGAGUGACCCGAUCAAUUUCCGCACCCAAAGAGAGCAUGUUCUGCCGCACCCAAAUCCCAAUUCCAUCACCGCCCACACUACGGAUCCAAACAUGUAAUCAAUAGUUGUGUGUGAGGGUAGAUCCACAGAGGAGGCAGUGUUGAUCUUGAUAAUGCGUCCUUCGGCAUAGAAAGGCCAGUAAACUGAACCGUCCACCAUCGUGCCUGCACCGUACUUGAGGCUGUUUUCACCACCGAUCUCCACCCAUGGGUGGACGGCCCAACCCCUUGUAUCCGACGAGAAGACGGCAGCACGAACCCUAGAGACGUCGGCGCAGAGGCAGACCACACGGAACGACCGGGGAUUCUCGUCGGAAGUCAGCAGGUGGAAACCAAGGAAGCCGAAAUCGCUGAGACUCCCAUCCGCGACAUCAUCGGGGAAGGAGAUGACGUCCACAGCCCAGGUCAUGGGGUUCACCACAGCCACGGCCCAGAGAGUAUUCCAUAGGAGGACGUAACCGUCGCGGCAGUCCGUGACAGUCCAGGCGUCGUCCAGCGGGAGGGAGGUGAGGAAGAAGUCGCCACGGCGGAGGGCGGCGGUGACGACGGGAUCCGAGCGGCGCAGGGGUGCGAAGGAGGGGGCGGUGUCGUCGUCCACUUUGAGGAAGAUCCCGAGGAGGGGCGCUGGGUGAAGGGCUCGGAAGAGGCGGCGGAAGGACGGGGAGGAGCGGACGGCGCAGAGCCAUGGGCGGCAGGUGAGCGCGGCGCGGACGAGAUCCGGGAGGUUGGGCAGGCGGAGGAAGAUGUCGAGAAGUUGGUCUUGGCCGAGGGAGGAUAUGGUGGUGGUCCCGUCGGCGGCGGUGGCGAGGGCAGUGGUGGAGGGGAUGGACGGAGGUUUCGCUGCUGGCGGCGGCGGCGGCGGCUCGCUGGACAUUGCUGGAGAGUGGGUGGAUGGAGAUUCUGGAUCCCUCUGGCUGGUCGGCUACUUGUGUAUAGUACGCAUGGCCCAAGCCCAUUAUAUAUAGGCUUAAUGCUUUGAGCCCAUGUACGCAAUAGUCCAAGACUCCAAGUAGCCCAUGCUUUGGAAUUAAACAGAGUUUUUUUGUGUGCACCUAGUACUACUAUAAAAAAAAUAUAGGUUAUAGGUUUUUAUAUCAGUUACUCAAAAAAAAACUCCUAGCAGUUACUCAAAAAAAAAAACUACUAUAUAACAGUGAUAGAUUUUCCUGAAGAAUAAAGAACAAUGGGAGAUUUUCUCAAAAAAUAACAGUGAGAGAUGGAUUUUUAUGGGAUGAAUAUAUAAUCAGGUCAUGAUAAGAAAAUCAAACAAGAAGGGUACUCGCAUGUUAAAUUUUAGGGGCACACAAUAUCCCGAAAAGUAAGGAAACAAGUGCGACUAUAAAUUAAGUUUUCUGUUCCUCACAUCAUUGUGUUUUCUUGUGUCAUGAAAUAAACACAAUACUUACAACCUCUAUGUUGCUUUGGGAUGCUGUGUUGUCAGUAAUAGAAUACAAAGUACUCUAUAAGACUAAUAUGAUAAUAUUGAUAUACUAUCAAAUAUGGGGUUGAUAUUUUUACAAUUUGGAUCCCAUCACAAUCCAGUCGACACAUAUGCCAAGUUCUGUGUGUGAUCAUAUAUUCGCACGCACAACAACGAUCACACAGUCGAUCUUCAUCUUACACACGGAGCAACAUAUAAGGUGCUUUGAGAGGCAGGCAGAGCCACUGCUAAAUUACCUAAGGUGCAGUAGUACUUGAAGAUUAUUUCUUGAUGGAGAGGGUGGAUCACCCCCUUCAUAGAACACCCCCUUUACUCAACUUCUUCGGUACCAUAAGAUUGGUAGAAGCUCAUGAACCUCAAAGUGAAUUCUGCGAUGGUUUUAGUUAGGGUCGUCUAUUUCGGUAGGCUACAGUUCAGAAGUCAACCGAAUAGAAAAACAUGUACCUUCAAUCUUCAUGAAGUAUUGUAUGGCUUCCCCUUGGUCAUGGCCUUCCACGACAAACUGUUCUAUACUGAUAUCCAAAGUUUCAUCUUUAGAUCUGUAUUCUUUGUGUUGCUCUUUCUGAAACUUGUAGCCUGCACACUGCGCAAGGCACAAGCAAGCAGAGAAACAACACAAACAUCAAUAUAUGCUACAUGGUAGUCUAGUUGGGAGAUGAAAACUAACUAUCACACCACAGUGGAGAUGCUUGUUCAUCAGUAUAUGCUCACAUGGUCAAUGCAUAGCCUCAUGGUGAUGCCCCAUGUGCCAUGUAGGAUCGGAUGUCAGGGAAAGUGGGUUUGGAUAGGGAAGCGGGAUCCUCUGCAAGAGGCAGGUGCUUGGGAAGAAAAAGUGUGGUCUGAUGUAAAAAACUGAAAAGGUUGAAAUGAAGAGUAGAGAAGCAUAUGUAUUAAAGUUUCUAUUUUCUAUUUCUUGAUGAGGCCCACUAGUAGUAGCUUGCGUUGGGGAGAAAAAAUCAAUGUAGUUGUCUCACGCUACUUUUUCUCAUGGGGCAUCUGCAUCCAUAUGUCAUCACUGUACAUGCCCUAACCUAGUGCUGCAUCUCAAAAGGAAAAGGAAAAGGGGACAGUAAUGAGCAAUGAAGAGGCAGAGGCCGGGGAAGUGAAAUUCUCCCCCAAUUUUGGGCUCCUCCCACCCUAGCCGCUCCUUCUCCCACCCUAGCCGCCCCUCCUCCUCCCACCCCAGCCGCUCCUCCUCCCACCCUAGCCGCCCCUCCUCCUCCCACCCCAGCCGCUCCUCCUCCCAACCCUAGCCGCCCCUCCUCCUCACCCCCCUCUUCCCUUCCUCGCCGCCGCUAAGGCAGCCGCCGGGCAAGCCCAGGGCGCCAAGGAUGGUGGCGGCGGGGCCUCGGUUGCCCUGCAUCUGCAUGGGGAACCCCGGAUCUGGAGCGGCGGCUCCAUUGGCAAGGCACGGCCGGCUAGUAGCCGUGCGGGCGGUGGAUCUGGUGUGCCGGCCGCGCGGGCGGCGGGAUCCGGUGGUCGUUGGCGGCCGGCGGCGACUUUUGCGGCGGUCGAUCGGUGUGCGUGAUCCGGUGCCUCGCCUCCUCCCCUGUUCAGCAUGCGGGCCAGCCUGGUCGGGCCGCGCUUCCUCUUGGUCGCCGGUUCUGUACAGGAGGCGCUGCUGGUGGCGGGGAUCUAGUUCAGGUGAAAUCCCUGGCCGGCCAUGACCGGCCGCGCCGACGGCGACGCCUGAGGGCACCGUUCCCCUCCUUGGAGGCGUCGGUAUGGACUGAUCUCCUCACUUCACCUUCCCUAACAUGUAAUGGGAUGAGCGAGUUCUAACCAACGACCUAUUGUAAUGGAACCUAUCCACCGCAACGGAUCGUACUUGGUAUUUCAUUUCAACUACUAAAGUAUAUCACCUCUAAAAUAAAAAGUGCACAUUCCGAAUAUAUUUUCAUUUCUCUAGAUUUUCAAAUUUAAAAUUAUUCGGAUUCAAACAAAUUUUUAGAUAAAUUGUUUGAAACAAAAUUACAUACAUUCAUUCUGUGCUAUAUUUUCUUUUGUCUAGAUUUUUUAAUCUAAAAUUAUUUGAAUUCAACCAAAAUUUAUUUAUAUAUUUCGGAAAAAAUAUACAUAAAUUCAUUCUGACCUAUGUUUCCUUUUAUCUAGAUUUUCCAAUUUAAAAUUAUUUGAAUUUGAACAAAACUUCCCUUGAUUAAUUCGUAGGAAAUUUACAUACAUUCAUUAUGAACUAUAUUUAUUUUAUAUAGGUUAUUCAAAUAAAAAUUAGUUGAUUUCUCUGAAAAAAAUUACGCACAUUCAUUCUGACACAUAUUUUAUUUUAUCUAGAUUUUCAAAUUAUUCGAAUUCAGACAAAAUUUUGUUCGUUUGUCCCAAAAAAAUACGUACAUUUAUUAGGCACUAUGUUUCCUUUUAUCCUUAUUUUCAAAUUUUAAAUUAUUUGAAUUCAAACAGAAAUUAGAUGAUUUGUCCAAAAAAGAUGUAAAUUCUUCUUCACAUAUAAUUUCUUUUAGCUAGGUUUUUGAAUACAUAAUAAAUUAAGUUUAUUUGUCUGAAAGAAAUUUAUGUAUAUUCAUUAUGAACUAUAUUUUAUUAUCUAGAUUAUUCAAAUUCAUUCAUAAAUUAGUUGUUUUAUCCAAAAAAAAUCUGUACAUUCAUUUUGACCUAUAGUUUCUUUUAUCUAGAUUUUCAAAUUUAAAUUAUUUGAAUUUGAACUAAAAAUUACAUUAAUUCUGCACUAUAUUUUGCUUUAUCUACAUUUUUAUUUAAAAUUACUCUAAUUCAUACAAAAAUUUAGUUGAUUUGUCCAAAAAAAUAUGUACACUCAUUCUGCAGUAUAUUUCCUAUCUAGAUUUUUAGAUUUAAAAUUACUUGAAUUCAAACAAAAUCUAGUUGAUUUGUCCGAAAAGUUUAUCUAGAAUAUAAGUAAUUUUCGUAAAUAGAAAAAAAAGAAUACAUAAGAUAAAUUGUGCUUAUCUCUUUAAAUGUCAUAGUGGUCGGAUGGUUGGCGCUCGCACACGCGGCGAGCUUACGUGGUCAUAGGUUAGAACCGAUGCCUUCCCCUUUUCUCAUUUGGUUUCUACUUUAACUCGUACGGUUUAUCUUAUACUAUAAAGCUAAUUGUGCUAUAUAAACGUCAAUAGUAAGGAGGUCAAGUGGCUAAGCGAGGCGAAUCAUAGCAGGUCGUGUGUUUGAAUCCUGCUGCCGCUCUAGCACUUUUCAUUUUAUUUGAGGGUUUUCUGCAUAAAUAAAUAAAAUGCAAGGGUGUUUUUUGAAAAAAACAAUGCAUGCGGAAUACCCACUGCGUCAGCCACUGACAGUGGGCCCCUGCCAUGUUUUUUUUUGCGGGGCAAAUUGGGAAGUUUUAUUCAACAGAAACCACGCCGGCAGCAUCUGCCAGGAGGCUAGUUACAAGUAAACUAGGAAUAGAGUCUAACCAACAAUCUGUUACAUCCAUCGUGCUAGCUUGCUUCGCACGAAGGUGAGCAGGAAAAUUUACUGAUCUCAACACAUGUUGAAUAAGAAAAAAAUUAAAAGAGCUGGCGUGCUCCCCAAUCUCGUCAAGAAUCGGCGCCACCACUGAAAAAUCAUGGCGCGAGUGCCAGAGGUUAACAACCUCUUGGCUAUCCGUCUCCAAGAUGACUUGAUCAUGCGAAAAUUACGCCAUCUCGAAGAGCCAACGCUUCAGCCAGAAGAGGGUCUGUGAUUCCAUAGUAUGGCUUACACCAUGCAGCCUUGAAAGCAGACGGAGAACGUGCUACCCCUCCAACCCCUCCUCGGCGGGACUCCAUGGAAAUGCUACCGUCGACGUUGAUUUUUAUCCACCCAUCAUCCGGCGGCCUCCAACCAUGACCAGGCAAGAUCCGAGCAUGAUCUUGAGGUAACUCUAAAAUCGCUAAAGCUUCCUGUAUGUGCUUCAUGGACCGAACAGGAUCAAACUCUCCUUUGUCAUGUGUGAUGUUGUUGCGUGAAGUCCAAAUAGCCCACAUAAUAGACACAAGUUUUGCUCUAUCAGAAUCUGAAAACAGAGACUCACACAAGACAUCCUUAACCCAAGUAAGAGGGUGCAGGUCUGGUCGCUUAACAUGCAGCCACUGCGGGGCUUCGUUCCAAAACCUUCUCGCAUGGGUACAGUUCAGUAAUGCAUGCAUCAUAUCCUCCUCUGAACUCAAACAGAUUUUGCACCUGCUCUCGCUGGAUAUAUGCCGAUAUUUCAGUGUACUUUCGACGGGAAGAAUCCCUCGCAUCACGCGCCACCAGAAGACGCGAACUUUGGGCAGCACUUUGAGUUUCCAUAACCGAGACCACAACUGUUUAUCCAUCUCCGAAGUAUCUGUAGUCGUCCCUUCUUCUAGAGCUUUAUGCUUGUUCUGAAUCAUUAGAGAGCGAUACGCUGAUUUUACAGUAUAAAUCCCGGACCUCUCAGGCGCCCAAGCAUAGAAAUCAUCUCCCCCUCUAGUCCUCAAAGGGAUAUUAAGAAUUGCAUCCGCAUCUGGAGGGAUAAAGGAUUGUCUUAUAACUUCAGAUUUCCAAGUCCAAUUCUCAUCAUCAAUAAUGUCUGCUAGCCAGCUGAUUUGUGCAUCGCCAAGACGUGCAACAGGUGCCCUUGUCAAUCUAUUUGGGAUCCAUUUAUCCUCCCAUAUAGACACUGUUGUGCCACUUCCGAUAUGUUUGAUUAGCCCAACAUUCAAAGCUUUUUGCCCUGCUAUGAUUGCCCGCCAUGUCGCCAACGCGCUUUUGGGGACGCCGGCAUGCAUGAAAUCACAGUUGGGGAAAUAUCUUCCUUUCAAUACUCGAGCACACAAGGAGUUGGGCUCUGUCAUUAGCCUCCAUCCAUGUUUACCAAGGAGUGCUACGUUGAACAUCUGUAAAUCUUGGAAGCCCAUCCCUCCUUUAAUCUUUGGCUGUGCGAGAGACUCCCACGACAUCCAAUGCAUUGAACGCCGAUCAAGAGAGCUACUCCACCAGUACUUGGCCAUAUAAGAAGCCAACUUUGCACAUACUUUCUUUGUUAGCUUGAAACAGCUCAUGCUGAAAGUAGGUAUAGAUUGGGCUAUAGCUUUUAUUCGCACCUCUCUUCCCGCACAAGAAAUCAUCCUCUCGGACCCCCCCUUGGAGUUUGCUUCUCAACCUCUCUCCAAUAUGGUCAAAAAUUCCACUUGUUAUUCUCCCUACGGCAGUUGGCAGCCCCAGAUACCGCUCACUGAAAGCCUCAACACUGAUGCCCAGAAUCUGUUUUAAUUCUUGCCUGACUGGAGCCGAAGUGUUUGGACUGAAAUAAAUUGAGCUUUUAUCCUUAUUAACAGCCUUUCCAGAACACUUCCCAUAGAUCCUUAAAAUCUCAUUUAAACGGUGAGCACUAUGCAUCUGGGCUUGCAUGAAAAUAAGGCUAUCGUCUGCAAAAAGCAAAUGAUUGAUCCAUGGAGACCGAUAGCUCACCCUGAUCCCUUUGUCAACUUGUGUUCCACCGAAUCUAUUCAGCAAAGAUGUGAAACCUUCAGCACAAAGUAAAAACAAGUACGGGGAUAUUGGAUCACCUUGUCGCAACCCACACGUCGGUGUAAAAAAAGGUAGCAGCUUGCCAUUGACACGCACUGAAAACCUGACCGAAGUCACACAUUUCAGGAUCAAACGGACAAACUCUGCACCAAAACCUAGCCGCAACAUAAUAGCCUCAAGAUAAUGCCACUCUACAUGAUCGUAGGCCUUCAUCAUGUCCAACUUUACGCACAAAUCGCAUUGCCCCCUUUCUUCCUUCUCUUUAUAGCAUGCACACUCUCGUGCGCAAUUAAAACGUUAUCGGUGAUCAAGCGGUCGAGGACGAACGCACUUUGUUCUUCUCCAAUAAUUUCACCCAAACACCCUCUAACUCGGUUUGCAAUAGCUUUUGAAGCAAUUUUAUAUAGAACCGGGCAGAGAGAUAUUGGACGAUAUUGAGAUAUCUUAUGCGGAAAACGUACCUUUGGGAUUAGAGUAAUCGACGUAUCAUUCAUACCCGCCGGAAGUUCACCUCCAUUCAGAAAAUCUAGAACUGCCCGGACAAUAUCAGCUUUCAGAAGCUUCCAAUGGCGUUGGAAAAACCCGGCAGUAAACCCGUCCACCCCUGGUGACUUUGACGGCGCCAUUUGAAACAGAGCAUGCUUAACUUCGUCCUCUGUGUAUGGUUUCUGAAGCUCAUAGUUCAUAGCGUCCGUAACACGAUUAGGAACAAAAUUUAGCUGAAAUCCUUGCGAUGUAUAUAACGCUUGAUAAAACGCCUGAACUUCAGCACGGUCCUCCUCGACAUCUGCACACUUUGAGCCAUCUGCUCUUUCAAGAUGCUCAAUUCUGUUCAUGCGCUUUCGUUGAGCAGCCUGGGCCAGGAAAUAACCCGUAUUUCUGUCGCCCUUACGUAGCCACGACACCCUUGAUCUCUGACGGGACCAAAUCUCCUCUUGUUUAAGAGCUAGUCGCAAUUAUUUAGUAACUGAUUUCUCCUCCUCUGACGGCCCCCUACCCACUGAUUGGGAGCGUAGACGCUCUAGUUUUUCUCGCAGUUUACGGACUUUGCGCGUCAGUGAACCAAACUCCCUCGCUCCCCAUGCUGCCAAGUUACCUUGCAACGAAUUGAGAGCUUGGGAUACUCCCUGUAGACCCUGACCACCAGCACCUCGAUGCCAAUUAUCCAUCACCAAUUUGUCAUAAUCGACAUGCGUCUGCCAAACAUUCUCGUACCUAAAGGGUUUCGGCCCUCUAGUUGCUGAUGAUAUAGAAUGCUCACGGAUAUCCACAAAAACAAAGCUGUGAUCUGACUCCGUAGCAACAAUAUGACAUACCUUGAUAUAUUCAAACAUAUUAACCAAAUCCAGAUUUCCAAAAGCCCUAUCAAGACGAGCUUUGACAUUUGUUCUACCCGACUGCCUAUUAUCCCAAGUAUACUCCACUCCCGACCAUCCAAGAUCCGUGAGUGAGCAAUCAUCCACUGCUUCCCGAAAAGCCCUCAUUUGCCACUCUGGUCGCAGCGAAAGAGAGAAGUGUUCUGAACCAAAAAGAGUUUCAUUAAAGUCACCGAUGCACAUCCAACCAUCAUGUUGAAUUGCAAACAAAGUCCUCAAGAACCUCUAGCUAUGAUGCCUGUCCUCCGCGCGAGGCGCUCCGUAGAAACCGGUCACUCGCCACGCCCUCCCGUCGCCCCCCUUACGCCUCACAGAAACAUCAAUGUGACAGGAACUGUAAUUCUUAAGCUCAACGUCAAAGUCUUGGGACCAAAACAUGCCAAUCCCUCCACUAAGACCUGUACUAUUCACUGCAAAACAGCCCGCAAAACGUCAAAGUCUUGGGCCCCUGCCAUGUUGGCAAGCCAAGCGUGCACAUGAUACGGUAGAAAGCACCGCAUAUGAACGGAAAGACAAGUUAGAUGACCAGAAACACGUAUUUUACAAGUUUAUGCAUCAAACUGACCGUCGCGUGCAAGUUCUGUGACUUGUGGUGUAUUUACCUCCUCUUUUGCCUGCAGGCUAAUUGGAGCUAACAACUUGGAGUAACCACAUUCUCUCUAAUUCUGUGUGCAACCCUACUCUGAAUUUCUGAAUUAUAUGUUGCCUAUUAAUUUGGCUGUUUUUUGAAUUUCUGCAUGCGACCCAGGUGCUACCAUGUUCCCUGAUCAUUUUCUUACUCUGAAUUUUGUGUGGUACCAUCUUCUGUACAUGACAUGCACUCUGAAAUUCAUAGUAUCUUGUGCAGUCAGUAUUGGGUGUAUACUCUUGACUUCUGAAGUGCCACUGAUGUAAAAAUUCAUAUGCCCAGUGCUACAUGUAAGCUCCUCGAAAAGGUGGAUCUUGAUAGAUCCUUUUAUGACCCUAUAUAUGCAUACUGGUGGGUGGGGCCGUGUUUUUAUUGGUAACCAGCACAUAUGCCCUUGCGUUGCAAUAGGAGAUAAAAUAGUAUGCAUUUAAAGUCAGUGAGAAUUAUCUGUGCAAGCAAAACCAUGUGUGCACACGAAAAAGAAACAUUUAGAUUCUCGGUGUCGCCGCGUGUGAAGGAAUCAAUCCGCUAUUUUUCCAUUCAUUAAUCGAGGGCAUUUAAGAGUUUUGUUACGUCAUCGUACGCCAGAGAAGGCCCAAGAGUUAUUCAAUCUACAUUUUCUUUCAGUGCUUUCAAUCAAGGGGAUUUCAAGGUAUGAAGUUUCUGAAUAUUCUAGGAAACAUGAACAAUUUUAAAAAAAUUAUGUACACUUUUGAAAAAACGCAAACAAAAUAUGAAAGGGAACAUCUUUUAAAAUUCACAAACAUUUUCUGAAAACACCAACUUUUUUUUUAUAAAAACAUGAACAUUAUUUGAAUUUGUGAACAUUUUUUCAAAGCGGGAAAAUGUAUUGAAAAUUCAUAAGAUUUAUAAAAAAUGUGUAUCUUUUAUACACAAACAUUUUUAAUUGUGAAAUUUUCACUAAGACAAGAAUAUUUUCGAAUUUGUACCAUAUUUUGAAAUUUCAUUUUCUUUUGAAAUCUCAAACAAUUUUGAAAAAAAAAUUGGAACAAGGGAAAACUUUUUGCAGGUUCCGAAUAUCUUUCAAAAGAGCUAAUUUUUGUUUUUUGCUUUAUUUUUUAAUUUUUUUGCUUUUAGGUCAGCAAAAUUAUAAACUUUCUGUUAGUGCCAUUAAUUUUAGAAAAAUUAUAAACUUUCUGCAGCAUCACCGUAUUCAGGGGGCACAUAGUUGUCAUCGUACUCUUCUUUUUCGUCGUCUUCCAUCAUAACCCCUAUUUCUCCGUGCCUCGUCCAAACAUUAUAGUAUGACAUGAAACCCUUGUAAAGCAGGUGGGCGUGAAGGAUUUUCCGGUUAGAGUAAGACAUCGUAUUGCCACAUUUAGUGCAUGGACAACACAUAAAACCAUUCUGCUUGUUUGCCUCAGCCGCAUCAAGGAACUCAUGCACGCCCUUAAUGUACUCGGAGGUGUGUCUGUCACCGUACAUCCAUUGCCGGUUCAUCUGCGUGCAUUAUAUAUAAUUAAGUAUCCAAAUUAAUAGAAGUUCAUCAUCACAUUAAAACCAAAGUACAUACAUAGUUCUCAUCUAACAACAUAUAGCUCUCCAGAGCAUCUAAUUAAUUAAACCAUACAUUGAAACUAUGUAAAACAUUUAAAUGCGAAAACAAAGACGAUCAUAAUCGCAACCAAGGUAACAAUUGAUCCAACGGCAUAAUGAUACCAAGCCUCGGUGUGAAUGGCAUAUUUUUUAAUCUUUCUAAUCUUCAAGCGCAUUGCAUCCAUCUUGAUCUUGUGAUCAUCGACGACAUCCGCAACAUGCAACUCCAAUAUCAUCUUCUCCUCCUCAAUUUUUUUAUUUUUUCCUUCAAGAAAUUGUUUUCUUCUUCAACUAAAUUUAAUCUCUCGACAAUAGGGUCGGUUGGAAUUUCCGGUUCACAUACAUCCUAGAUAAAUAAAAUCUAUGUCACGUUGGUCGGCAUAAUUUUCAUAAACAACAAAUGAACCAAUAGUUAUAAAGAUAAUAUAUAUACCACAUCCGAAUCAUAGACAGGACGAGGGCCGACUGGGGCGAAUACCAAAACCAUCGCACUAUAUAAGAUGCAAUAAUAAAAGUAAGAAAAUAAUACAAGUAUCUAUGUAAACAUACAAGUAAGAAUAUUUUUUUCUUUCAGAAAGAAGAUAAGAACAAGAGGCUCAUCACGAUGGUGCCGGCGAUGAGCUCGACGCGGGUGAUCGACGGCGGUGAAGACGGGGACAGGGCGUGACGGACCGCUAAACCUAGACAAAUAUUGAGGAAAAUGGAGUUUGGAGGUCGAGCUUGGAGAGGAGAAAGCUUAAGUAGUGUGGCUCGGGCAUUCCAUCGAACACCUUGUGUGCAUAGGAGGUGAGCUAGAGUACCACCAAGCCCUCUCCCCCUCGGCCAAAGAAAACAGAGCGGUGUGCUCUGCUCUGUCGCGAGGGGGUAUAUAUAGGAACCACCACUGGUCCCGGUUGGUGGCAUGAACCGGGACUAAAGAGGAGCCUUUGGUCCCGGUUCAUGCCACCAACCGGGACCAGUGGUGGUGGGCCAGGAGCGAGGCCCAUUGGUCCCGGUUCGUCCCAUCAAUCGGGACCAAAGGUCCAGACGAACCGGGACCAAUGGCCCACGUGGCCCGGCCGGCCCCCUGGGCUCACGAACCGGGUCCAAUGCCCCCAUUGGUCCCGGUUCUAGACUGAACCGGAACUAAUGGGCUGACCCGGCCUGGACCUUUGCCCCCUUUUCUACUAGUGCAUGUUCAUACCUCCUGUAUAUCCAUGGAUGGCUUUAUCAUGCUCAUAGUUUUUUUUCUACUGUUCUCUGACAUCUUGGUCUGGCUGCCUAGCAAGACAUGGGGGAUACACAUAUGUUGUUUUUUCCUCAGCAUAUUCCCAAAAGUUGAAUUCAUACGUCCCAUUUAUUCUGUAGCAUAUCCUGUUUAAUUCACAUGUUCAUUAAAAAAUGAAUUGCCAGAAAAUUCUGGAUCAAACUGGGCCAGACCUGGCGUGAGUGUGGAGUGGAGAGAAAGGAGUCGGCAUCGGGGCAGGGCAUUCCGCGUAUAUAUCCAGCCCCCAUGUCUGAGGGUCGACGUACCGAGCGGACCAAGAACUGCCACCAGCGCCGACGCCCAUUUCCUCCCCCUUCGGCCAUGGAGAUGCGCCCCCUGGCACGAGCUUGUAAACGAUUGUCCUUUUCUAGACGGAGACCCACCGUGACAUGCAGGAAACACGACACCUUCGUGUCGCCGUCCAUGUUCAUGGUGUCAUGCUUGGACAACCCCUGUACUUGACCAUCCACCGCGGCAUGAACUAGAUCGACGUGUCCGCAAAUCAUGAACAUGAUGACCGUGCCCGGCGACAUGGGCGCUGCCAUCGAGGUGAGCAGCAAGUGGUGUUCGAGUUUACUGAGAAUGGCGCACUUAGUGAGUAGCUGCACGCCCAGGGCAGGGAAGUGCACGUCGCGCUGGAUUUUGGAGGCGGGCUCAACUACAUGCACAACUACACCGUACCGACCCGGAAAAUAUCGUGUGGAGCUUAGGCUUAGGUGCACCUCCUUAUCUAGCCAUCCGUCUUUGCAUCACGAUUCGUGCAAGAACUUUUCUGUUUUUUGUUUCUUCCAAAUAAAACAACAUAUGAACUUCAAACUUUACAUCACAACAAAACAUUCUAACUAGAAUGUGAGAAAUUUUUCACGCAAUAAGUUAGUUGUCUAGAAUAGAUCUCAAAGCUAUAUUGGAGGGUAUCGUAUAGGAGGUGUUCACGAGCCUAAGCUCUAAAAAUCCGCGUCCCGACUGACCCUCCCUACCUGCACAAGAAUCUCAAGAGCAGCAACAUUCUACUUGAUGCAUGUACUUUUCUGUGUAGUAGGCACUCCUCUUCGGCUGCUGUCAAAAUUUCUGAAAAACUCAACUAACACAUGCUGUGAAAGUUUCUGAAAGAUUCAGCUUCAUCAGGCGUCGUUGCUGUAUUUAAAGUGCAGGUCGGUCCCUCAAACCUGACCGAGCUUUUGCCUCGCCGGUCCGGUGCAGGAAAAGUUGGCCGAUGGUCAAGGUCUGCCACUGGGUGCCUCGGCAAGGUUCAACGGUGGCUCGGUUAGGACCAGACCGGACUGGACCGUGUCCACCGACCAUGUCCCAGAGAGGUGGCCAUGUCCAGGGAUGCGCGUGCAAACUGGAGAGGAUGGAGUGGUCGAAGUUGGACUGCAACGACACCGACGAGCGCAGUCGCAGGGGCACCAGGAUAGCGCUGCCGGUAGUGAUCGAGAAGCGGAGUCACGGGAGCACACAAAGAGGAGGGGAUCUUUGUAUGUGGGUGGCCACUGGCCAGGCUUGGGGAGAUGUCAUGGCAGGGGAGUCUGCCAGCACAAAGACGCUGUCGCGUGAUAUCUGGACUGUGAUAAUUAGGGUUGAGGGAAUAAUGCUCGACAUCCUAAUACGGAUGUGGCUCUUUAUAUAUAUAGGGAUAUAACACAUGUACAAAUACAAUAUACGGUUACGUACAGAAGCCUAUGUAAAUAAACAGUCUAACACCCUCUCUUAAUCUUAACUGUGGCCUGAAGAAGCAAGUUAAAAUUACACCUACAACCUUUAAUGUGAGUUUAUACGUUCCUAUACCUAACAUCGAUCAGCUGCUGUGCUAGUCAUUUGUGCGAGCGAAUCUUUUCAUGGAUAAUGCGUUUCAGAAAAUUAAUUUGAGUGUGAGACAUCAAGUCAUAUUUGAACUUCUGUCCAUCGGAGAAGAAACACAUGCUUAGCGGCCGGUAAGCAAGCAUGUGGUAUGACUGAAUCAUUGCUACCUAACUAGCUAGUACGAGUACGUACUUAAAUUCGGUUAUCAAGUGCACAUCGGUGAGCGAAUUAACGAACCUAAUAAAUAAGUUAAAUAUAGGACGUAACAUAUCAAUACAUUAAAUUAAGAGGUAAAUACACCCAGAGUCAUAGAACCUGCGUGCAACGGUUAGUUUGGUGCAUAAAUUUGCAAAAUACUUGUUUCCGGUCAUCUAACUUGUCCUCCCGUUCAUAUACUAUGCUUUCUACACUAUUCGUCCGUAAACCAUGCACGCGUGGCAUGCCAACGUGGCGGGGUGGCGCUGUCAGUGUGUAAUCCGCACGCACUUUUUUAGAAAGCCACCUUGCAUUUUAUUUAUUAAUGGUGAAAAUCCUCAGAUAAUAAAAUGAAAAAUGCAGGUGAGGUGCCUAGGAUUUGAACCCACUGCCUGCUGGGUUUCGCCACACAUAGAUUUAAUGAGCACAUUUUUUUACAUAAGAUGGAGCAUACGAAUUAAAUUAGAAAUCAAAACCGGAAAAAGGUGUGAACAAAGGGGAAGCCCCGUUUCGAACCUGCGAUCGCAUAAGCUCGCAGAGCGUGCGAGUGCCAACCAUCCAUCCACAAUUAUAUAGACUUAAAGAGAUAAACACAAUUUAUCUUAUGUAUUCUUCUUUCUUUUUUUCUAUGUAAGAAAAUAACUUUUAUUCUACCUAAACUUUUUGGAGAAAUCAACUAGAUUUUUUGUUUGAAAUCCAGUAAUUUUAAAUUUCCAAAUAUAGAUAAAAGGAAAUAUAGAGCAGAAUGAAUGUACGUACAUUUUCCGGACAAAUCGACUAAAUUUAUUAAAAUUUGAAUCAUCUACGUAAAAGAAAAAAUAGUUCGUAAUAAAUGUACAUAAAUUUCUUUCGGACAAAUCAAUGGAUUUUUUAAUUCAAAUAAUUAUAAAUUUGAAAAUCUAGAUAAAUAAAAUAUAUGUCAGAAUGAAUCUACAUAAAUUUUUCGGACAGAUCAACUAAUUUUUUUGAAUUUGAAUAAUUUCAAAUUUCAAAAUCUAGAUAAAAGGAAAUAUUGUCACAAUGAAUAUACGUAUUUUUGGACAAAUAAACGAAAAUUUUCUUUUAAUUCAAAUAAUUUCCAAUUUGAAAAUCUAGAUACAAGAAAAUAUAGGUCAGAAUGAAUGUACAAUCUACUAAAUUUUUGUUUGAAUUGAAAUAAUUUUAUACUAAAUAAUCUAGAUAAAAGAAAAUCUAGUGCAGAAUGGUUGUACGUAAUUUUCUUUCAGAAAAAUCAGCGGAAAUUUUGUUUGAAUCCAAAAAAUUUAAAAUUUAAAAUCUAGAGAAAGAAAAUAUAGUUCAGAAUGUGUACUUUUGUUUGAAAGAUUAUAUACGUUAGUAGUUUGUAGUUAAUACAAGCAGAUCAGGUGGGUUGGUUAGGAGGUGUGCACUAACGUGACAUGGCGCCUGUUCGAUCUCACACCGACCCAUUUCUUGCAGCCUAAUGUUUUAAAACCAUACACUGACUUGUAUGAACUUAAAAACAACUGAGGGUGUUUCUGCAAAAAAAUCACGUGCACUGCCCUUCAGACACUCCCGGCCACUGACAAUGGGCCUUGUCCAUGCAGUUUUUUUUUUGCAUGGUUGUCCACGCUGUUGACGUGCCACGCAAGCAGCGAAUACACCCGUGUACAGAAAAUAGGAUCGUAUUUGUACGUCCGUGCAAGUUUGAUGAUUAGAAAAACAUAUUUUGUAAGUUUGUGCACCAAACUGACCAUCCCGCGCAAGUUCUAAGACUCCCGGUGUAUUUACCUCUUAAAUUUAUAAAACACUCAUGCAAACCAAACAUGGAAGUAUGUAUACCACCUAAUCUUUUUUCCACCAUUACAAUUUUUAGCGCACAAGGGUGGCUGCCAGUUGCCUGACGUUUCAGUAUUAUAAAGCUAUUCUUCUAAACAUAACUAGUGUUGACACCUGAUUUUGGCAUGAUACAGAGUGAAAGGGUUUUCAACAUGAGAAAGUUUCAUAUCGUCGAGUGGAACGACUUUGAUGUUUAGGCUAUCGCCAUUCGACCUCAUCUCAGUGGCCGAAGCUGUACUCCGAGUGACAAAAUUUAAUGUUCUGCGUGUUUUUCGGCCGAUUACGCCCUCAAUGUGACCUUAGAUAAAGGAGUGCUCUAAAGGAAUUGUCUUCGUCUCGUCGAGACGAUCGAUUUUCAUAUAUAAUUUGUCUCAAUCUGAGGUCAUAUGCAAAAGUUAUAGUCAAUACGGUCUGGACAGGCCAGAGACCAAAAUACUACGCUUGACACCAGACACAUGUUGAUGAAUGUCUGAUGCAAUGCGUGAGAAAUUCGGCCUUCAAGACGGCCUUGAAUUGAAAAACCUUCAACACGGAAAAGUUUCGUCUCGUUGAGCCGAUCGAUUUUCAUAUAUAAUUCGUCUCAAUCCGAGGUCGUAUGAGGCGCGAAGAGACAAGACAAGAUCAAGCUGUGUUUUCAGUCGGAUAUCCGAGUGAAAAAGUUUACCAUCCGAGUGAAAAUGUACGGUCGAGUGAAAAUUUACCGGUCGAGUGAAAGUUUGCUGACCGGAUGAACUUAUUAUUAUCCAAGUGGAAAUAUAGUCAUCCGAGUGGAAAUAUGGUCAUCCGAGUGAAAUUGUCCUCCAGGUGAAAAUAUUCCGAGUGAAAAGAUUACCAUCGGGACGAAAACUAGCCGAUCGAGUAAGUAGUGCCUUCCGAGUGGAAAUAUAGUCAUCCAAGUGAAAAUAUAGUCAUCCGAGUGGAAAUGUAGUCAUCCGAGUGAAAAGUUCAGUCGGACGAUCCGAGUGAAAGUAUCUACUAUCCGAGUGGAUGAGCUCAAAUCCGAGUGAAAUUGAACAUGUGCUCGAAAGUUUAUCAAAAUGACCUCGGAUGAAGAAGUGUUCAAUACAGAAGUUGUGCGUAUCAUCAAGAUGGUAAACUUUGAUUUUGGAGUUAUCAUCAUCAGAGAUAGUAUACAGCCUACAAAUUCACUACGAGACUCGGAUAAUUCAGUCUACUGCAAGACCGAGUCCGACUAGAAGAUAAAGAUGACCUCGAAAAGUAUUCAAGAUGGCCUUAUUUGAAAAAGUGAUCAACAUGAGAGUUGUUCGUAUCGUCGAGGCGCACAAGUUUGAUAUUUGGGCCGUCUUGAUCGGAGAUCAUAUGCAAGCCCGGCGGCCUGCGCAAGAAGGAAGACAGAGUUUGGGCCAGAUUCAGACUGAAUCCGAGUUGGAAUAGAAUUAGGACUCUAGGACGUGAAUUGAUGUAAUUUUUCUUAUAAGGAAAGACUAGAUGAAUCCUUUACUUGUACGGGAAGUCCAGCCGCCUCUUAUAUAUGUUGGGGGUGACGGCCGAUUGCACAACACACAAUCGAACAAAUCAUCUACCACUUUUUAUCUUUUAUCUUUUCUCCUUCUCCCUUGUUCUUCUUCUUCCUCGUUCUUCGUUCGUUCUUCUUGUUGCAGGGCGGCGAACCUUGAGGCCCUAGGGGCGAUCAGGUCGACCUAGGGCAUCCCAUAGCCGCCGCGCGCCCUGACGGGGUCCCUACCGGGCGUGUGGGGUUUUGGGUAUAUAAAAGCGUCCGCCGGAUUGUCUUGCGUACCGCGCUUCCGGCGGGUCUCCUUCGACGUGAGCUGCGGUGCAUCACCCUCGGCAUUGGAGGUACACGUUGACGUGUUCGUGUGCGAACACAAUUUUUGGCGACUCCGCUGGGGAAGAAGUUCAAUCAUCAUCAUCCACCAUGUCCGAUCUUCCCAAGCCAUCUGAGGUAGACGCCGAUAACAUCAUUAAGCCCAGUCUUGAUGAUAUAUCGGCCGAUCAUCGCCAUGUCUAUGAGGAGUACAAGAAGGCGCGCGAGGAGAAGGACCUGCAGGAGGUCCUUGCAAAAUUCAAGAAAGAUCGCCAAGGCAACAUCACUCUGAUUGAAGAAAUCAAGUUCCCUCCUCUUCAAACUGAACGGGUUAAACCUUCUGUAAGUACUGCCUUUUCUCCUGAGCAGUGUGCUGAGAUUGAAAGUCGUAUUACUGAUGGUAACAAUCUAGUCUAUCAAACUUUCAUAGAAAAUACUAAUGCUCAGAAGAAUAUAUCUCAAUCAUCUAGUGGUAAUGAUGGUGUAGCUGCUAGUGUGCAAAACCCUAAUCUGUCUUUGCCCAUCUCAUCGGCGCCUCCCAUGCCGAUGACUUAUUAUCCUACCCAAACAAAUCAGAUUGUGGCUGCACCCAUUAAUCCUAUUAUGAGCAUGCCAGGUUCGGUGACAACGCCGAACCAAACCCUACCUACAGCUACAUCCACUCGACCAUUACCAAAUUAUGGGUCGACAUACAUGCCACAAUUCCUACCUACAGCUAGUAACCCUGCUCCUCCUAUGCCACUGCCACAAGCUGCAUCGUCCACUAUGGAUGAUGGUCUAGCUAAUCUUAGAGAGGAGAUGGCUAAAAUGCUUCGAGAGAAUUUUGGAGUUGAGUUACCUCGGAAUCGGAUUUACCAAAAGCCGUACCCCGAGUACUUUGAUGCCAUCCAGUGCCCUCCAGGAUAUAAGAUUCCAGAUUUUGUUAAAUUUAAUGGAGAAGGCACAAAAACCACAUGGAAGCAUGUUAGUCAAUAUUUAGCACAAUUGGGUGAGGCGGGCUCAUUGAAUGAAUUGAAAGUGCGUUUAUUUCCUUUAUCAUUAACUGGUACCGCAUUUUCAUGGUUUUCUUCUUUACCCCAUGGUUCCAUUUGGGUUUGGUCGCAGCUAGAGCAGAAGUUUCAUGAUCACUUUUAUAGCGGCGACAAUGAAAUCAAGUUGUCACAUCUAACAUCGGUUAAACAGAAGCAUGAUGAGUCGGUCUCCGAUUACGUCAAGAGAUUCAGAGAAACAAAAAACCGGUGUUUUAGUUUGGUGAUAACCGAGAGGGACUUGGCAGACCUAGUGCUGAGUGGUUUGAGAACUCCCAUUAGAGAAAAACUAGAAGGCUACGAGUUCUUAAAUAUCAACCAAGUCUUACAAAGGGCUUUGGCUCAGGAAAGCCGAAGCAAAGACCUCAAAGAAGUGCAUAGGUACAAAGACGAUCGUCCAAAGAUGAAUAUGGUGGAAUAUGACAGUGAUCACUCGGACGAUGAGGGUGAUGUUUUUUCUACUGAAUUUGUUUGGCCAUCUAAGGCCAAGCCCUUUACUUGCAAUGAUCUGAAACCGAUUCAUAAGAAUCGUGAUGAAGAGAUGAAGUUUACUUUUAACAUUGCUAAGUGUGAUAGAAUAUUUGAUGCUUUGCUGCAGGCUAAGAUUAUUAGAAUAUCUCAUACUUUACCGCCGUUUGAAGAGCUAAAACGGCGUGCUUAUUGCAAGUAUCAUAAUUCUUUUUCUCAUGCUACUAACGAUUGCAAUGUUUUUCGACGACAGAUACAAUCGGCCAUUAAUGACGAACGAUUGAACUUUUCUGAGAUGCAAGUUGAUAAACAACCUUUUCCAAUGAAUACCAUGGGUUUGGAGGGGAAGAAGCUACUCAUUCGGCCGAAGGUAGCCGAAUCUGCUAAUAAAGCUAACGUCAUUGUUGGUGAGCCCAGGAAAGAUAAGGAGGACAACAAGGUCUUGGGGAGACAGGUUGUGCUAGGUAAGCAACCCGAUGGUAAGGAAGUGAUCAAAAUCACCAUCAAGAAUCUUACACUCGGGGGGCAACUACAAGUGCAAGAAAAUGCUCGUGUCAGAUUUGUCAAGCCCAAGAGUCCAGAAGUUGGCAAGUGGAAAAGGAAUGAAGCUAAAGUGCAGCGCAAGCGGAUCAAGCCAACUUUUGAUAUGUUGUUGUCCAAGUACACCAACCACUCGGCCGGUUCUAGCUUUAAUCGGCCGACUCAUCUGAAGCGACCAAGGUCACCACCAGCUGAUAUAUUCAGUCAGUAUAUGAAACCGAGUGGACCAAGGGUGCCGUUUCCAGAAAAGCAUAUGCAAUCUGUUUGGGAUCGACUUGACUAUUCAUAUAGAGGCCGACUGAACAUUGGUGGCUAUCAGUCGACUGGUCAAAACAUGCGACCGGAUGGAAAUUAUCCGAGUGUAAGAAUGCACCCAGGUGGAAGUUAUCCGAGUGAAAAAAUGUGGCCAAGUAGAUUCCAUCCGAGUGAAUUCCAUCCGAGUGAAUUCCAUCCGAGUGGAUUCCAUCCGAGUAAAAAGGUGCGCCCGAGUGGAAAUUUCAUGCAUCUGGAAAGUCGAAAAGAAUGGCGUGUUAAAUCACCAAGUGUUUCAGCAAUUGAGUCGGCAAAAGGCAAGGAGAAAAUGAAUGCCGACUCACUUAUCUUGGGCACCGAAACAUUCGCCAUACGACAGCCGAUUGUGCAUAGCAAUCCAACUGAGCCGAUACUUGCUAUCGCGCCAAAGCACUCGGCCAAUGACCAUGAAGCAAGCACCAUCCAGGUAAAAACGAGAGAUCCUAAAUACACUCAGCCAAAGUGGUGUCCUCCAGGGCUAACAAAGACACAAAAGAGGAAACUACAGAGGUUAAGGAGUCAAGAGAUGGCAGAAAAGGAGGCCGAGAAACAAAGGGAUAAGUUGUUCAAUGACACUCGACCCAUGGUUCCAGCAAAACAAGUGUGGAGGCCUAAACAAAUACAAGAUACAAUAGCUUCUACAUCUAUCAUAGCAACACCUACAUCACCAAAGGAGGACGAUGCAACAGAUAUCACAUCGUCUGUGACACUUCUUACUUCUCCUUCACUCGGACAAAUUUCAGAAUCGGUGGAUGCACUCGAAGAGGAGGCUGAUAUGUUGGACUAUGAGUCUACGCCGGUUCAUGAAGGUAUGGAUAUCAAUAUGGUGUAUUACUUACCUGCUGAGUUUCGUGCUGUAGAUGAAGAAGGGGAGGUGGCUCAGCUAGAUUUUGGCCCUAAAAACGCAAUAUUCGAGAAGCCAAAAGAACCAGUAACGCAUCUGAAACCAUUAUAUCUUAGAGGGCAUAUCAAUGGGUCGCCGCUCACUCGGAUGCUUGUUGAUGGUGGUGUUGUGGUAAAUCUUAUGCCCUAUUCGGUUUUCAAGAAAUUGGGUUUGCCUGAUCAAGCAAGACCAAUAUGGUGCUCAACGGAUUUGAAGGCAAAGAGAAGACUGAAGCCAAAGGUGUGAUGUAUGUGGAGCUUACAGUCGGAAGCAAAACUUUGGCUACUGCAUUCUUUGUCGCUGAGGUGCAAGGUAACUACAACGUCAUACUAGGCCGUGAUUAGAUUCAUGCAAACCAGUGCGUGCCAUCCACUAUGCACCAGUUUUUGAUUCAGUGGGUUGAUGAUGAAGUGGAAGUCAUUCAUGCGGAGCCUGUGUUGCUUUGGCCGAUGCAUCGGUGGAUUGGCAACAUCCCAAUGCUACUUGCUUGACGGGACGUGACUUAUCAGAGUUUGAUUUUCUCAGCGCGACCAAGAAUGGUUUUGUGCCCGUCUCUUUAAAGCCGACUGAAUGCAAUCGGCUCCAAGGUAUGAUAUGUUUAAAUGGAUUCUAGCUCCGAGUGGUUACAAAAACGUCUUGUGCAAUAUCGAUCCAGUGAGAACGAUAUGUAUGAGUCUAUAGAGGAGUUGGAUGACAUGGAUAAACUUGGACAAGGUUUUACGUCGGUCGAUCCAUUAGAAGAGGUAGAUAUUGGAGAUGGUUCAGUCACUCGACCGACAUUUAUAAACAAAAAUUUGAAAGCCGAUUGUAAAGCUAAGUUAAUCGAGCUAUUGAAAGAAUAUGUUUGUUGCUUUGCAUGGGAAUAUCAUGAGAUGCCAGGGUUAAGCCGAGAGCUAGUGGAGCAUAGGUUGCCUAUAAAGGCCGGUUUUAGACCUUAUAAACAGUCGGCCAGAAAAUUUAAUCCGAAAACAUAUGACCGGAUCAAGGAAGAGAUCGGUCGACUGCUUGAAACUAAUUUCAUUCGACCCUGCAGGUAUGCCGAGUGGAUUUCUAACAUUGUCCCAGUGGAGAAGAAAGGAUCCGGCAAGUUGAGGGUGUGCAUUGAUUUCAGAGAUUUGAAUAGGGCUACACCCAAAGAUGAGUAUCCUAUGCCAAUAGCCGAUAUGCUUAUUAAUGAUGCUUCUGGGCAUAAGGUUAUUAGCUUUCUAGAUGGUAAUGCCAGAUACAAUCAAAUUUUUAUGGCCAAAGAGGACAUGUACAAGACUGCUUUUCGAUGCCCUGGUUUCCUUGGUUUAUUCGAGUGGACAGUGAUGACAUUCGGAUUAAAAAAUGCUGAAGCCACAUAUCAAAGGGCUAUGAAUUUGAUUUUCCAUGAUUUACUCGGUAUCAUACUUGAAGUUUAUAUUGAUGAUAUUGUUAUCAAAUCGGAUGCUUUUGAAUCUCACUUGGCCGAUUUGCGUUUAGCUUUUGAAAGAAUGAAAAAGUAUGGACUGAAGAUGAAUCCUUUGAAGUGUGCUUUUGGCGUGUCAGCUGGCAAGUUUUUGGGUUUCAUUAUUCAUGAAGAUGGCAUAGAGAUUGAUCCCAAAAAGAUAGAGGCUAUACAGAAAGUGGAGGCUCCAACAUGCAAGAGAGAUAUGCAAAAGUUCCUUGGCAAGGUCAAUUAUUUGAGAAGGUUCAUAGCUAAUCUGUCAGGGAAAGUUGAUGCAUUUACUCCUAUCCUUCGGUUAAAGAAUGAUGCUGAUUUCACUUGGGGGGCAAAACAGCAAGAAGCAUUUGAUAUGAUCAAGAAUUAUUUGUGUACUCCUCCGGUGAUGAGAGCACCCAAGCAUAGGGAACCCUUUAGACUUUACAUUGCAUCAGAGGAAGGAGUUAUUGGUGCUGUUCUAACUCAAGAGACCGAAGGAAAAGAGCAUGCCAUCACUUAUUUGAGCCGCCGCUUAUUGGACGCAGAGACAGGGUAUACAUAUUAUUGAGAAAUUAUGUCUGUGCUUAUAUUAUGCUUGCAUAAAACUGAGACAUUAUUUAGUGCCGAGUGCUUGUGUAGUAGCUUGUCAAACCGAUGUCAUUAAAUACAUGUUGCAUAGGCCAAUUCUUAGUGGUAGAAUUGGCAAGUGGGCUUAUGCUUUGAUUGAAUAUGAUUUGGCUUAUGAAUCUCUAAAAUCCAUGAAAGGCCAAAUUGUUGCUAAUUUCAUUGUUGAACAUCGGAUUAAUGACAAGAAUGAUGUUGAUAUGAACCUUGUUUCAUUAGUACCAUGGAGAUUAUACUUUGAUGGUUCAGUUUGUAGCAAUGGCCAAGGUGUUGGUAUUGUUUAUAUAUCUCCUCAUGGUGCUGUUUUUGAAGCCUCGUGCCGCUUAGAAUAUUUUUGCACAAACAAUCAAGCCGAAUAUGAAGCAUUGUUAUUCGGCUUAGAGAUGUUACUUGCUAUAGGUGUUACACAUAUUGAGGCUUACGGUGAUUCGUUACUAGUAGUGCAGCAAAUAUGUAAAGUCUUUCAGUGUUUGGACGAAUCACUUAAUGUUUAUCUUGAUAGAUGUCUGGAUAUAAUUUCUACUUUGGAUUGUUUUAGCAUUGCACAUAUAUCUAGACAUGACAAUUGGAAAGCAAAUGAGUUGGCACAACAAGCAUCUGGAUAUCAUGUUGAUCAUGGCAUGUUUCAUAUUUCUCAAAGUCCGAUGUCUUGUCUUAUUAGUAUAGAAGAGGCCGAACCAGAACCCACUGAUUCGGUCAUUAACAAAAAAUCUAGUGCAGACGACAAUUCCGACUGGAGGAAGCCCAUUGUUGCUUACUUGCACAAUCCGAGUGAAAGGGUGGACAGGACUGUUCGGCGUAUGGCUUUCAAAUAUACUAUAAGGGGUGAUGACCUUUAUCGCCGAACAGUUGAUGAUGUUCUUUUAAAGUGCUUGGAUGAGGACCAAGCAAGAGUUGCUAUGGGAGAGGUACAUGAGGGCAUUUGUGGUACUCACCAGUCGGCUCCCAAGAUGAAAUGGUUAUUACGAUGUGCUGGGUUUUAUUGGCCGACCAUGAUUAAUGAUUGCUUCAGAUAUUAUAAAGGGUGCGAAGCUUGUCAAAAAUUUGGUGAUAUUCAAUUGGCUCCUGCUGCUAUGUUGCAUCCUAUUAUCAAGCCGUGGCCUUUCAGAGGAUGGGGUUUAGACUUUAUUGGGCAGAUUCAUCCAUCUUCGUCAAAGGGGCAUCUGUUCGUGUUGGUGGCAACUGAUUAUUUCACUAAAUGGUCUGAAGCAGUACCUCUCAAGAACAUGACACAUACGGAGGUAAUUCAAUUCAUAACCGAGCGCAUUAUUCAUAGAUUCGGUAUUCCUCAAACGUUAACUACAGAUCAAGGUUCAUCUUUUAUGUCACACCAAGUCAGAGAGUUUGCCGAAUCUUAUAAUAUAAAGUUGCUCAAUUCCUCUCCGUAUUAUGCCCAAGCUAAUGGACAAGCCGAGUCUAGCAAUAAAAUUUUAAUCAAACUCAUCAAGAGGAAGAUUGAGGAUAAUCCAAGGAAAUGGCAUGAGUUGUUGUCUGAAGCUUUAUGGGCACAUAGAAUUUCAAGGCAUGGUGCUACGAAGGUGACUCCAUAUGAGCUAGUAUAUGGUCAAGAGGCUGUUUUACCAGUGGGGGUAAAUUUGAAUGCUUUGAGAAUAGCCAAACAAAAUAAUUUAUCGGCAGUAGACUUCUAUAACUUAAUGAUGGACAAUAUUGAUGAGGUUGCCGAUAAACGUUUGGCUGCUUUAAAGGCCAUAGAGAGAGAUAAGUUGAGGGUGGCAAGAGCUUACAAUAAGAAAGUCAAGUUGAAAAAUUUUCAAGUUGGUGAUCUCGUCUGGAAAGUGAUUUUGCCGAUUGGUUCAAGAGAUAGAAAAUUCGGGAAGUGGUCUCCAAGUUGGGAAGGUCCUUUUAGGAUUACAAGAGUUGUUCCCAGAAAUUCAUAUUUGGUGGAAUCAAUACAGGGGGCAUUGUUACCUCGAGCUCUCAAUGGCAAAUAUUUGAAGAAGUACCACCCGAGUGUGUGGCAGGAAGCCUAAGUAGGCAAUGGCCGAUAUACAAUUAUCUCCCUUAGCACAAACAUGGCCGAUACAUAAUUAUCGCCCUGAGAAAAAUAAAUGGCCGAUGGAGUGUUGACAUCGUCCUUAGAACGAACACUAUGCAUAUUAUUUUUCGGCAUGCAAGCUUUGCCGAAAAACAGGGGGGCAUGUGUUGACACCUGAUUUUUGCAUGAUAUAGAGUGAAAGGGUUUUCAGCAUGAGAAAGUUUCAUAUCGUCGAGUGGAACGACUUUGAUGUUUAGGCUAUCGCCAUUCGACCUCAUCUCAGUGGCCGAAGUUGUACUCCGAGUGACAAAAUUUAAUGUUCUGAGUGUUUUUCGGCCGAUUACGCCCUCAAUAUGACCUUAGAUGAAGGAGUGCUCUAAAGGAAUUGUCUUCGUCUUGUCGAGACGAUUGAUUUUCAUAUAUAAUUUGUCUCAAUCCAAGGUCAUAUGCAAAAGUUAUAGUCAAUACGGUCUGGACAGGCCAGAGACCAAAAUAUUACGCUUGACACCAGACACAUGUUGAUGAAUGUCUGAUGCAAUGCGUGAGCAAUUCAGCCUUCAAGACGGACUUUAAUUGAAAAAUCUUCAACGUGGAAAAGUUUCGUCUCGUUGAGCAGAUUGAUUUUCAUAUAUAAUUCGUCUCAAUCCGAGGUCGUAUGAGGCCUGGAGAGACAAGACAAGAUCAGACUGUGUUUUCGGUCGGAAAUCCGAGUGAAAAAGUUUACCAUCCGAGUGAAAAUGUAUGGUCGAGUGAAAAUUUACCGGUCGAGUGAAAGUUUGUUGACCGGAUGAACUUAUUAUUAUCCAAGUGGAAAUAUAGUCAUCCGAGUGAAAUUGUCCUCCAGGUGAAAAUAUUCCGAGUGAAAAGAUUACCAUCGGGAGGAAAACUAGCCGAUCGAGUAAGUAGUGCCUUCCGAGUGGAAAUAUAGUCAUCCGAGUGGAAAUAUAGUCAUCCGAGUGGAAAUGUAGUCAUCCGAGUGAACAGUUCAGUCGGACGAUCCGAGUGAAAGUAUCUAGUAUCCGAGUGGAUGAGCUCAAAUCCGAGUGAAAUUGAACAUGUGCUCGAAAGUUUAUCAAAAUGACCUCAGAUGAAGAAGUGUUCAAUACAGAAGUUGUGCGUAUCAUCAAGAUGGUAAACUUUGAUUUUGGAGUUAUCAUCAAUAGUAUACAGCCUACAAAUUCACUACGAGACUCGGAUAAUUCAGUCGACUGCAAGACCGAGUCCGACUGGAAGAUAAAGAUGACCUCGAAAAGUAUUCAAGAUGGCCUUAUUUGAAAAAGUGAUCAACAUGAGAGUUGUUCGUAUCGUCGAGGUGCACAAGUUUGAUAUUUGGGCCGUCUUGAUCGGAGAUCAUAUGCAAGCCCGGCGGCCCGCGCAAGAAGGAAGACAGAGUUUGGGCUAGAUUCAGACUGAAUCCGAGUUGGAAUAGAAUUAGGACUCUAGGACGUGAAUUGAUGUAAUUUUUUUUGUAAGGAAAGACUAGAUGAAUCCUUUACUUGUACGGGAAGUCCAGCCGCCUCUUAUAUAUGUUGGGGGUGACAGCCGAUUGCACAACACACAAUCGAACAAAUCAUCUACCACUUUUUAUCUUUUAUCUUUUCUCCUUCUCCCUUGUUCUUCUUCUUCCUCGUUCUUCGUUCGUUCUUCUUGUUGCAGGGCGGUGAACCUCGAGGCCCUAGGGGCGAUCAGGUCGACCUAGGGCAGCCCAUAGCCGCCGCGCGCCCUGGCGGGGUCCCUCCCGGGCGUGUGGGGUUUCGGGUAUGUAAAAGCGUCCGCCGGAUUGUCUUGCGUACCGCGCUUCCGGCGGGUCUCCUUCGACGUGAGCUGCGAUGCAUCACCAUCGGCGUUGGAGGUACACGUUGACGUGUUCGUGUGCGAACAACUAGUACGGAACUGUCCUUUGUUCGAGUAUUAAAUGGAUGAUGUUUUUAAACGUUACUUGACCAUUCAAACAGUAUGACAUUUUCCAUUAUAUUCUUCUACACAACUAGUACAGAACUAGCCUUGGCACGUCAAAAAAAUCCUUCCUACACAGUUUUGAGAACGUGUUUGGCAGCUUUAGGGAAAGCGCAUUGGGGUUAAACCAUUAAGGAAUCUACUAAAUUACAUAUACAACGUAUCAGUCUGUUAAAAACGAUGAGGUCAUGUCUACCAAACAUACCAGCGUAUAUACCACCUAAUCUUUUUUGCGCCAUUGCAAUUUUUAGCAACGGUUGCUGGUCGUUCUAAUCUAACCACAUGCCGUUGCCUCUUCUUUCUUCGUGCUCUGCGUGUCCUGGCAAAUACUCCGUACUUCGCAUGCACGAGCACCGGAUGUGCCUCGUAGCUGUCGCAUCGCUCUCAUGGGCGGCGUGUGCUACUGCACUGAGAGGCGACCUUCUUUCUCCUCCUUGCAAGACACAAUCCACAUGUUGGGUGCAAGGAACUUCGCCUCCUACUUUUUUUAGAACGAAGGCUCAAGAGGAGCCCGGCAUUGAAUUAACAAAGCCAAUAACCGGCCAAGAUUACAACUCCAAAUAACACCAUACAUCAACUAAAGAAAAUAAAACAUACAGCAAAGAUACAGGGGCGCCAGGGAACAGCUCGCAAUGCACAUACAACAAGCUAGUUACAAAGAUUGGCGAAAAGCAUAUAGCUUGGAGAUGCCACUAUCCUCUUGCACGCCGAAAACCAAGGCGAAAGCGAAGUCCUGGUCAGGAGAGUGCACCGACGACGAUGCAAGGCACGCCGUUGCCAAAACCUGGGCUUGAAGAAAGACACAUCCAUCCAGAUCCAUCGUCAAAGAAGGCCCCUGCCUCCUCGCCUGGCUCGAAGGCGCCGCACCAUUGAGCGAUGGACAUGCUCACCCUAGAGCCUAGAUGAAUGGCCUCUAAGAAACCACUUGUGCGGAACCAGGCAUUCCCGACAUGCCGACGACGAACUCACCUAGAGCAGAGCAACACCAAAUGCCAAAGUUCUGACUUGGAAGAGGGCGAGCGGUCAGAAUGCACAAAUGGGCAACAGCUAGGGCCAAGACCAAAUUGGGAGCUUCGGCUCGCUCGACGAGCUGAAGUUCAGCCACCGUAGGAGGGGAACCCUAUCCCCUCCCGUCCUGGAAGAUCCAAGGGCACCGGAGGAAUUAACUGCAGCCCGGCGAAGAGCACCAUAACACCUUGACCCAGCACCAAGGAAGACACCGCCACCGUUGGACGCACGCUGCCGCCGCCGACACACUCCACCUACACCACAGCGAAGCCCACAACCCAUCUUUGUUCCCAAAACAACGCCUUCAAGAAGGUUACGACACCAAGGGCGUCGCCGCUGCCCAACAAGAUUGAGGAUUUCUCCCGGGAGACAAAGGGGAGGGGGAUGGGGAGCAAGACCUGAAACGGCGCCUCCGGGAAGGUGCGCGGCGCCCGCGGGCGUCGCCGCCGUCACCGCCGGCAAGGCUGGCUGGGGUUUCCCCCGGUCCUGCAUCCGGACACCCACUCCCACCCGAGCAGACCGAGGCCCCUCGACGGGGCAGGCCGGAUCUGGGGAGGGGAGGAGCUUGCUGGAGAGGGAGGGCAGUGGGGACGACCAGAUCUGACGCAGCCGGAGCACACGCAGCCGCCGCGCGCUGGCCCGCAUUCUUCGGGGAUCUUGCCGUCCACACGGCCGAGAACCGCCGACCUGCGCCCGUGCCACCGGAUGCCGAAGCCGGCGACGCCUCACCAGCCGGGGCCGCCGCCCCAGAUCCAGAAGCCCCCCACGGACAAGGCGAGGCGGCGAAGGCCCCGCCACCACCUUCAUCGACUGCGCGCCAAGCUUGCUCGGCGUCAGCAGUCUCCGGCGGCGGCGAGGGGAGGGCGAGCAGGGGAAGGAGGCGACGGGGGUAGGGUUUCGCCCCUCGGGUCACCCGAGCGGGGCGACACGAGGGAGGGGGGAAGGUAGGAUCUUGCGUCUGUCUGGAAAAUUGACCUCGGGCUUGGGUCGGCUGUAAGUUUAAGCCAUUAUCAGUACGAUCAAGGCCUAGGUUCAGCGGGAAGACGGAAACAGUGACCCAAACCAGUACAAUCAAGGCCGCACUGACCUCAAUGCAAUGACGAGUAAGGAGCCAAGUUUUAAAUAGCUGGCUAUAGCCCAACUAUAGCCUUUUGGGGGACCUCCAGCUACGAUUAAGCCAUUUGUAGGCUAAAUGAGAAAAAAACCCGCUAAUAGCCGGCUAUAGCCCUAUUUAGCAUCUAAUUAGCCCCUAAUUUAGCCGCUAAACCUCCUAUUUUCUAAAAGAAAUCUUCUAUUCUUCUUUUUAUCUCUUGUUUUCUGAAUUUCUGUUCAAUUUGAUUCAAUAAAACUUAUGAGUUGAAUAGUUGAAUACUUGUUUGCGUUGAGCCGUUGAAUAGUUGAAUGAGUUGUACCUUGAAUCAUGUUUGAGUCUUUUACCAAUGCUGAUACCCACAGAGCUACAUGGCAUGUGUGGUCGGAGAAACAAGUGUGAUCCAUACCACUAACUCUGACAGGAGAUCAAAGAGUAGAAAUAUAAGAAAUAAAAAGUAAAUAAAUCAAACCAAUGCAGCGUGCACAUACGAUACAUGGCCUCACUGCCUCGCAUGCAUUUCUGGGUGAAAAGUUGUAGUGAAUGCUAGAGUUAAACAUAGCAAUAGGUAGGGUAGGCACCACCCGAACUUAGGUAUAUAUGAACCCGCUUUUUAAAAUACAUUUUAAACAUGUUUUAAAAUGUCAAAAAGUACAAAACAAAAUUUCACGCGUACCCCUUCGCAAAAUAUGUGCAGCUUAUAAAAUUUGACGAAAAAUGCCUUUUUAUUUUGCCUUUGUAUAGAUGAUGAAUUUUAUUGCUUCUAAAUAGUGUUUCACAACAUGCUUUUUGUUUUUUUUCUUUGCACAUGCAAAAGAAGUUGUUUAAUUCUUCUAUGAAACUUUCUAGUCACACGUAGAACAUGGAGGGAGAUGAAUGUGUGCUACUUUUUUUCAGAAAUUUUCGUCAUUUAGAAAUGUGUUUCUCAAAGUGGGUUGAUAUGUACUUUUUCUCAUAUAUAAUGCUUUUUCUGAAGUAGUUCAUAUGUAAUUUUUCAGAAUAUUAUCCCGUUUAACACAUCUGAGCCCCGUGCCGCUCCCGCGAGCGGCCCGGGCACAACCCUAGGCGGCGCCGCCACCGGUCCCCACCUCGCUCGCCGCCGCCGGAGGACGCCACCGGGCAAAGCCCAUGCGUGCGGCGGCGGCAGCGGGGCUCUCCUCCCCGUCCUCCUCGGGCAUUUCAGGCGGCGCGGGCCGGCUCGGCCUUGUGGAGGUGCAGCGGCGUGGCUGUCCGGCGCGGCUUCAUCAGGCUGGAGACGGCGGCUAGGGGUGUUGCGGGCGUGCUGCGGAGGCGUGAAGGGGCGGCGGUGGUGCCCUCUGGCACCGGGCGGCGCGGAUCUGACGAGGGCGCGCGGCUCCGAUCUGUUGUAGGUGCGCGUGAGCGGCGGGAGUGCAGGGGGCACGGGUGGAGCUUGAGCUCGCAUGGUGAUCUCCGCUGUUGCGCGGCUGCUCUAGCUCCCGGUAUGCAGGGGCUCGGGCGAGCAAGUUCAAGGGGGCGGCCUGCGUGCGCACGGAUCUGGCGCAUGGCGGGGGUGAGCUGCAACUGCAGCUCGGCUGUGGCUGUGUAGGCGUGAGGCGGCACGUGGUGGCGGCCAGGCGUGGCCGCGCAGGUUGGCGGAGGCCGCGGAUCUUGCGGCCCAGCGCGUUUGAGAGGUGCAGCGGUUGCUGCACGACGAGGUGGAGCCGUUUGACGUCGACCGGGGGAUUGUGUGAUGUGCAGUGCUUCGGAUCUGCUCGGAUUCGGAGGUGUGGAGGAGCUCCGGGCGAAAGUCCAACACCGACUUUGGGUCGGUGCCGGCAACAGCGGCGCCAUGGCCAUGGUGCCGUUCCCCUUCUUGAAGGUGUUGCCAUGGAGCUCCUUUACACGACUCUCCGGGAGAAAUCUCUAGCUUCGAAUGCUCGAAGUGGGCGAUGAUGGCGGCCACGUCGUUUCCUUCUUUGAGGCAUCGCCUUAGAGAGUCAGCAUAUUACGGUUUGCAUGGAUCUCUUCAUCGGCGGGGACAACGGACGUCGGGGCGGCGGCUCCGUGUGGUUUCUGAUUGUGCGCUGAGAUGGCGAUCUCGGGAACAAUGCGAGUGGCAGCUCUAUGAGGUGGGGCUCUAUCUCGACAUUGGUUGGGUGGCAUCCUUGUACCGCUUGGGCGGUGGGGGUGUCGGCUCGGUCGAUGCACCCUAGAGGGGGCGGUCUAGCUUUAUGUCGGGGCGGCGGCCCCGAAUAUGGUGCAACGUUCGUGGUCUGCGAGCGGUUGCCCUGAGCAGCAUGGGCUGCGGGCAGCUGGGUUGUGCGGUGUUGCUGCUCGAGAGGAGCGGUGGUAUGUCUGGGCGGCGGCCCCGGAAGGCGGUGCCGGUGGAGUGCGCUGGACGCGACAGAGCGGUGGAUGUCGGGGCGGUGGCCUCGAGAGGAUCACUAUGGGGGCCAGAUUUCUGUGGCAAAGAUGAUGGUGGGAGCGAUGUCGGCGAUGUGGCAAUGGUUGUUGUAGUCAACUCUUCUCCUGCGUGUCCGCAGUGUUGCCUCGGUUUUGUUUGUUGCUGUGUUGUCGAAGCUGCAACGACGGGGCCCUGUGGUAUACGAUGACUGGCUGCAAGUGGCCCGUUCGGCGAUUUUCCGUGGCGCCAGCUUUCGCCGGGUUUUGUCCUUCUGAAUUCUCCGUCUGAGUCAGAGUUGCGUUGUUGAGGUUGACAUGUUGUCGAUGAGGGUGGGCUUUGCUCUCUGUGUCAGUCUUUGAGAGUGGGCUUGGCGCUUGUUGUUCCGGUUUUUGUCCGAUUUUCCGUAAUUAACUGGGCAAUUCUCUUCUGCUUAAUUAAUAGAUGAGGUAAUCUUUGCCUCCGUUUCAAAAAAAAGAAUAUUAUCCCAUUAGAAAUGUGUUUUCUUAAGUUUGUUCAUGUAUGUAUUUUCCGCAAUAAGUGCCCCAAUUGUGGUGCAAAUUACAUAUUCAUGGGAUAGUGAUUGCGUAAUAACACGAGAAGCUUUCUUAUGCUAAUUUCAAGUAGAUGCACAAUGGACACUUGUCAUGAAUCAUUUCUCUGUUAUCUUCAUAACUUAUUUUCGCCAAAAUUACUCUGCAACGUGAAGACAACGCGCGUGCAUGCAUACUAGUACUAGUGGCGUGCCACUUUGUUCGCAAUUUUAGAAAACCAAUUUGAGUGUGCGACACCAAGUCGUACUAGAACUUCUCUCGGUCAGAAAAGAAACGUGCUUGGCGGUAAGCGAGCAUGUCGGACUCUGUGUCAUUGCUAGGUACUAGCUAUUACGCAUCUGCGGUUAGGUCACCGGUCGCCUAUCGUUCCAAUAUUAGAAAGGUGGCCGUUCUGAACGAAUGCAUGCAUGUUCACUUGACCUUCCAAAUGAGUCCCUUUAGAAUAGUAUACUAAGGGCAUGUACAAUGGUGCUAUCUUAGGAGUGCCACGUAGGAUAAAUGAUGAGGUGGAGGAGAGGGAACUCAUAAGAGAAGGCUUGUCUUCUCUUAUUUAAAAUAAGACAAGAGAUGAUCUCUUAGCACAAUAUGUCUCACCACAUUUUUAGGAAUUGCUAGUUAUUGAAGAUAAGGUUAAGAGAUGAUCCAUUGUAGACAUUUUUCUUUGUCAUCUUUAAAUUACAUGCAAAACUUAAAAUAAGACUAUCUUAUCAACCAUUGUACAUGCCCUAAAAUGUCAUUCUCAGAAAUCUCAGGAAAUAGUGCCAAUUCGCCGUGCUCGCAGCAGUUUUGCCCUUAAAACAUCCACUUCAGCAAAUGUGCUUUAGCAUUUGGCUAGCUUCAGCAACUUUCCACCCUGUCUCUAUCUAGAACAAGUUAUACACGCAUUCCAAAUUUCCGCGCGCGUAGUGUGCCAACAGGCUAAGAAGAGCUAAUCCCUUUGCGGUCGAGCGGAAGCUCCCACGUGGUGAUCCCCACCAACAGCCCCGUCUUUGGCGGCGGCGGCGCCAUCGCACGGGACCCAAACCUCAAACUGGAUCAUCCAUGUGAGAGCUAAAAGAUGCAAAUGCAAAGUCAAAAGAAACAAUUUUGGGUCGAGUUUAGAGCAGAUCCUUUUAAGCCGCAAUCCCGUAAAAUCACCGCGCAAAACGCGUCCAAUUUAGGUCACGUACCUUAAAAUGAGUCUCCUAUCUCUUAUAUUUAAUGAUUUGGGGCCAAAUUUAUGAUUUCCCUUAACCCAAACAUGGUUGGUGAGAAGAAAAUUUCAGCUCCAACCGUCACCGGCCCGCCCACUACCGUGUGUCCGUGCGCGCUGCCACCCCAUGUGUCACAGGCCCACCAUCAUGUGCUGCCGACCUAGCAUCCCGAGUUUUGUCACCUCCGUAUUCGCACGCCGCCGUGCGUCGCCGACCUAGCGUCCCAAGCAAGGAGUUGUGGGCAGGGGCCGGAGCAGCAGGGCGACUGCUUGGGCCAGCGGUGCGGGCAGCAAGCAGGGUGGAUGGAGUAGGGCAACAGGACGGGUUACCUUAAAAUAGUUUUAAGGGGUACCUUAAACGGAUUUUAAGUUACGGCGUUUUAAGGGGUCUGCUACCUGAGCUACCGGUGAGGAGGCGGGAUAGCGGCAGCGGCGACGGUAGGGUUUAGGAGGGUUGAUCGUCGAGGAGAGAAAUAGUUAACCACGCAUGCUGGCCGGGAUUUUGUGGGCUAUAGUUUAUGGGACUUAAGUCCGAGGGACAAAUAUAUACUGUGCUAGCCUAGCUUUUUAUCAUUUUAUUAAACUUGGGCAAGCCUAGCUCAGCUCCGGACGAAAAGAAAAAGCAAGCUCUAAAUAGGGAGAGCACCUAAUUCAGGUGUACUCCUUCGGUAGCCCCCGCAAGUGUCAUUUAGCGUGGGCUGGGAGCACGCCACUUGGCGCGCUCUCAGCCGUCACCACGUGUCGCGCUCUAGGCGUUUCCUCCGUGUAUAUUUUUUAUUUUUUUGUACGUGUCUUCGGCUUGUAGAUGAUUUUUUUGUUCUUGUUCGGCUUUUCUGUUUCCCCCUAUUCUUCUUAGGUUUUGGAUGAAAACAUUCAGAAAAAUUGCUCCAAAACAAUAUGUUUUUUUUAUUUCCUUCUGCGAGAGGCACAUAUUUAGUUCUCGUGGAGGCACGAAUUUGUUUCCGCUAGAGACAUAGUCGUUCCUCUCGAUAAAGGAAAAACGUGUUUUUUCCUUCCGCGAGAGUCACUGAUUUACUUCUCGUGGAGGCGUGGAUUUGCUUCUUCGAGAAGCACGGUCAUGCCUCUCGGAAAGGGAAAAAACACGUUUUUUUUCCUUUCGCGAGAGGCACGGAUUUGCUUUUGCGAGAGGCAGGGUCAUGCCUCACGGAAAGGAAAAAAACGUGUUUUAGCUUUUUCCCUUCCACGAGAGGCACAGGUUUACUUCUCGUGGAGGCACGAACUUGCUUCCGCGAGAGGGAAGGCGAGAGGCACAGAUUUUUGUCUUCCGCGAGAGGCACAGAUUUGCUUCACGUUGAGGAACAGAUUUGCUUCGCGAGAGGCAAGGUCAUGCCUCUCGGAAAGGGGAAAAACGGGUGCCCCUUCGAAGGGGAAAAACGUACUCCCGGUUGGUUUUUUUUUGUUCGGUUUUUUUGGUGAAUAAAAGUUCAUUGAAAACUAACAACAUGAGAUCUAGUUUUGAAAAUAUCAACGCGAGGAAUCCAACGGUGAAAAUAGUUCAAGAUUUGGACGCACAAUUUAAGAGAUAAAAUAUUUUGAAUAAACGAAUCUAUGAAAAAAGGAAAACUCUCAGGAAGUAACAAGUGGCGCACAUGCCGCACUCCACAUGUUACAAUCUGACAAGGUGGGAAUGAUCUUUGCAAGAUGUACUCUUCAAUUGGUGAUUUCACUGGCGGGAACGAUGAGGACUAGUGAGUACGGCAUGGGCAAACUCCAAACUAUUGAGUACGCCUCAUGCUUUGAGCCCAUGGGCCCAUGUACGCAGCAAGUCCAAAGUUUAGGUCGGCCGUAUGCUUUGGAAUUAAACCCAGGUUUUAUUUUGUUUGAGAAAUAUGAGUAAUAGGUUUUUUUGUGAAAAGAUGUGAGUAAUAGGUUGAAAAAUCUAGAGUGGUUGAUUGCUGAAAGUAAGUAAUUUCUCUUUUGAAAGUUUUGAAACACAAUUUCCACCUUUUCACAAGCUUCCACCUAAGUUUGUUUCUUAUCACGUAGCAAUGAGACAGGAAUGUGUAGUUGAACUAGCACAUAUUCCCGUGGUUGCAACCGGAGAUAUUUUUUUGGGAGAAGCAUAAGGAGAGAUAAUUGAUGUGUCCAUCAAAACAGUCUCCCAGCGGUGGGGCGACAAAGGGAGGAGUUGCGGUGUUCUCGCGAGUCAUGUUGGCCCGCAACAUCUUGAUACUGGUGGGCUUGGUCAGAGUGGCGGCGACCACCCAACUCGUGCCCUUUUUUCCUUUGGGUCCGCUUCCGUGUCGAGGUUGUGGUUGCCUCCUCAUUUGGUGGCUGCACGGCGACCUUCGUGGCAUAGUUGCUUCGACCAUUCUCUCUCCUAUGAAGACAUAACCAGACGGAUUACUAAUUGCAGUGAAUCCCAUUUCAUUGGCAUAAUUAGCGCAUAACCAGGUAGUUCUUGCUCUACCAAGGUUUAUUCUCUUUAAUUAUUUUAGCGUUCACUUGCCCAUAUUUUUUAACCAAAGUCAAACCAACAUACUCUCUUUUAUUGGCAUGUGCCCACACUUUUUUUAGUUAUAGCCAACCAACAUAUUCUCUUUUAUAGUCAAAUAGCACGUGAGACGCACAAUAGUUCGUCAUGUUUGUAAGGCACGAAUAAAAAACCAAAACACCGAUGAGUUGAAGGAUCAAACUCACGACCUCAAAAACACGACCACGUGUUGCUAGUCACUCGAACAAAUAUCUCCUACUAACCAAUGGCCAACGCGAAUGUUUAAGAACAUAUUGCAGCGUCAUAUUCAAUUUUUUUGUACUUUUAUGAUCUGUUUUGAACUUUUCAAAAAAAAAGUAAUAUCUAUGAACUGCCAAAUAUUCUAUGAAAUAUGAACAAUUUUUCAAAACCAGAUUUGUUUCUAAAUAUGAGGAUUUUCAAAAUAAUUUCUAAUUUUUGGAAAAAUACGAACAAAACUUGCAACAGGAAGAUUUCUUAAGAUUCACAAAAACAAAUUGAAAACAUGAACUUUUUAUAAGAAACAAAUAUAUUUUUUAAUAUGUGAACAAUUUUUCAAAACCAAAACAUGUUUGAACAUUCAAAACAAUUUUCAAAAAAUUGUGUUUUAAACAUGAGCAUUAUUUUGAAUUUGUAAAGAUUUCAAAAAACAGGAAUAUUUUUCGAAUGUGUAUUAAGAAACGGUAUAAUGCGGUGACCUACGAGCCCUCACAGCACUGGUCGUCCGAUUGCUGCAUGUCCCGAUCUAUCUGUUGGGCCGCUGCUCGGCAUUCCCUAUUUGACGCUGCAGGCGCCCGUUACAGGUCAUUUUGCUAACGGGUACAGAGCGCAAUCCCUCCCGCGACUGGGCCGGCCCAUCUAAUUUUUCUUCUCUGUUUUGAUAAAUCGCAAAAAACUUCAAGCAUUAGUUGGGAUUCGAACCAGCGACUUACUGGUUCUAACAAAGCAGCGGUAACGACAAAACCAAAUUCUCUGGACGUGACCGAUUACCUUCUUUUCUUUAAUUAUUUACUGUAUUUUCGAACGGUUUUGUUUCGUUUUUCUUGUUCCUUUUCUUUUUAUUCCUAUUUUUCUUACUCUUUUGAUAAGUGCGCGAACAUAGUCAAUUUCGCUAUUUUAAACAAAAUUGAUGAACUAGUUUUCAAAUACGUGAACUUUUUUAGAAAAAUCGAUGAACUCUUUUCCAAAUUUGUGAACUCCUUUUUUCAGUGUCGAUGAACUUUUCUCAAUUGAUGAACUUUUUUUUCAAAAUCCGGGUAACAUUUUCGAAUUUAUAAUAAAUAAAUUUGAUGAACUUUUUUUAUGAAAACUGAUGAACAUUUUUCAACUCCAUCAACUUUUGUUCAAAAUUGGGUGAACUUUCUUUAUAUCCAUGAACUUUUUUUCAAAAUCUGGUUAACUUUUUUCAAGACCGGGUGAACUUUUUCCAAAUCCGUGAUUUUUUUAAACAAAUUGGUGAACUUUUUCCAUAUUCAUGAACUUUUUUCAAAAUUGAUGAACUUUUUUCGAUUUUUCUAAAAAAUUAACAAACGAUGAACUUUUAAAAAUUCUGAAAUUGUUUUCCAGAAUAAUUCUUCUUUUUACAAAGAAUUUAUAAUAGGAGUAAUACAAGGGUCAAUUAGCGUGUUUUCGGAUAUCACCCAGCGAAGUGAUCGUGGUGCAGUGGUAAGGCGCUAGGUAAGUUGAAGAUACCAUGUCAAUUCGUAUCCCACUACCCGCAGACAAAAUUGUCUCGCUUAUUUUUUCUGGCUGGACGGAGUGAUGCUGGGCCGGCCCACUACAGGUCGCCUUCGAGCACCAAGUAGGCUACGCGGUGCUGAGGGCGCCGAACAGGACCUCCCCCGCUGCUCCACAGAGAUAACGAAAUCACUAAUUAAGGAGUACUCGUUCCAAAGAACACUUCACUUUCCCAUGUCGCGACAAGUGGCGCACAUGCAGCGCGCCAGUUGUCGCAACCUAGGAGUUUUCCCUUUUUUCGUAGAUUCGUUUAUUCAAAACGUUUUAUCUCUUAAACCGUGCGUCCAAAUCUUGAACCAUUUUCACCAUUAAAUUUCUCGCGUCGAGAUCUUCAAAAACUAGAUCCCAUGUUGAUAGGUUUUGACGAAUUUUUUUUCACAAAAAAAACCGGACAAAAAAAACUGGGCGAAAAAACCGAACCGGGAGCACGGUUUUUUUUCCUUUCCGAAAGAGGCACGCCCGUGCCUCUCGCAAAAUCACAACCGUGCCUCUUGUAGAAGAAAAACUGUGACUCUCGUGAAAGAAAAAAAAACAGAAAACACGUUUUUUUUCAGUUUCCGAGAGGCACGGCCGUGACUCUCGCGAAAGCACAACCGUGCCUCCCGCGAAAGCAAAACCGUGACUCGCGAAAGAAAAAAACAGAAAACGCGUAUUUUUUUCCUUUCCGAGAGGCACGGCCGUGAUUUUCGCGUAAGCACAACCGUGCCUCUCGCGGAAGCAAAACCAUGACUCUAAAAAAAACAGAAAACACGUUUUGUUUUUCCCUUUCUGAGAGGCACGGCCGUGACUCUCGCGAAAGCACAACCGUGCCUCUCGCGGAAGCAAAACCGUAACUCUCGCGAAAGAAAAUAAAACAGAAAACACAUUUUUUUUCGUUUCCGAAAGGCACGAUCGUGACUCUCGAUAAAGCACAGUCAUGCCUCUCGCGGAAGAAAAACCGUGACUUUCGCGAAAGGAAAAAAAAAGAAAACGCGUUUUUUCGCGCAAUUUUUUGAUCGAAAAGCUAAGAAAGAUCGGGGAAAACCAAAACUUCGAAAAAAACCCGGAAAAAGACCGUUUAAAAAGCCGAAAACGCGUGCGGAAAAAUAAAAAAAUAAAAUUCGAGGGGAGCGUUCAGAGCGCGACACGUGGCGAAUGGCUGAGAGCGCUCCAAGUGAUGCUGAUCGUUGUGAGGCUCCCGAAGGAGCGCUCGUUAACUAGUUGCUCCCCAGAGAUAAUAUCUAUACCCGUUGUUGUUGAUCGGGCCGGGAUUUGCUUAUUGGGCCGGCGGACUGGCUUUAGCUAAUGAAAAUGUAAACCGUGCAUGUAGCCCAAAAAGUAGGUGUAUUCUCGCAGCCUGUGCAUGCGCCUUCGACCUCUCCACACCCACAAUAAUUAUUUUCUCGAAAAAAAACCACAAUAAUUGUCACGUAAGUCGUUCGAUCGACUCAACAAGGAAAGGCAUCUGAUCAAUCCCCUAUCACCUGACUCAUGCUUUACUCUCUGGUUUCUACACUUGUUUGAAAAAGGGUGUCAAUUAUCUUGCCGUCAAGUCUGAAGAUAAUUGCUCUUAUGUAUCGCUGGAAACGCUUCCAUUUUUUUGUCAGGUCACUGCAAACGCUUUUCUAUUCACACACUGUUGGAAAAUAUUUACCUACACAUUUGGUGAAAACAGUUUAUUUAUUUAUUUUAUUGUCUUGCGUGUGCUGCACAUGUAUGUCCGCCUUUUCACACUUCAGCCCCAACAAAGGCAUGACAAGAAGUCUGUAUAUGUACAUAUUAUCUACAAAGCAAUAAUAGAUUUAGUAGUUCAAAUUGUGUGCUUCUUUGGUGGUGUCGCUGGCAUAAUCAAUUUAUCAUUUUUUGUGUCUCUCAACUGCUAAGGUUGGGAUGUCUAUCUCAUAUAUGUACCUGCGAGCCUCGGGCAGUGGUGGUUUGUUUCCGGAGGGUGCAGCGGUGGCUGAUCUUCCGCGCUUUGUCGAACUGCCGAUGUUGGCAUUUGUUUCUUCUUCUUUUUUUCUUUUGGGCUUGAUGUGUUGCUCGCCCCAGCAAUGCGAUGUGUACCAUGUUGGUUGCUUUGNNNNNNNNNNNNNNNNNNNNNNNNNNNNNNNNNNNNNNNNNNNNNNNNNNNNNNNNNNNNNNNNNNNNNNNNNNNNNNNNNNNNNNNNNNNNNNNNNNNNNNNNNNNNNNNNNNNNNNNNNNNNNNNNNNNNNNNNNNNNNNNNNNNNNNNNNNNNNNNNNNNNNNNNNNNNNNNNNNNNNNNNNNNNNNNNNNNNNNNNNNNNNNUAUGUACCUGUGACAGGAAGUCUCCUAUUGUGUGAACAAAUAUGCUUUUCUCAUAUUCUCAGAAAGUGAAAGUGAAAGUUUUGACUAACUAAGAGUCUGGUUUCCAAUAGCCCCACUAACUAUGAACCUCUUGUUUAAGAACCAUUAAAAAAAAUCAGAAACCACCUAGAGGUUUUAUGCCUUUAACAGUUAGAUGGCAAGAAAAGUGUCAACAUAAGUAAAUCAGUUUUCACUAGCACUCAUUGUAUAAGUUGUACCAUCAUUUUAUUUACUACCUGAUAGGAGAUGUAAAGAUGCAUCUCAAAAAAUCAUUUCCUGAAAAUUGUCACUCAUUAUAUAUGUCUAAAAAACCAUUAUUAUAAUUUCCUUUACUCUACAUUAAUAUUUUAUUUGUUACUAUCUCAUAAGAAAUGCUAUCCGUUGUGAAAAUUGUCAUUUCCUAUAUGUCUCUUUGAAAUAAACAAAAUAUUAUAUUUUUAGACUAGGAUUUUGAUAACAUUGUGCAAAAAUAUUGCUCUAUGUUUUGAAGCAUUUAUAUAAUAUUUGUCAUUAUUUUUGAAAACUGGACAAGCGCAGCAAUGCGCGCUAUCAUGAUUAGUCAUUUUUUAAAUGAAAUUUAUUUUGAAAAUGUCUAAAAAUUGAAUACACAAAACAAUUAUUGAAAAAAUGCGAACUUUUCUUAUUUUGAAAAACAAAUUGGAACGGCUAGAAAAUUUUAAAUUUCCAAAAAAUUCAAAAUAUGAACAAAAUUUUGAAAUUCUGAAGAUUUUCUGGAAAUAAAAAAAUGAAUUUCUGAAAAAAAAUCUAUUUAUGGAAAUAAGGAAAAAUAUAAAUAAACUAGGAAGGGAAAAAGGAAAAAAGAAAAGAGAAAGAUAAAUGAAAAUAAAUAUAAAAAUAGAAACAGAACACAAGAAAGAAAAAUAAUGAAAAUGGGCCGGCCCAAUCUUGGGCGCCCUAUGGGAAGCUCCAACUAUUUGCCGCACUGUGAGGCAAAAAGGUUUCCCAGAUGUGUGGGCAGUAAAUAAAUGGGUUAGCUUUGCUGGGCCGCAACGCGCGCCGCCAUGUACGGUAUUCUGGACAAAACUGUUUUUUUUUCUUUUCUAGCAGAUGGACGAGCAAAAUAUAGUACCACCUUGGACAGAAAAAUAUUCUUUUCGCUACUGAACGGAUCAAAAAAUCAGAGAAAUGCACCUUGCUUUAUUAGUAGGUAUAGAUAAUCAUCAGGUCAACACCAACAUAAGAAAAAUGUAUUUGCAUGUUACAUAUUCAUGGAAUGAAAUGUCCGGUAAACUAAGCAAGAAAAUGUGUCUAUGAAGAAGGUGGCAUGUUGCUAAUGUUAUUGUGUUUUUGGGUGAAACGGGUGCACUCAACCACGGGAUAUCCAAUGCAAUAUCAAAGCAUUGCCGUGGAGCUUGAACAAAAAACAUAAUACAUUUCAGAAAAGCAUGCAGAAAAUAAUUUGGACAAAAGCUAGUUUUAAGAGAGUUUAAGCUCUGAUUUCUAGAGAAACAUACUAUUUUUCAAAAAACACGCAAACACAUAGAGUCACAACAACAGCAAAAUAUGUCGCCAUGUGCCAUAUGUAGGUCUCACCUAAACCAUCUACAAGGUAUCCAACUUUAUCACCUCCAUAGUAACAAGCUUAACCAUCAUUGUCACUCUUUUAUCUCCCUUGUCAUGCUCCCUAGGUUAAUUGCCGCCAUGUGAUACGGGAAUUGUCUGUCAUGGGUAACUGCCUUGUGUGGCUUGGUAUGUAAGCUCACAUAAGGAGCCAACACUUAGCUUUGUGUACUUCCACAUUCCAUGCCAGAGUUUAGCAGCUUUACACAAUCCAAAUUCGCAGGAGUAAACUAACAGGGUAUAAGCUCACAUAAAUGACUUACCUAGGAAGCUCACUGCUAUGUAUGUGGCUUUUGGCUACCAUGCGUAUGGGAUGGCCGGGUGGUCAAGGACAACAAGGGUGGUGUCUGCAUGAGAGAUGAAUUUGUAUCGGCUAAAUAAUCACCUGGUCAAUACUGACAUGGCAAAGUCAACAUAAAAAAUGUAUUUGCAUGUUUGAAUGAAGUGUCUCAAAAACUAAGCAAGCAAAUGUAUCUAUAAAGUAUAUGAAGNNNNNNNNNNNNNNNNNNNNNNNNNNNNNNNNNNNNNNNNNNNNNNNNNNNNNNNNNNNNNNNNNNNNNNNNNNNNNNNNNNNNNNNNNNNNNNNNNNNNNNNNNNNNNNNNNNNNNNNNNNNNNNNNNNNNNNNNNNNNNNNNNNNNNNNNNNNNNNNNNNNNNNNNNNNNNNNNNNNNNNNNNNNNNNNNNNNNNNNNNNNNNNNNNNNNNNNNNCGAACACGACAUUCAUAUGGUUUUUGUUCCAGAGCGAAUGAUGCUCGAUGCUGCGAUGGUAGGGGCAUGUGCCAAGAUUCGUGCGCCCAGAUCCAACGGCUCCAAGGCUAUUCGCUGGAAGUAACUUCACAGGGAACGUCGGCCAGAUAAAAAAUUCUAAAGAUUUUAAUGUCAUCUUGUUUAGAUAGGCAGUAUCCUCUAGGGAGUGACUAAUCAUCAGAAAUUCUCACACAAUAAAAGAAACACUAAACCUGGCCAAUUUUUUAAAAGACACUAAGAAAAUGUGAAAAUAUAAGGAUGGCGGCAACAAGAAAAAGAUAUUAAUUUUACUCCUUAUAAAAGCAAGAAAGAAACUAAGAAAAUGACACACUUUUCAUGAUUGAACCCCGCGCGCGCACCCACCUGUAGGUUGGUACAAACAAUGAAAACAGAGAAGAGCCUGUUGAGAGGGAACAAAAUCAUACCUGGAAUCUUGAAAUGAAGAAGACAAUGAGAUCAAUGAAGAAACAAUAGAAACUUUUGUUGGGAAUGAGAUCAAUGAUCAAUGAAGAAAAUGAGGAUGAGCUUGACCACAGUGCACUGCACAAAAAGGUUUCCUGGAAUUCAUUCUCAACUAAGUAUUACAUGAAGAGACAAGCACACGGCCUGUACAACAUAAGCAUCUUCAGAAAAUUUCAGCUCAUUCUCAAUGAUGUAACAAGACUCUAAAUCCGAGAAAAGGAGUAAAAAGAAGUAGUACGUGGUAUUCUAGGCAAAGAGCGACUACAAACAAGAACAUAGGAGAAGGUUUUAUGUGGUGCAAGUUCAUACUGAGAAAGAGGAUUACUCCGGCAUUUGUUGCAAGUUUGAAAAAUAUAUGACAUUUUGUGCUCUCAUAUUCUGAAAGUGAUGCUGCACUUUGAGGUAGAUAAGAUACCAGAUAAAUACAUAAUAGACAGAUGGCGGAAAGAAGGAAAGAAAAUGAAUAAACCCAAAGGUUCCACUUUGAUCAGCUCAGGUACAAUGUCCUUGGAAUGAAGUUAAUGCAGCUGGGCUCGAACGGAUCAAAAAAUCAAUACAAAUAUGAGUACCUGUGAACAAAAAUGGACAGAAUUAAACAACAUUUUAAUACUAUGGACAGGGAUCAAGAAGAAGAGAUGGAUGGACAUGGUAUGCAAAUAGAGGAAUGAAGCAAUUCCAACAGGGCAAUAGGAACCCUGACCACUAUGGCGCAAAGCGGAGGUGACAGUUCGACUAUUGAGCUAUUGAAUCCUGACGAGUCACACACAAAUACUACCACAACUUAGCAAUUUGUCUAAACUCCCUGAUUGGAUAAGUGUUUUUCAGGCACUGUAGUUAAAAAAAUGAAGUGAAGUUUGCAGAAGUUGAACUUCAUUUUAAACGAUAGCCAUUGCUAGAAGAACUAAACAAAAAGUAGGCCCUUUCGUCUUUGAGACACAUCGAUCUUUCACAACUAACGCACAACCUAGCCGACCCGUCUCCUGGUAGAUGUCGAUUUCUUCAUGUGUGUUGAGAAAAACUAAUUCAGGGGCGCUCUAAUUUUUUUUACUGCUCGACUGAUCCCUGAAAAUUUUGACUUUGAACACACCUUAAUUGAAGGCACUACAACGCAAAAGAAAAUCGUCUACUGAAAAAUGAACACCCUUGAACCUGCACUACAACAAAAAAGAAACCUGCACCAAAAAACAACCAGUGCUCAUGCAGGAAAAAUGCCUGAACAUAAAGAAAGCAUACUGAAAAUUAUAAUAGCCAAUACAUAACAGGUAACGGGAAAAAUUCAGGUUCGUCCAUUUUUUCGCGAGGUAGGUCCGUCCGUUUUAGCGUAAAUAAAUCACACAAAAAAACUGUAAGCUUGCUCCCAAAACUCGGGUCUGAGAAGCAAAGCCAUCUCCAUAAUGAAGGAAUUACUUAAGCUUAAUAAUGUACAGACCAUGCUAAAAUACUGAAUAAUCUAGCAACAAAAACUAGCACUCAUUCACUAAACUGAAAAAUGAUAAGUAGAGAAAACAUAGAUUGUGCGCAUGUUUUCAUGAUGGAAGAUGCUGACUAAGAAAAAGGAUUCAGAACAUUCCUUCAUCCAUGCUUACAUCAACAGAAAGCAGCCGAAAAUGCCGCCUGAAUCAUUACUAAACAUUGCAUAGACCCUCCCACAAAAAUCGAAUCACCGGCAAAUGCCUACUCCCACACCAUCUGAUUAGUGGUGAAGUUGUAACUCAACACUUGGUAGAACCGGAGAUCUACAUCCAGAAAAACAAUGAGGCGGACUUGGCGAUGAAAUUUGGGGACUGACUGACACGCGCGCAUAGGUGGCUUCAAAAUAUUCGGGAUCGUUUCUCAUGAACCACUCAAAAUUACAUGGGUGAACUAAGCUACCGCAAAAAGUUCCUACCCAAAAAGCAGCUAACUGAACAACCCCUGCGACUACAAAUCAAACAGGAAAGAGGCAGACCAGAUAGAACAGACAAAAACGACUGGAGACAAAUUUUAAAAAAAACUGAUCCUCUAUUUGUAUACACUAGCACAUAUGCCCAUGUGUUGCAAGGGAAGAGGUAAUUGACAUGUCCACUGAAAUGUCCGUCAGCACGGCCCAACAAUGUUCAAAUUGGGCCCGGCCAUGGCGGAGAGGCGCAUACUAAGGUCUAACAGAAAUUCAUGUCAGUAGUACAUUAAGAAGCAUGCUACACAUACAAUAAUUUUGGUACUUUAUUUUUACAGUGAUUCUGGUCUUAAAGAACUUAAUUUUCAAAGAAAAUAUCAUACCAAUGAAUUAUUUGUAAGUUGAAGCAAUGUUUGAAAUUUGCACCAAGUCAUGAGAAAAAUCUCAAUAAAAGGAUUCUAUUAAAUACGUUUUAUGCCAUCUUUACAUAUGCUUGAAGAUUAAUAAAAAAAGAAUGUAUACGUCUUAGCAAAACUACCCUAGUUCAUUGCAUGCAACUCGACACUCAUAUAGCGCCUCGCACCGUUUGGUUGUGUUAUUUCUGUUGCACAUAACGGUCACACACUGCAUAGCAACACAUAUAUGCGUCCCCCUCCCAUGUCCCUCGGUAUUAGUUCCUUCUCAUUAUUGCAUUGAAUGCAUGCCAUGUUCUUGGUCUUAAUACCAAUUUCUUUGCAUUAUUCUCUCCUCCAUUUUUUUUGAAUAUCCCAUCAUUUUUUUAUCCCCACUGGUCACGCCCUUUAUUCUCUCCUUUUUUUAUUACUCAUAUAUGCCCAUCGAAGCCGAUCAUCCAUACUCUCUCCAAUCCAUAUAGGCCCUCCUAACAUACUUCAUAGAUAUAAAGGCUAUAUAUUAGUUAUAUUGUGUGUUAGCAUUUUCCAAAAUACACCAUUGCAAUUAAUUAGGUUAAUUAAGGUUAUGCAUUAAAAAUAAUUUUAAAGUAGUUAACAUGAAAAAAUAAUAGCACGGUUGGAAACUACGCAUUUUUUAUCAACAUACAUAUAUAAAAAUAAUAAUCUGAGUUACGGUUGCAAAAUUAUAGUAUGAUAAUAUUUAACAUCUCUGUAAAUAAUAAAAGUAGGGACCUAGACAGACUGAAAACAUAGCGAAUUGGGCCUACUGAGGCUAAAUGCGGAAUACUAACCAGCGCCUAGGCGCGCCAGAUAGCGACUACCGCAGUUGGGCGAAGCCCAACAGAGAAAGGGCAAUUAAUAUUGAACCGCGGGUUAUUAAAAUAAAAAAAUCAGGGGCUAUUGUGUAAAAAUGCUGACGGUGAACGAGUAGAAACGCUCCGUCCCUCCGAGUAGGGCGUUUCGGUGCCCAGGCUCAUCUGCAUCCGGUUAGAAAAAAUUCGUAAAGAAUUCAGAAAAAUACAAAAAAUUCCAAAAACAAAAUCUGCGGUAGACAAUUUGAUGCGUGAGACCCGCUCUAAGUUUUAAGUCAUUUGGACAUUUGAGCAGCUCUCAGCAAAAAAGACAAAUCGGGCCAAAACAGUACGUGAACAGUAAACAUUUUUAUAGACUCUCAAUUUGUCUUUUUUGAUGAGAUCUCCUCGGAUGUCCAAAUGAUAUGAAAAUUGGAGCGCACCUCAGGCAUUAAAUUGUCUACCACACAAAAAAAAUUGGAUUUUUUAGUAUUUGUUUUGAUUUUUUUCAUCAGCGCGGGUGCAGAUGAGCUCGGAUGCGGAGAUGGAUUUUCGCCGUCCCUACAUACUUUAUUAGUACGUUAGGUAUAGAUGUAUGACGUUGCAUUGCUACAGAGGACAAGCAUAUUUGAUAUCUUCUUGAUAUUAGAAAAAUGUUGUUAAAGAAAUAGUUGCAUCACAUAGCUUUGAAAUUUCUAUAAUCAAUUCGAGGAGCACAACAUGAAUCCGAACUUCACGUCAAUGCCCACGGUGCAGCCAGGACGUGAAGCGGAACCCUCUUCCGCGAGGUGAUCCCAGGCGCCUCCUCCAUGUCCACCACCUCCUCCGUCCCGCCCUCCGGCAGCGCCCAGUCGAACCGGCCGACGAGGUUGGCAAUCGCGAUCUCCACGAUGGACAUGGUGAAGUUGAUCCCCGGGCACACCCUCCUCCCGGAACCGAACGGUACGAGCUGGAAAUGCCGGCCCCGGAAGUCCACCUCGCCGCCGGUGCCGAGAAACCUCUCCGGCCGGAACUCCUCCGGAGACUCCCAGCUGCCCGGGUCCCUUCCGAUGGCCCAGGCGUUCACGAUCACCAUGGUCUUGCUCGGCACGUCGUACUGCUGGAUCCUCGUCUGCUCCAUGGCCUCGCGGGGGAUCAGCAGCGGCCCCGGAGGGUGCAGCCGCAUCGUCUCCUUCAUCACCGUUUUCAGGUAGACCAUCCCCUGUAAAUCUUCUUCGGUGAUCAUAUCGGAGUUGGUGCUUACGGAUCUACUCCUUAGCUCGUCUUGUAGCUUUUCCAUGGCCUCCUUGUUGCGGAGCAGCUCUGCCAUGGCCCAUUCGAGCACGAUGAUGGUGGAGUCUGCCCCUGCCCCGAACAGAUUCUGCGUGUCCGGCAGGAAAUACGACGUGAAUUUUUAGGUAAAGUCACAGUCAGUCAGUGAGUGACUCAUUCAGUGCGCGUACCGCUAGGAGCCCCUUCACGUUGUCCCUCGUGAAUCGCCGCUCCGUGGACGCGCCGCCGGUGCCGGUGCCGGAGGUGUUGUUGCCGAGGGACAGCAGCACGUCGACGAAGGUGCUGUCGUGCCGCCCCAGCGCGUCGCCUCCGUGGACUCCGCCCAUGCGACUCUCCGCGGCGUCGACGAUCUCCUCGAGGACGGCGUCGAUCCUGUCGAACGCCUUGCCGACCUUGGUGUCGGUGCCGUCCAGGGCGCCUACCCACGCCAGGCUAGGGAAGUAGUCGCCGACGUGGAACGUGCCGAGCAGCGCGUUGCCCUCCUCCAGCAGCGCGUCCACCUUGGCGCCCCACCCGUCGGCGCGCGUGGCGGCGCUCGCCCCGAACACGAUCCGCCCGAUCACGUUCUUGGCGAACACGGCCAGGAGCUCGCUCAGGGGCACGACGCGCGCCUGCCGCCGGACCUUGUCCAGGAGCGCGCCCACCUCGUCCUCCCGGACGGCGCGGUAGGCGCGCACCCUGGCGGGGCUGAGGAGGUGGAGCACGCAGGUCUUGCGGGCGCGCAGCCAGUAGGGGCCGUGCGGGGCGAAGGCGACGUCGGUGCAGCCGUAGAAGAGCUUGGAGGGGAUGGCGAGCGAGGGGCGGGUGGCGAAGACGUGGUCCUGCGCCAGCAUCACCUCCCGCGCGGCGCCGGCCGAGGACACGACGACGGCCGGGACCUGGCCGAGGCGGAGGAGCAUGACGGGGCCGUGCGCGGCGGCGAGGGCGGCCAGCGUGCGGUGCGGGAGGCGGCCGCCCGCGAGCUGGUGCAGGUUGCCCACGAGCGGGAGCCGCCACGGGGAAGGCGGCGGGGCGGACUUGGAGUGAUGGGAGCGAGCAGCACGGAGGAGUAGCGUGCAGCACAGGAUGGUGGCCACGGGGAGGAGGAAGAGGAGGACGGCGUCUUCCAUGGCCGGCCGCUCUCUCGUGGACCCGUCUUCCAUGACGGGGUUGGCAGUGUUAACUGUUGACAGGACAGGAGUGGUGCGGCUGAUGCCCGGCCGGAUUUGACGGAUCGAACAUGGAGCAGCAGCAGACAACUACUAUUACUAUGAGAAGAAAGGUGGGAAGCAGAAGCUCGAUAAUGGCCACACCGAUCGGGCAUGUGCCAUUUAAUACUCUACGUGCGGCACUGUGUAUCUUCUAGGUAAUGAUAUGAUUUUCAAUGUUGCACUCUGAUCAGCAUGUGCUGCAUGGGGGACGCCCGUGCACAUGCAUGCAUGGGAGGAAUCAUUACAGAUCUCCACUAGCACUACAAACCCUCAAAAUAAAAUAAAAAUCUCCACUACUACGUCCCUCCCAAAUAUUAAGGGCUAAAUCUAUCUCGAUGCUAUAUCCAUAAGAUCUUAUAUUGAUCCAUGUAAAUUUUUGUUUUAUGCUUGUUCUUUAUUUUAUUUUUCUUACGUAUUGUGUCACUUGAGUUUCGGUCAACUGAAACCUAGCUACACUAACUUCAACAUGAAUCAUCAAAACGGCCGUCAUGAAAUAUUCGUGACACGUCCCGAAAAUGACCGCGAACAACUUUAGGGAUUCAGAGUUUGUCUUGGGGUAAAGACUUCUUUGUUUUGUUGAAUCAGCAAUGGAGGCCAUCCAACCGGAAUUGUCAAAUAAAGAGGAUAAUAGAUUUUCAUUAUAUUUUGGAAUAAUAUUUAUACAUAGCAAAAGGACUGGGCGUUGUGGUUCUAAGUCUGACAGUAGAAUAGGGGGUAUGUAUGAAGAGGCAAGAUCCUAGCUACGGUGAAGUUGUGCACGUGAGAUUUACGAGUUCAGGCCCUUCGCGAAGGAAGUUAGAGGGGGUGCGAACCCUUGUGCCUGAGGAGGGGUGGCUUAUAUAGAGUUCGCCAGACCCCUCCGGCCCUCACUUACACAGGGUUCAAUGUACAUAAAGAUAGGACGUUACUGGUAACGCCAACAAUAAAGACAUAUAAAUGAUCAUUAAGACUACGGAGUGAACGCCUGACCAUUGUCAUUCAGAGUGACCUCAGAUCUUCUGUUCUCCGAGUGGUUUCCAGUAUGGUCGAAUGAAUAUAUCUUGGUCGAAUGGAAUUGGGCUAUCCGGGUGAACUCUCAGUCGAGUGGGUUUGUGUCCUGUGGUGAUUUCAGUCGGUAGAAUCCGUUGUCCUUUAAAUGUCCUUGACUGUAGGGCAAUGUCCUUGGGUAGGGUGCUUAGAUCAGGUCUAUUGCCCUACCCUAGGUACAUGUCAUCGUCAUUACCCCCCGAAUGGUUCUGGGCCCGAGUGAAGAUGGAGUUGAAGGUGGUUCCGACCCAACUUUCAUGCUUCGGAAGCAUUUUACUUGGAUUGGCGAACCAUGCAAAAACUUCAACUUCAUUUUCAGUCGCCUUGAGCCAUUCAGAAGUUGUCGAGUGAACUUUGUUGAUAAGCUUCGAGUGUUUAAUAUGGUAUAAAAUCUUCGGCAUGAUUGACCGCUCUGUCGUUCCUGGAUCUCGCGUGAUUCAAAAUUUGGGGAAGCGCGCGGGGCGGAGAGGGCCGCGGUAAUCAGAGUGGAUUAGGCUGGGGCGCCUCGAUCCCCACGCCACCUUUUUCGCCACGUACUGCGCGCGCGACUGUUGCGGGAUUUGACAGGAUUGCUCGGGCCCACAAGUCAGUCACUCCGCGAACAAGCCCAUAUAAGGCAUAUGGGCCGGUACCUUUGCACUAUGCGCCCCAUUUCCUUUCUUCCUCCUCUGCUUCUCCACUGCGCCCGCCUCCUCCCUCGAUGCCGCCGCCCGGCCCAAGCGCAACCCGCAACGAUGGCGAAGGACAAGACGGCGGCCCUGGAGCGUGCGAAGAAGGCGACGGCGAAGGCAAAGGGCAGGAAGACGAGCCGGGGCGGGUCGUCGUCGAGAUCUAGCCUGCCGCCCGGCUGGAUCCAGGGCAACUGGAUUCGAUCGACGAUCCAGCAGGAGGACUUGGAGGAUCUGGUGGAGGGGGGAUUGAUUCCCCACGACUCCUGGCAGCUUCCGGAGGACGAGACUGAGCCGCAGCCGUAAGAGGGUGACUGUGUCCUUCUCGCCACUCACGUCGACCGCGGAUUCUCUUUGCCUCCACAUCCUUUUUCCAGGGUUUUCUGAAUUUCUUUGGAGCCCAACUUCAUCACUUAUCUCCCAACACUAUCACAUACCUUGCUGCAUUCGUGUCCAUGUGCGAGAACUUUCUGGGGUGUCGACCGCACUGGGGUCUCUUCAAGCACAUUUUCACUUGUCGUUCUUAGUCUGUAAAAAAGGCUAAUCCGAGUGAUGAGAGGACACAUGUGAUCCAGAUGUGUGGAGGUUUAGGAAUCCAGAUGAGGGGUAAGAGCACUUUCCCAGCUAUGAUUCUUCCCGAGUCAGUCAGAGGUUGGCAGUCUACCUGGUUCUACUGCAAGCACUAGCCGACUCCUGGAUAGUCGACUGGCCUUCCCCCAUUUUCCAUGGGUCGAGUUGAGAAAUCCUGCCCCUUGAAGGUGAAUCCAGCUGAAAAAGCGGAGGUGAAUAUGCUAGUUGAUCGAGUAGUCCAACUUGUCCGUGAUGGGGUGACUGGCAUGGACUUGCUAGAGGUAUUCCUCGGUCGACGUAUCCAGCCACUCUAAGCCCGCGAUCAUCCAAUGUGGAUGUACUGGGUAUCAAAGACAUCAUCCGAAUCCACCCGGAAGAAGCCGAUGAGGAGACGGUGGCGCAGUGGUUGCAGGGCAUCACCGGUAACAAGGACAACCCCAGGGGGUCUAGGAGGCUGAUACGUCAAUUUUGCAUCAUGUUUUUAUACCGAUAAUUAUGGCAUUAUGGGCUGUUAUUACACAUUAUGUCACAAUACUUAUGCCUAUUAUCUUUUAUUUUACAAGGUUUACAUGAAGAGGGGGAAUGCCGGCAGCUGGAAUUCUGGGCUGGAAAAGGAGCAAAUAUUAGAGACCUAUUCUGCACAACUCCAAAAGUCAUGAAACUCCACGGGAGUUAUUUUCAGAAUAUAUAAAAAAUACUGAGCGAAGAAAGUACCAGAGGGGGGCCACCCACCAUCCACGAGGGUGGGGCCGCGCCCUACCCCCUGGGCGCGCCCCCUGCCUCGUGGGCCCCCUGGUGGCCCUCUGAUGCCCAUCUUUGGCUAUAUGGAGUCUUUCGUCGAGGAAAAAAUCAUAAGCAAGCUUUUGGGAAGAAACUCCGCCGCCACAAGGCGGAACCUUGGCGGAACCAAUCUAGGGCUCCGGUAGAGAUGUUCUACCGGGGAAACUUCCCUUCGGGAGGGGGAAAUCAUCACCAUCGUCAUCACCAACAAUCCUCUCAUCGGGAGGGGGCCAAUCUCCAUCAAAAUCUUCACCAGCACCAUUUCAUCUCAAACCCUAGUUCGUCUCUUGUCUCCAAUCUUUGUAUCCAAACCUCAGAUUGGUACCUGUGGGUUGCUAGUAGUGUUGAUUACUCCUUUGUAGUUGAUGCUAGUUGGUUUACUUGGUGGAAGAUCAUAUGUUUAGAUCCAUUAUGCAUAUUAAUACCCCUCUGAUUAUGAACAUGAAUAUGCUUUGUGAGUAGUUACGUUUGUUCCUGGGGACAUGGGAGAAGUCUUGCUAUAAGUAGUCAUGUGAAUUUGGUAUUCGUUCGAUAUUUUGAUAAGAUGUAUGUUGUCAUCCCUCUAGUGGUGUCAUGUGAACGUCGACUACAUGACACUUCACCAUUGUUUGGGCCUAGAGGGAGGCAUUGGGAAGUAAUAAGUAGAUGAUGGGUUGUUAGAGUGACAGAAGCUUAAACCCUAGUUUAUGCGUUGCUUCGUAAGGGGCUGAUUUGGAUCCAUAUGUUUCAUGAUAUGGUUAGGUUUACCUUAAUACUUCUGUUGUAGUUGCAGAUGCUUGCAAUGGGGGUUAAGCAUAAGUGGGAUGCUUGUCCAAGUAAGGACAGUGCCCAUGCACCGGUCCACCCACAUAUCAAAUUAUCGAAGUACCAAACGUGAAUCAUAUGAACGUGAUGAAAACUAGCUUGGUGAUAAUUCCCAUGUGUCCUCGGGAGCGCUUUCCUUCAUAUAAGAGGUUGUCCAGGCUUGUACUUUGCUACAAAAAGGAUUGGGCCAUCUUGCUGCACCUUAUUUACUUUUAUUACUUGCUACUCGUUACAAAUUACCUUAUCACAAAACUAUCUGUUACCGAUAAUUUCAGUGCUUGUAGAGAAUACCUUACUGAAAACUGCUUAUCAUUUCCUUGUGCUCCUCGUUGGGUUCGACACUCUUACUUAUCGAAAAGGCUACAAUAGAUCCCCUGCACUUGUGGUUCAUCAAGACUCUUUUCUUGCGCCGUUGCCGGGGAGUGAAGCGCCUUUGGUAGGUGGAAUUUGGUAAGGAAAUAUUUACAUUGUGUGCUGAAAUUUACUGUCACUUGUUACUAUGGAACAUAAUCCUUUGAGGGGCUUGUUCGGGAUAUCUUCACCCCGACCAGUAGAGCAAAGAGUUGCUCCUCAACCUACUGAAAAUGUUUACUUUGAAAUUCCUUCGGAUAUGAUAGUGAAACUGUUAGCUAAUCCUUUUGCAGGAGAUGGAACAUUGCAUCCUGAUUUACACUUAAUCUAUGUGGAUGAAGUUUGUGGAUUAUUUAAGCUUGCAGGUAUGCCCGAUGAUGUUAUCAAGAAGAAGGUCUUCCUUUUAUCUCUGAAGGGAGAGACAUUGACGUGGUAUAGGCUAUGUGAUGAUAUGGGAUCAUGGAACUACAAACGAUUGAAAUUAGAAUUUCAUCAGAAGUUUUAUUCUAUGCAUCUUGUUCAUCGUGAUCGUAAUUAUAUAUAUAAUUUUCGGCCCCGCGAAGGAGAAAGCAUCACUCAAGCUUGGGGGAGGCUUAAGUCAAUGUUAUAUGCACGCCCCAAUCAUGAGCUCUCAAGAGAAAUGAUUAUUCAAAAUUUUUAUGCUUGGCUUUCUCUCAAUAAUCGCUCCAUGCUCGAUAGUUCUUGUACUGGAUCUUUUAUGAUGAAGACUAUUGAAUUCAAAUGGGAUUUAUUGGAAAGAAUUAUACGCAACUUUGAAGAUUGAGACCUCGACGAAGGUAAGGAGUCAGGUAUAACACCUAAGUUUGAUUGUGUUAAAUAUUUUAUGGAUACCGAUGUUUUCCGUGAAUUUAGCACUAAAUAUGGACUUGACUCUGAGAUAGUAGCUUCUUUCUGUGAGUCCUUUGCUACUCAUGUUGAUCUCCCAAAGGAGAAGUGGUUUAAAUAUAAUCCUCCCACUGAGGUAAAAGUAGUUGCUCCUAUUAAAGUUGAAGAAAAGACUAUCACUUAUGAUGAUCUUGUUGUUCCUGAGCCACCUUUCCCUGUUAGAAUAAAGGAUCAUGCUAAAGCUUCAACUGUAGUCAACAGAAGUAAUAUUAGGACACACAAACCCCCUGAGCAAGUUAAAGUUGAACCUAAAAUUGCUAUGGUUAAAGAUCUCUUGGCCGAUAAUAUUGAUGGGCAUGUUAUUUACUUCUGCAAUGAAGCUGCUAGAAUUGCUAGACCUGAUGCUAGAAAUAAACAUACACCUGUUGUAGGCACACCUGUUAUUUCCGUUAAAAUAGGAGAUCAUUGUUAUGAUGGCUUAUGUGAUAUGGGUGCUAGUGCAAGUGCAAUACCUCAUUCCUUAUAUGAAGAAAUUAUGCAUGAUAUUGCACCUGCUGAGAUAGAAGAUAUCGAUGUUACCAUUAAACUUGCCAAUAGAGAUACUAUUUCACCGGUUGGGAUUGUUAGAGAUGUUGAAGCCUUGUGUGGGAAGGUUAAAUAUCCUGCUGAUGUUCUUGUUCUUGGUUCCCCAGAAGAUAGCUUUUGUCCCAUUAUAUUUGGUAGACCCUUCUUGAACAUUGUUAAUGCUAGGAUAGACUGCAAAAAGGAUGUUGUUACUAUUGGUUUGGGUGAUAUGUCUCAUGAGUUUAAUUUUGCUAAAUUUAGUAGACAACCCCGUGAUGAGGAAUUUCCUAGUAAAGAUGAAAUUAUUGGUCUUGCUUCUAUUGCCUUGCCUCCUAGUGAUCCUUUAGAACAAUAUUUGCUAGACCAUGAAAAUGAUAUGUAUAUGAAUGAAAGAAGGGAAAUAGAUGAAGUAUUCUUUAAACAGGGACCUAUUCUGAAACACAACUUGCCUGUUGAAAUCCUAGGGGAUCCUCCUCCACCCAAGGGUGAUCCUGUGUUUGAGCUUAAACCAUUGCCUGAUACUCUUAAAUAUGCUUAUCUUGAUGAAAAGAAGAUAUAUCAUGUUAUUAUUAGUGCUAACCUUUCAAAGCAUGAAGAACAGAAAUUAUUGAAAACUCUGAAGAAGCACUGUGCUGCUAUUGGAUAUACUCUUGAUGAUCUUACGGGCAUUAGUCCCACUCUAUGUCAACACAAAAUAAAUUUGGAGAAAGACGCCAAACCAGUUAUUGAUCACCAACGACGGCUAAAUCCUAAGAUGAAAGAAGUGGUAAGAAAGGAAAUAUUAAAGCUCCUUGAAGCAGGUAUAAUUUAUCCCGUUGCUGGUAGUUAGUGGGUAAGUCCUGUCCAUUGUGUCCCUAAGAAGGGAGGUAUUACUGUCAUUCCUAAUGAUAAAGAUGAAUUGAUUCCGCAAAGAAUUAUUAAAGGCUAUAGGAUGGUGAUUGAUUUCCGCAAAUUAAAUAAAGCUACUAAAAAAGAUCAUUACCCUUUGCCUUUCAUCGAUCAAAUGCUAGAAAGAUUAUCCAAACAUACACAUUUUUGCUUUCUAGAUGGCUACUCUGGUUUCUCUCAAACACCUGUGUCAGCUGAUGAUCAAGAAAAGACUACUUCUACUUGCCAUUUCGGUACCUUUUCUUAUAGACGUAUGCCUUUUGGUUUAUGUAAUGCACUUGCUACCUUUCAAAGAUGCAUGAUGGCUAUAUUCUCUGACUUUUGUGAAAAGAUUUGUGAAGUUUUCAUGGAUGAUUUCUCUGUUUAUGGAUCUUGUUUUGAUGAUUGCUGAGCAACCUUGAUCGAGUUUUGCAGAGAUGUGAAGAAACUAACCUUGUCUUGAAUUGGGAGAAGUGCCACUUGAUGGUUAAUGAAGGUAGUCUUGGGGCAUAAAAUUUCUGAAAGAGGUAUUGAAGUUGACAAAGAUAAAGUUGAUGCUAUUGAAAAGAUGUCGUGUCCCAAGGACAUCAAAGGUAUAAGAAGUUUCCUUGGUCAUGCCGGUUUCUAUAGGAGGUUCAUUAAGGACUUCUCAAAAAUUUCCUGGCCUCUGACUAACCUAUUACAAAAAGAUAUUCCUUUUGUCUUUGAUGAUGAUUGUGUAGAAGCAUUUGAAAUACUUAAGAAAGCCUUGAUUUAUGCACCUAUUGUUCAACCACCUGAUUAGAAUUUACCCUUUGAAAUCAUGUGUGAUGCUAGUGACUAUGCUGUAGGUGCUGUUCUAGGACAAAGAGUUGAUAAAAAAUUAAAUGUUAUUCAAUAUGCUAGUAAAACUCUAGACAAUGCCUAGAGAAAUUAUGCUACUACUGAAAAGGAAUUCUUAGCAGUUGUAUUUGCUUAUGAUAAUUUCAGACCUUAUAUUGUUUAUUCUAAAGUAACUGUUCACACGGAUCAUGCUGCUAUUAAAUAUCUUAUGGAAAAGAAAGAUGCUAAACCUAGACUUAUUAGAUGGGUUCUCCUGCUACAAGAAUUUGAUUUGCAUAUUAUUGAUAGAAAGGGAGCUGAGAAUCCCGUUGCAGACAACUUGACUAGGUUAGAGAAUGUUCUUGAUGACCCACUACCUAUUGAUGAUAGCUUUCUUGAUGAACAAUUAGCUGUCAUAAAUGCUUCUCGCACUGCUCCAUGGUAUGAUGAUUAUGCUAAUUACAUUGUUGCUAAAUUUAUACCACCUAGUUUCACAUACCAGCAAAAGAAAAGGUUUUUCUAUUAUUUAAGACAUUACUUCUGGGAUGACCCACACCUUUAUAAAGAAGGAGUAGAUGGAGUUAUUAGAUGUUGUAUACUUGAGCAUGAACAGGAACAGAUCCUACGCAAGUGUCACUCUGAAGCUUAUGGAGGACACCAUGCUGGAGAUAGAACUGCACAUAAGGUAUUGCAAUCCGAUUUUUAUUGGCCUACUCUCUUCAAGGAUGCCCAUAAGUUUGUCUUAUCUUGUGAUGAAUGUCAAAGAAUUGGUAAUAUUAGUAGACGUCAAGAAAUGCCUAUGAAUUAUUCACUCGUUAUUGAACCAUUUGAUGUUUGGGGCUUCAAUUAUAUGGGACCAUUUCCUGAUACGUCUCCAACGUAUCUAUAAUUUUUGAUUGCUCCAUGUUAUAUUAUCUACUGUUUUGGACAUUAUUGAGCUUUAUUAUCCACUUUUAUAUUAUUUUUGGGACUAACCUAUUAACCGGAGGCCCAGCCCAGAAUUGCUGUUUUUUGCAUGUUUUAGGGUUUCGAAGAAAAGGAAUAUCAAACGGAGUCCAAACGGAAUGAAACCUUCGGGAAUGUGAUUUUCUCAACGAACAAGACCUAGGAGACUUGGACCCUACGUCAAGACACAAAAGAGGAGGCCACGAGGUAGGGGGCGCGCCUACCCCCCAGGUGUGCCCUCCACCCUCGUGGGCCCCCUGUUGCUCCACUGACGUAAUUCUUCCUCCUAUAUAUACCUACGUACCCCCAAACGAUCAGAUACAGAGCCAAAACCCUAAUUCCACCGCCGCAACUUUCUGUAUCCACGAGAUCCCAUCUUGGGGCCUGUUUCGGAGCUCCACCGGAGGGGGCAUCGAUCAUGGAGGGCUUCUACAUCAACAACAUAGCCUCUCCAAUGAAGUGUUAGUAGUUUACCUCAGACCUACGGGUCCAUAGUUAGUAGCUAGAUGGCUUCUUCUCUCUUUUUGGAUCUCAAUACAAUGUUCUCCCCCUCUCUUGUGGAGAUCUAUUCGAUGUAAUCUUCCUUUUGUGGUGUGUUUGUUGAGACCGAUGAAUUGUGGGUUUAUGAUCAUGUCUAUCUAUGAACAAUAUUUGAAUCUUCUCUGAAUUAUUUUAUGUAUGAUUGGUUAUCUUUGCAAGUCUCUUGGAAUUAUUAGUUUGUUUUGGCCUACUAGAUUGAUCUUUCUUGCAAUGGGAGAAGUGCUUAGCUUUGGGUUCAAUCUUGUGGUGUCCUUUCCCAGUGACAGUAGGGGCAGCAAGGCACGUAUUGUAUCAUUGCCAUCGAGGAUAACAAGAUGGGGUUUAUUUCAUAUUGCAUGAAUUUAUCUCUCUACAUCAUGUCAUCUUGCUUAAGGCAUUACUCUGUUUUUAACUUAAUACUCUAGAUGCAUGCUGGACAGCGGUCGAUGAGUGGAGUAAUAGUAGUAGAUGUAGAAUCAUUUCGGUCUACUUGUCACGGACGUGAUGCUUAUAUACAUGAUCAUACCUAGAUAUUCUCAUAACUAUGCUCAAUUCUGUCAAUUGCUCAAUAGUAAUUUGUUCACCCACCGUAGAAUACUUAUGCUCUUGAGAGAAGCCACUCGUGAAACCUAUGGCCCCCGGGUCUAUCUUUAUCAUAUUAAUCUACCAAUACUUAGUUAUUUUCUUUUGCUUUUACUUUGCAUCUUUAUCAUAAAAUUACCAAAAAUAUUAUCUUAUCAUAUCUAUCAGAUCUCACUCUCUUAAGUGGCCGUGUAGGGAUUGACAACCCCUUAACGUGUUGGUUGCGAGGAUUUAUUUGUUUUUUGCAGGUGUGAGGGACUCGCGCGUAGCCUCCUACUGGAUUGAUACCUUGGUUCUCAAAAACUGAGGGAAAUACUUACGCUACUUUGCUGCAUCAUCCCUUCUUCUUCGGGAAAAACCAACGCAGUGCUCAAGAGGUAGCAAGAAGGAUUUCUGGCGUCGUUGUCGGGGAGGUCUACGCAAAAGUCAAUAUACCAAGUACCCAUCACAUACCCUUAUCUCCCGCAUUACAUUAUUUGCCAUUUGCCUCUCGUUUUCCUCUCCCUUAUCUUCUUCGUUGACCCCUGAGUUGGAAAUCUUUCACUUUAAACAAAGACUAGGAGAAAACUUAAAAGAUGCCUGGUUGAGAAUAAUGGAGUCUUAUCAUAAUUGUACCUCUGAAAUAACCUGAGAAUUUUGCUUUGCAAUUUUUAUGUUGGAUUAAAUAUGUCUCAUAGACAACUCUUGGAUUGCGUUGCCAAAGGCAAUUUUAUUGAAAUCGAUCCCCAUAUUGCGCUUGAAAUUAUAGAAGGUAUAGUAGGAACACUACCUCAACAAAAGGGGCCUCAUCCUACGCAGGAAGAGACACAAGUUUUUGAAUUUUUUUGUGAAGUUACUAAAUUUUUAGAGAAGUCUCUUGAACCUCUUAAGAACGUUAGCGGAAAUAUUCACCGAAUGAAUAUGUUCAUUACUCUUUGCAAUAUGUGGUUGGAUUCUUUAUAUCUAAAAAUUUCAGAAUAUGAUGGGAAACGUAAAGAACCCCUCGGAUUCGAGCUUGAUUCUUCUAAAAAGUUGAAAACCAAAGAUGGCAAUACCUAGAUCUAUCCUUGCUUGUUAUGCCUAGCUAGGGGCAUUAAACGAUAGCGCUUGUUGGGUGGCAACCCAAUUUUCUUUUUAUUCCUUGCUUUUUGCUCCUGUUUAGUAAUAAAUAAUUUACCUAGCCUCUGUUUUGGUUGUGUUUUUUGUGUUUAAUUAGUGUUUUUCCAAGUAGAACCGUUGGGAAGACUUGGGGAAAGUCUUGUUAAACUUGAUGUAAAAAACAGAAACUUUAGCGCUCACGAGAACUGCUGUAAUUUUUAUUUGGAAAGUGCUAUUUCGUUAAUUCUUUUUGCAGAUGAUUAAUAGAUAAAUUCCUCACGUUUAGCAAUUUAUUUUAGAAUUUGUGGGGUUACAUAUCUUCCGCUAGCUACAGAUUACUACAGACUGUUCUGUUUUUGACAGAUUCUGUUUUUCGUGUGUUGUUUGCUUAUUUUGAUGAAUCUAUGGCUAGUAAAAUAGUUUAUAAACCAUAGAGAAGUUGGAAUACAGUAGGUUUAACAACAAUAUAAACAAAGAAUGAGUUCAUUACAGUACCUUGAAGUGGUCUUUUGUUUUCUUUCGCUAACAGAGCUCACGAGAUUUUCUAAUUUGAGUUUUGUGUUGUGAAGUUUUCAAGUUUUGGGUAAAGAUUUUAUGGAUUAUGGAACAAGGAGUGGCAAGAGCCUAAGAUUGGGGAUGCCCAUGGCACCCCCAAGAUAACCUAAGGACACCUAAAAGCCAAAGCUUGGGGAUGCCCCGGAAGGCAUCCCCUCUUCCGUCUACUUCUAUCGGUAACUCUACUUGGAGCUAUAUUUUGAUUCACCACAUGAUAUGUGUUUUGCUUGGAGCGUCUUGUAUUAUUUGAGUCUUUGCUUUCUAGUUUACCACAAUCAUCCUUGCUGUACACACCUUUGGAGAGAGCCAUACAUGACUUGGAAUUUGUUAGAAUACUCUAUGUGCUUCGCUUAUAUCUUUUGAGUUAUAUAGUUUUGCUCUAGUACUUCACUUAUAUCUUUUAGAGCACGAUGGUGGAUUUGUUUUAUAGAAACUAUUGAGCUCUCAUGCUUCACUUAGAUUAUUUUGAGAGUCUUAAUAGCAUGGUAAUUUGAUUAAAAUCCUAAUAUGCUAGGUAUUAAAGAUUCGUAAAAUUUUCUUAUGAGUGUUUUGAAGACUAAGAGAAGUUUGAUGCUUGAUGAUUGUUUUGAGAUAUGGAGGUAAUAAUAUCAAAGUCGUGCUAGUUGAGUAGUUGUGAAAUAGAGAAAUACUUGUGUUGAAGUUUGCAAGUCCCGUAGCAUGCACAUAUGGUAAACAUUAUGUAACAAAUUUGAAACAUGAGGUGUUAUUUGAUUGUCUUCCUUAUGAGUGGCGGUCGGGGACGAGCGAUGGUCUUUUCCUACCAAUCUAUCCCCCUAGGAGCAUGCGCGUAGUACCGAGGUUUUUGAUGACUUGUAGAUUUUGCAAUAAGUAUGUGAGUUCUUUAUGACUAAUGUUGAGUCCAUGGAUUAUACGGACUCUCACCCUUCCAUCCUUGCUAGCCUCUUCGCUACCGUGCAUUGCCCUUUCUCACAUUGAGAGUUGGCGCAAACUUUGCCGGUGCAUCCAAACCCCGUGAUAUGAUACGCUCUUUCACACAUAAACCUCCUUAUAUCUUCCUCAAAACAGCCACCAUACCUACCUAUUAUGGCAUUUCCAUACCCAUUCCGAGAUAUAUUGCCAUGCAAUUUUCCACCAUUCCGUUCAUCAUGACACAUUCAUCAUUGUCAUAUUGCUUAGCAUGAUCAUGUAGUUGACAUAGUAUUUGUGGCAAAGCCACCAUUCAUAAUUGUUUCAUACAUGUCACUCUUGGUCCAUUGCAUAUCCCGGUACACCGCCGGAGGCAUUCAUAUAGAGUCAUCUUUUGUUCUAGUAUCGAGUUGUAAUCAUUGAGUUGUAAAUAAAUAGAAGUGUGAUGAUCAUCAUUUCCUAGAGCAUUGUUCCAAGUGAGGAAUUAUAAAAAAGAGAAAGGCCAUAAAAAAGAGAAAGGCCAAAUAAAAAAAUGAGACAAAAAGAGAGAAGGGACAAUGUUACUAUCCUUUGCCACACUUGUGCUUCAAAGUAGCACCGUAAUCUUCAUGAUAGAGAGUCUCUUGUUUUAUCACUUUCAUAUACUAGUGGGAAUUUUUCAUUAUAGAACUUGGCUUGUAUAUUCCGAUGGGACGUAGUCGAGGAGUAGUUUUGUUCUGGAAGAGGGGGAUUAACAUAUCACUAAGAUCUUAUGGAAGGAGGCAUGUGGACGUGGAUGUUACGGAGGAGGAUGGGAGGAUAUGGAGGCUCACAGGGGUGUAUGGUGAAUCAGAAUUGGAGCGGAAAGUUGAGACAUGGAAGAUGAUGCGCAUCCUUGGGCAGCAACACCAAAACGGGCGUCCGUGGUUGUGCCUGGGGGAUUUCAAUGAGAUUCUUACCGGGGGUGAGAAGAUAGGGGGAGCUGUUCGUCCUCAACGGUUCAUGGAUAAUUUUAGGGAGGCUCUGGAGGUGUGCGGGCUUUGUGAUAUUGGUUAUGAAGGAGAGAAGUUUACAUGGAGAAACCACAGUAAGGAGGUGGAUUUGUACAUUUGUGAGCGCCCUGAUAGGGCUACGGCCAACGCAAAGUGGUGCGAGUGGUUCCCUGAGUUCAAUGUGAUCAAUGGUGCCCGUUGACAUUCUGACCACAGGCCGGUUAUUGUAAGCACACAAGGGGAGCCAAGGAGAGCAGGUGGAGGUGAUCGAGGCUUCCGUUUUGAGGCUUGGUGGCUGCAGGAAGAGGGGUGCAGUGAUGUGAUCCAAGGAGCUUGGGAGGAGGGGUGUCUAAAGGACAGAGGUGAUGUCGCGUCUGCUAUGACCAAUGUGGCAGGGAGAAUGAGGAAAUGGAGCCGGGAGGUGGCGGGAGAGUUAGAGGAGCGCCUGAGGAAAGCACGGCGUGAGCUGGAAAACUGCAUGCGGGCGCCAGUCUUGGAUGCCUUGUCGAGGAACUAGAGGGCAAGAAAAAUACCAAAGCUAACAACAUUCCCAUGUCACAUGGCUCCGGGACGGAAAUAGGAGCACAAAGUACUUUAUGGCCGUGGCAUCAACGAAGAGAAAGGCAAACCGGAUUAAGAAGUUAAGAAGGGAGGAUGGCACGGAGGUGAAGGAAGGGGAGGAGAUGACUAACUAUGUCUGUUCAUUUUUUCAGGAUCUCUUCAGUUCAGCGGGUGUAAACCGACUACCGGGACUCAUAAAUAAGGUCCAACCCCAUGUGACUCCGGCAAUGAGAUCCAUACUGGAAGCAGAAGUAACACGGGAAGAGGUUAAGGCGGUGCUUGACCAUAUUGGUGAUUUAAAGGCGCCGGGUCCGGACGGUAUGCCCUCCAUCACCUAUAAGAAGCAUUGGCAUUUUAUGGGAAAUAAAGUAGUUGAUGAGGUGCUUGCGGUGCUGAAUGGUGGUGAUAUGCCGCACAGGUGGAACGAUACGGUUGUAGUCCUUAUACCGAAGGUAAAGAACCCCAACAGAAUAAAGGAUCUACGGCCGAUAAGCCUCUGCAACGUGGUUUACAAGAUAGUCUCCAAGGUUAUAGCAAACCGACUCAAACUUGUGCUCCCGGAUAUUAUUUCCUUGAACCAGAGCGCCUUUGUCCCAGAUCGGAUGAUCACUGACAACAUGCUUGUGGCCUAUGAGUUGUCGCAUUAUCUUCUUAACAAGAAGAAGGGAAAGGAGGGCAUCGCAGCGGUGAAAGCGGAUAUGAGUAAAGCAUAUGAUAGAGUUGAAUGGGAGUUUCUAAGGGCAAUGCUGAGCAAGUUGGGAUUUGGUACUCGCUGGAUCGAUUUGGUCAUGAAGUGUGUAUGCUCUGUAAGAUACCAAAUAAAAAUAAAUGGUGUUCUGACCGAUCAAUUCACUCCCUCUCGAGGUCUCAGGCAAGGGGAUCCAGCGUCGCCAUACCUAUUCGUCAUCUGUGCGGACGGGUUGUCAGCCCUGCUACAUGAUGCGGAGGCGACGGGGAGGAUAACCGGGGUCAAGAUCUGCCCGCAAGCACCGGUGGUCUCGCAUCUGCUCUUCGCUGACGAUUCAGUCCUACUCUUGAAAGCUAGGCAAGCGGAGGCACAGGAGCUGCGCCAUGCACUAGAUCUCUAUGAGGCAUGCUCUAGGCAAUGUAUCACCCUCGAGAAGUCAGCGAUCAUGUUCAACCCUAACACCAGAGCAGCGAUCAAAUCAGUUGUCAAGAACGCCUUGCAAAUUCAGAGCGAAUCAUGGAAUGAGAAGUACCUUGGUUUGCAUGUUCACGUUGGUAAAUCAAGUCGGAAAGCCUUUGCAUUCGUCGAGGGAGCUAUGGCAGGCCGAGUAUAUGGCUGGAAAGAAAGGCUUAUUGCAAAGGAGGGCAAAGAAACCUUGGUCACGACGGUCGCUCAAGCCAUCCCCACCUUUGCUAUGUCUUGUUUCUACUUGACAAAUCGUUCUAUGAGGAACUAAGCUCUUGGGUAGGAAAUUAUUGGUGGAGUCAACAGGACAAGGUUCACCCCAUCCAUUGGAUCGGCUAGAAAACACUAACCAAGCCAAAAGCUCAGGGGGGUUUAGGGUUUCGAGACAUGCAUGAUUUCAACAUUGCUUUACUAUCUAGGCAGAUUUGGAGACUCAUCCAACACCCAGAUUCUCUUUGUGCGCAAGUACUGCAGGCUAGGUAUUUUCCGAGCGGCAAGAUCCUUGAUGCUGUCCCUAAAGAUGGUAUUUCCUAUUCCAGCGCAGUCUACUUCAUGGACUUGAACUGUUUCGGGAGGGGUUUAUUUGGAGGAUUGGUGAUGGGACUCAAGUUAGCAUUUGGUCAGAUCCUUGGAUACCUCGGCCCUGGUCACGUCGAGUCAUAACACCCAAAGGACAAAACCUUCUAGAGCGAGUCUGCGGCCUCAUUGAUCCAGCUACCGGGCAGUGGGAUGAGCAACUGGUUCGAGACACAUUUUGGGCAGACGACAUCAAGCACAUCCUCCAAAUACCACUUCACGAAGGGGUCCAAGACUUUAUUGCAUGGCAGUAUGAUACUAAGGGUGCCCACUCUGUCAAGAGUGCUUAUAAACUAAAACGGCAACUUGUGCUGCACACGCAGAAUGGAGGGGAGGGAGGAAGUGACUCUAAUCCUGGAAAUCUGAACACCGCCAAAGAUGACUCCUGCUAGCGGCUGUGGAGAUUGCCUUGUCCAAAAAAUAUCCAAAUGUUCACUUAGCGCCUCAAACACAAGUCCCUCGCCCUUCGCACCAAUGUAGCACGCAAGGGGAUCCCAAUCAAUGACACAAAAUGCUUGUUCUGUGGUAAGGCUGAUGAGGACGUAGCACACCUUUUCAUUAAGUGCAAGACAGUGAAGGAAGUGUGGAGGGACUUAGCAAUGGAGAAGGAACGAAUGGAGCUGGAGACCAUUACGUAUGUGCAUGUAAUGGUAGACUACCUCUGGGGUCUGGAUGAAAAAAAGCGGCUUCAUGUGCUCACCUUCUGGUGGUUGUGGUGGUCAAACAGGAACAAGCUUAGAGAGGGAGAACUGCCUCUCGCGGCGGCAGAAGUGGCGAGAAGGACCAGAAGCAACGUUCUCGAAUAUCUGCAAAUUUUCAGGAAAGCAGAUCUGAACGUAAACCCGGAUAGAUGGCGACCUCCGGUCCAGGCUGGCUACAAGAUUAAUGUGGAUGGCUCCUUUGUUCCUGGCCAGAACCAUGCAGGGUGGGGUGUGGCGGUGAGAUCAGAAGAGGGGGUCCUCUUACACGCCCGAGCAGGGAGAAGGGACAAUGUUUGUGAUGUUUUUGCAGCUGAAGCUAUUGCCAUGUCACAUGCAAUCACAACAGCAGCAGAGCUCGGCUUGGUUCGUGUGGAGUUCAAGACUGACUCCCAGCUUCUGGCGGAGGCAUUGGAUUUGUGGAAGGUGGAUUCUUCGGCGUACGCGGCGGUUAUCGAGGACAUGAAAUACCAACUGAAACUCUGGUUUUCUUAUUUCUCUGUCUCUGUUUGUCGUCGUACAGCAAACUCUGUCGCUCAUGAACUGGCUAGUAUUGGUCGCUUGUGUGAGCCUGACCACUGCAUGCAGUGGCAGGAGGAUGUACCUGCCCAAGUGGGCGCUUGUGUUGUGGGCGAUUUGCCCGCACGUUGAGUAAUAAAGCCAUGUUGCUUUCAAAAAAAAAGACAUCACAUGUGGCUAGGUCAACCUCAUGACCCUGCCAUCAUCCCUCUAAACUUGAGUGUUGAUUAAUAAAGCCUAGCAUGUUGCUAACAAAAAGGAGAGUAACUCCUAUUCGGUGUUCAAGUCAUCAUGUACAGUGCACUUGGUACAUGGCGCCCAAGCCCAUAUUGGUUUUGAGAAUGGUUUAUUUUAGGUCAGUUUUUAUAGUCCUUUCAGGGCCAGUUUUUAAAGUUUUAUUUACUUCUUUUUAAAUUUUUUAUUUUUCUAUUCUCUUUUUGUGAAUAUUGUUUGAAUUCAGGUUUUUGAAGUUCAUUAACCUUUUUUGUGAAUUUUUUAAAAUUGCAAACAAUUUCCAAAUUUGCAAACACAUUUCAAAUGCAUGAUGUUUUUUUAACCAUAUCUUUUAUCAGCUGGUGAACUUUUCUAAAACUCUGUGAACUUUUUUCCAAAUUGGCGAACUUUUUUGAACUCCUUUUUUUAAAAAUUGCAUUUUUUAUCUGUGACACACGUGAACCUUUCCGAAGCCCAUAAUAUUUGGAAAUCUGUGAAUUUUUUGAAUGGUCAAUGCUCAUGUCAACAAUACAAGGCUCUAGUCAACAAAAGGGUCAAGUCAAUGAUCAACACGUAAAGUUACCAGAUCAAUNNNNNNNNNNNNNNNNNNNNNNNNNNNNNNNNNNNNNNNNNNNNNNNNNNNNNNNNNNNNNNNNNNNNNNNNNNNNNNNNNNNNNNNNNNNNNNNNNNNNNNNNNNNNNNNNNNNNNNNNNNNNNNNNNNNNNNNNNNNNNNNNNNNNNNNNNNNNNNNNNNNNNNNNNNNNNNNNNNNNNNNNNNNNNNNNNNNNNNNNNNNNNNNNNNNNNNNNNNNNNNNNNNNNNNNNNNNNNNNNNNNNNNNNNNNNNNNNNNNNNNNNNNNNNNNNNNNNNNNNNNNNNNNNNNNNNNNNNNNNNNNNNNNNNNNNNNNNNNNNNNNNNNNNNNNNNNNNNNNNNNNNNNNNNNNNNNNNNNNNNNNNNNNNNNNNNNNNNNNNNNNNNNNNNNNNNNNNNNNNNNNNNNNNNNNNNNNNNNNNNNNNNNNNNNNNNNNNNNNNNNNNNNNNNNNNNNNNNGUUUUUAAUGGUUUUUUUUUGUUUUCUUAGUUACUUUAUCGGUAUUCAUUGUUUUCCAUUCCUUUGUACUUGUUUAUUCAAUUUUUCUUUCUUUUGUUUUCUUUUUUCCUUUGCUUUUUGUUUUUUUUUCAUUCUACAUUUAUCGUAUAUGUCAUGAACUUUUUUCUAAUACACGCUCAAUAUUUUUCCAAUAAAGGCUUAACAUUUUUGUAAUACACAGUCAACCUUUUUUCUUUACACAUUUUUUAUAUUUUCAAAUGCUUGAUUAACAUUUCUUAAAUACAAGACCAUCAUUUUCUAAAUACAUGGUUAACAUUUUUAUUUGCAUAUUUUAUUAUUUUGAAAUUCUUGACUAACAAUUUUCAAAUACAAGAUUAAUUUUGUAAAUACAUGGUCAACAAUUUCUUCUAUAUACAUUUAACAUUUUUUUCAAAUGCUUGUUUAACAUUUUUCGAAUGCAAGAUUAAUAUUCAUUGAAUACAUGGUCAACAUUUUUUCAUUAGACAUUUAACAUUUUUUUUUCAAAUGCAUGAUUAACAUUUUUUAAAUACAUGAUCAAAUUUUUUCAUGCACAUUUUUUGUGUGUAUGUGAGAAGCAUUUUCUCAAUACACAUUUACCAACUUUCAAUUGCUUGAUUAACCUUAAACUUUUUUUGCAAUUUUUUAAAUGCAAAGUGUUUUUUGUAAUAUAUUUGUUUAGAAUAUUUGGAUGUAAAAAACUUGAAAACAAAAACAUGAAACCCCCCAGAAAAUUCGAGGUUGUGGCUUUCGGUGAGCUGGGCCAGCACAUCUGGCACUUGCUGUGACGCGAGGGUUCCCUGCAUCUCACUAUAAGCGAGACAUAGGGGCGUCCUGCCUUACCUUGUCAUGCUUUGCUGGCUUUUGGACGGUGCUUAUAAAAAGUCCCAGACUAGCAAAAAAAUGCAUCUUAAGCCCACCCGGGAGACAAGCCAGACCCUCUCCAGGACCGGGUCGUCGGGCCUUGCUGCGCGGGGAGAAUAUCUAGUGCUUCGGCACCCUGGGUGCUAUAGAGAUACAGCAUCCGAGAGCCGUUGGAUCUGAAAUUCAACGGGCUCCCGGGAAUUCUGAAACAUUUUGCAAAAAGCCAUUUAGAAGUCCGAUAAUUAGGCAUACAUUCAGCAAAUCCAGCAACUCCCAAAUACCGUCCAUCUGAUACCCGAUGGCCAGGAGCCCGUAUCACGGUAGCACCUGGGUCCUUGGGAGGACCAGAUAUUCUUCCGGUUACCCAUGCCUACCCCUCAAAGAAAAAAAGGCUACACAUGCCCAUAUUUAGGACCCGGACACACAAUAACGAAACCAUCCGAGGACCAAACCGCAAAACCUCCCCCUCCCGUCGGCCAAGGAAGGAAGACUCUUCCGCCCGAUAAAGCAUCGGAAGUCUCCUCCCCACCGCGCCGAGUCAAACAAACCUCCCCCAAUUCCAUCCCCAUUCCCCAAAAUUUUCCCCACCGGCGACGACGCCCUCCCCAAAUCCGAUCCGCCGCCGCCGUUGACGCCAGCCAUGGCCGCCGCCUGCCGCGCCCUGCUGCUCCUCCUCGCCGCCGCCGCGGUGGCCCUCCUCGCGGCGCCCCCGGCGGCCGCCGCCCGCCCCUGCGGCCGCGCGCAGACGCUGCUCAUCUCCUUCUCCUCCUUCUCCCGCCCCAACCCGGACCCGGCCGACCCCUCGCCGCUCACCACCACCGUCGUCACCGUCCUCCGCGUCCGCCGCCUCGGCCCGCACCGCUUCCACGCCCACGACCAGAACCACCUCCAGAUCCGCCGCCCCGCCGAGUCCCUCCCCGCCGUCGGCACCCCCGAGACCGACGCCGACGCCGCCUCCUCCUUCCAGGAGCGCGCCAAGGACAUCCUCGUCGUCGUCUCGGGCCUGCUCUUCGGCUUCGGCUGCGGCGCCCUCACCGCCGCCUCCAUGUACCUCGUCUGGUCCCUCGUCGCCUCCACCGGCGCCGCCAGCCCCUACGAGGAGCUCUACAGCGACGACGAGGACGACGACGGCGCCGAGAGCCCCAAGAAGGCCGGCUACGUCAUCAUCCACGGCGCCGAGGACGUCGUCGCCGGUAAGAACUAACUAGGAUCGGGCUUUGCAAUCGUCGUCGGCAGGCAGAGGAUUCGGGUUGCAUAAUUAUAUGGAAUUGUGGAGUACUCUUAUACUAUAUUCGCACCUAUGAUACGUGUUGCGCCUGUUUACCGUUCUCUAUGUGUGUGUGUGUGUGGUUGGGGAGGACAAAUUGUGAAGAAUGUGAUUCCUAUCUGUUCUUACAUAUAUAUGGUCAAUUUCAUGCCCAAACAUGAUUAUGUAUCCAUCCUUAAGCAUGAAACUUGAUGGUUUCUGCUGCCUAGUAAAAUUGCAACAUGUAAACAACCUGUGGUGAAUUGUAGCAAGUUGUUUGUGCAGUUAUCGUCACCGAAUGUGCAGAAUUUUCACCCCUGACAGGGGUAUCAGUCGAGUGAUGUGUCUAUUUCGAUGGGAUCGGGGCCUGGUGUAGAUAAUCCUGGAGUGAUCAGUCAUUUGUCUGCAUAGGGACACCUCAUAUAGUCAUGUUUGCAUCAUUUCCCACUAAAACCCGACCCCUGAGUGUGACUCUGGAACCUCCUUGGAUGUAUGCAUGGCUUCCAAUUAGGCAAAGUUAGGUGCAGUGCACCGACUGUCUAAUGCUAUGGUUUCUAGUAAUAAACUGAUUUCUGAUCCCCUUGAAUUUCUCCACUCCACUACUUAAUCGCGGAACCUACUCCUGAAAUGAAAUUUUAUGAAAUGUGAGCUCUUGGAUGGCUCCAUUUCUUCUCUUUACCCCUGACCCAUAUUAAUAACGGUAUGGCACCGACAAUAUAACACAUUGGUUCCCAGUAAUAGACUGAUUUCUGAUCCCCUUGAAUUUACUCCUGACCCAUAGUAAUAUACUGUCCACACUGUUGCACCUGUCUAAUGUUCUCUAUGUGUAUGGUUGGGGGCAAGAAAUUGUAUAUGUGCUUUAUAUCUGUUCUUGCAUAUGGUCAUUUUCAAACUGAAACAUGCUUAGUAUCCAUCCUGAAGCAUGGAACCUGCUGGAUUCUGUCUUCUGGUUCUUACUUAUGGUGAAUCGUAGUAAGCUGUUUGUGCAGUUGUGCAGAAAUUGGGGCGUGAUGUAGAUCAUCCUGUAGUGAUCAGUCAUUUGUCUGCAUAGCGACACCACAUGCACCACAUGCAGUUAUGUCUGUAUCAUUUCUAACUGAAACUUGUCCUGUGAGGGUGACUCUGGAACAUCCUUGGCACCUGCAUGGCUGUGCAUUAGGUAAUGUUAGGUGCAGUGCACCGACAAUCUAACCCUAUGAUUUACAGUAAUAAACCGAUAUCCNNNNNNNNNNNNNNNNNNNNNNNNNNNNNNNNNNNNNNNNNNNNNNNNNNNNNNNNNNNNNNNNNNNNNNNNNNNNNNNNNNNNNNNNNNNNNNNNNNNNNNNNNNNNNNNNNNNNNNNNNNNNNNNNNNNNNNNNNNNNNNNNNNNNNNNNNNNNNNNNNNNNNNNNNNNNNNNNNNNNNNNNNNNNNNNNNNNNNNNNNNNNNNNNNNNNNNNNNNNNNNNNNNNNNNNNNNNNNNNNNNNNNNNNCUAAGAAAUUAUGAAAUUACGUAUGUGCUUUUUAUCUGUUUUUACAUAUGGUCAAUUUCAAACUGAAACAUGCUUUUGUAUCCAUCCUGAAACAUGGAACCUAUAGGAUUCCGUGUGCUGUGUAGCACAAUCGUAACACAUUUACAAUCUGCGGUGAAUUGUAGUGAGCCGUUCUUGCAGUUGUGCAUAAAUUGGGACCUGAUGUAGAUUAUCCUGGAGUGACCAGUCAUUUGUCUGCAUAGUGACACCUCAUGCAGUUAUGUUUGUAUCAUUUCUCACUAAAACUUGUCCUGUGAGGGUGACUCUGGAAUCUCCUUGGCAGCUGCAUGGCUUGGAAUUAGGUAAUGUUAGGUGCAGUGCAUGUGAGGCGGAUAAUCUAGUGCUAAGGUUCCUGGUAAUAAACUGCAUUCUGUUACCCUCCUUGAAAUUUUGUGAAAGGUGAACUCUCUCCAAUGGCCCCAGCUCCUCUUGUUGGCGCCGACCCGUAGUAAUAGCUCAACAUAUCAUAUCAUUUUGCUUUUUGGAAACUAUCUGCCUUCAUUGAAUUUGGUAGAUGAUUGGAUUUGCCUUACUGAUGCAAAUGUUGCUGUAUUGAAAGCGUCUCUUGAGCGUAGUGCAUUAAAUCAUCGAGGCAUUUGUUAGAUGAUUGGGUUUGGUAAUAUCGCCCUGCCUCAGCGGUCCAGAUUUAUUAUUGCUUGCUAUGUUUCCGCUGGUAAUUAAGAGCUUGACCAACUGCAGCUUGCCUUUCUGCAAUAUACUUCCAGUUUGUCCUUAUGAAUUAAAGGAGCUUGAACAAACCGUAGCUUGCCUUUUUCUAAACAUUAGGUGUAGCGUUUCUUUCCUAGUACAUACACACAUUUUGUUUCUUUCGUAGUUCACCUUUGACUUUGAGUGGACGCGGUCCCGGGCGCACUGUAGGCAUCGCGGCGGUCCGCCCGAUAGACUCCACGCUCGCCUCGCCGCGCCGGUGAAGGUAACUAGUUUGUACACCGAGCAGGAAAUAAAUAGCUUUACCGUCAAUAGACUUGAUGAGGGAGCGGUCGCCACUCGCCAGGGAGCAUUGUCAGCUCUUGGGUUGCCAUGGCCGAAAGGCGAGGAGCAAGGUGGCACACAGAAGCAGCAGCGGCACCGGCUUCACAAGUGUGGGAGAAAACUUGUCCGAGCACCGUCUCCGGGAGUGACGCAAGAUAGGUCGCGCUAGAGACCUUCCAAGACCCCCGGCAUCUUUUGGGCGUCACACGUCCUUCCAACCAACGAGCGAGGUAGCGGGUGCCUGAGCAGGAUGACUCCCCCGACCAGAAGAAAGCACCGGAGACAAGGGGGUGAUGCAGCUUAAUUGUCUUGACGACACAUUUGCUGAAUGAGGCGCUGCAGCAUGUCAGCCACCAAGGUGAAGAGGUAGGGGGACAAAGGGCCCCCCUGGCGCAGUCCAACCUCCCUGGGACACCAUUUAGUAGCACCACAGAUCGGGUAGACUCCAAUGUCUUUGCUACCCAACCGACCCAGCGCAAGGAUGUCCAAGAGGGCUGCUCCAAAUCAACGAGUCGAAGGCCUUUGCAAAGUCAAGCUUCCCCGCAAGGGUGGGCGCCUUGCGCUUGUGACAGACCUAGGUGAUCUCAGAUGCGUAGAAAAAAGUUCUCAGCAAUGCACCUCCCUUUGAUGUAACCGGUUUGGUCAAGGUCUAAAAGGGCAGCCACCUCGGGCUGGAGCCUAUUUGUUUGCCCCUUGGCCAAACCCUUAAUGCUGGCAUUUUGAAGGGAGAUUGGGCGAAAAGAGGCUUACGUUUUAGAUUGUUGUCAAUACGUGUCACUGCUAAAAACAUGUAUCAAAAACAGGCUUACUUUAUAAAUAAAGCCAAAAGGCAGGAAGAUAGCAAUAACAACACAGAAAAGUAUCAAAAACACCCAAGCCCCAACGACGGGCGAGACGACAGGGGCCAGUACACGGCACGCAGGCCGGAAUAGAAAGAUCCAGCUAAAACUAAAGCAUCCGGCCCAAAAGAAGCAAUUAAACAUCCUGCUCUUGUCUGCAUAACUGAGACGCCGUCGCCCGGAUUUUGUAGAUCAGCAUAGAGAGCGCCUCUUGGUCGUCGACCUUAGUCAAUGAUUUCCACUGCUGCAGGAAAGCACACGAUUUAAAUAAGCAGUCAGCCGGUUUAGCCGGAAACACGUGCUCGAUAGUAAAUUUGUUCCUAGUUGUCCAUAGGACCAGCAUAAAGCACCCAAGCCCACCCAAAAGAUGCGCCUGGAUACACCGGAAAGGUUGGAUGCCAAGUUGCGCAACUCGGCAAAGGAGGCAGGGGCCCAAGAAACACGAAGCCAGUCCCGCACGCAACUCCAAAUGAGCUUAGCCAGGUGACAGUGAAAAAAAAUAUGUUCCGUGUCUUCCACAUCACCGCAAAGGGCACAAAACUGGGAGCCCGGUCCAUUUCUCUUACGAAUUUGAUUAGCCGAGGGCAACCGGCAUCGGAAAGCUUGCCACAAGAAAAUUUUAAUCUUAGGGGGAAUACGGGCCUUCCAAAUUUAGGAGAAACGAUUGGUAGGCAUGCCACCAACAAGCUUAGAGUAAAGAGACUUAACAGAAAAGUGUCCAGAGUCAGACAGCGGCCAAAGCACCGAAUCCCCGACCGUCGAGAGCAUAGGGAAGAGGGCAGUAAGACGUUGCCAAUCUUCAAACUCUACAGGCGACAGGGAGCGGCGAAAGGCCAGGUUCCACCCCUGGGAAGCUAGCUUCGCAAUUGAAAUAUUUGGAUCAGAGCAAUAGGAGAAAAGGGUAGGGAAGGUCACCGAGAGAGGUGAUUCUCCACACCACCAAUCUAGCCAAAACCUAAUCGAGGAUCCGUCCCCAACAACAAAAUUAACGAAAGAUUGAAAAACAGGUCUAACUUUGACCAGAGACUUCCAAAACUGAGAACCACCACGCGGCAGAGCAAACAUCGGGCUAGAGGACGGAAAAUAUUUAGCCUUAAGGAUCGACAGCCAGAGGGGCUGAUCCUCAGCGCUCAUAAUCUUCCACCACCAUUUAAUCAUCAAGCAUUGAUUCAUGAUGGAAGUGUUAAGAAUCCCUAACCCCCAAGGUUUUUGGGCCUACACAUCAAUUUCCAUUUAACAAAGCGAUAUUUGCGACGACUGUCCGCCGCAUUCCAAUAAAACGCCCCACGGUGUUUAUCAAAACUAGCAUGAAUCCCAGCCGACAAGAGAUAGAAGCCCAUCAGGAACAUGGGGAGGGAGGAGAGGCAAGCAUUAAUUAGAGCCACUUUACCCGCAUUCGUAUUAUAUCUACCCCGCCAGGGAAGGACCCUGUUGCCCACCUUUGAGACCACCGGGGCAAAAUCUUUGGCAUGAAGCACGUCCGGGGAAAUAGGCAAACCCAAGUAUUUGAACGGAAAGGAGCCCAGCUUACAGUUGAGAAGGUGGGCCACUCGCACGGCUUUCGACUCAUCCACACCAGUAACAACCACUUCGCUUUUGGCGAAGUUAAUCUUAAGCCCCGACAUUGCCUCGAAGCACAAUAAAAUAAACUUGAGGUGGGCAAGGCAGGUCUUAUUUAGCUCAACCAUAAUAAUAAUAUCGUCCGCAUAUUGGAGGUGGGUCAGACCAUGGGGAAUAAGAUUAGAACUAACCGGUGUGGGCAACAGGUGUGGGCCUGGGCUUAAUUUUCCUUCCAACCAUUAGCGCAAGUCAGUCAGUGCGUAAGCUACGUACAACUAUUUACGUAGGUAUAGCAAAAAAGCCCGUAUGCAGAUAAGCCAGCACGAUUCGUAUGAAAAACAGAUUUGUAAAUUUCUUAUCUCCCUUCGUUUUUAAUUAUGAGUCUUUUUAGAUAUUAUAAUAUGGACUACAUACAAAACAAAAUAAGUGAAUCUACACUCUAAAAUAAAUCUAUAUAUAUUUGUAUGUAAUUCGUACUGAAAUCUUUAAAAAGACUUAUACUUAGAUAUGAAGGGAGUAAGUCUUAUGUCAUUUGAUUUUGAACGCCAGUAUCGGGGGCACGGUCGCCAGGAGGGAGAUCGUAGCUGAUGGUUUCGUUCGCUGGGAGAGGCAUCUUUUAAUAAAAAUGCCAUCUAUUAAGAAAAAAUGCCAUCUCUUUAAGAGAUGGCAUUUUACCAUCACACUAAAAGUGUCAUGUUUAAAAAUAAAAACUUCAUAUCCUAAUAAAAAUGCCAUCUAUUAAUAAAUAAAAAAUGCCAUCUUUUAAAAUAAAACAUUCAUCUUAUAAAGAGAUGGCAUUUUAGCAUCACACCAAAAAUUUCAUCUUUUAUAAUAAAAUAUUCAUCUCUUAAUAAAAAAUGUCAUCUCCUAAUAAAUAAAAAAUGUCAUUUCUUAAAAAUAUUAAAAUGCCAUAUCGUAAUAAUACAAAUGCUAUCUCUUAAUAUCAAAAUGCUAUGUUACUAAUUAGUAAAAUGCCACACUCUUAUUAAAAAAACCAUGUAUCUAAGUGAUAAAAAAUCCAUCUCUUUAUAAAUAAAAAUUGCCAUCUCUUAAAAAUAUAAUAAUGACAUAUGUUAAUAACAGAAAUGUUAUCUCUAAAUAUGAAAAUGUCAUGUUACUAAUUAUUAAAAGGCCACGCUCUUAUUAAAAAAAUACAUGUAUCUAAGUGAUAAAAAAUUCAUCUCUUAAUUAAAAAUCAAAUCUCUUAAUUAAAAAUCCAUUCUCUUAAUUAAUAAAAAUGCUAUAUCUUAAUAAUAAAAUACUAUCUCUUAAUGUUAAAAUGCCAUGCUCUUAUAUUAAAAAAAACAUGUACCUAAGUGAGAGAAAACAUUGUUUGCCAGCUAGAUAGAAAAAAGAAGACCAAGGGGGCAGGGGGUGAAAAUGAAUGAAACCGACCCUUUUCCGAAACUUCAACACAAAAUGGCCCCAAUCUAAAAAUAUUUCCGAAACUAGCCCUUUUGCAUGACGCCGGGGACUAGGGCACCAUGCUACACGUCACUACCAUGGCACCCUAGCCCGGGGCGUCAUGCUAUCUAGCAUGGCGCCCCAGCUUUUGUGUUGAAGUUUCAAAAAAGGCUAGUUUCAUCAAUUUUCACACAGGGGGGAGGGGUAUGGGAUUCGAUUUCAGGUCCCUCACGAUGAGUGCUCACUCUCUUAACCACUCUGGUGGGCGGUGGAGUUUUCAAAAUAUAUAUGGCUCGGUCGCCAUGGGUUUUAGAAUCUGACGUGCCUUUGCUUGUACCAAGAUUCAUGCAACGAGAAACCAACAUGGGAAAGAGGGUUCGCUGUGAUUGCCACGCGGGGAACAUCACACUAGUAGAAAACAGGGAUUUGAUCCAGGCCGGAUCAGCCCAUUAGUCCCGGUUCAGUCCAGAACCGGGACCAAUGGAUGCAUUGGUUCUGGUUUGUGAGCCCAGGGGGCCGGCCGGGCCACGUGGGCCAUUGGUCCCGGUUCAUCUGAACCUUUUGAUCCCAGUUGGUGGGAUGAACCGGGACCAAUGGGCCUCGCUUCUGGCCUACAACCAUUGGUCCCGGUUCGUGCCUCAAACCGGGACUAAAGAUUAGACCGUUAGUUCCGGUUUGAGGCACGAACCAGGACUAAUGGGGUUGAGACCUUUAGUCCCUGUUCGUGCCAGGAACCGGUACUAAAGGUUCCAUUUUUAAACUCUACCCCCCCUGGAUCGCUUUUUCAGUUUUAAAAAAAAUAAAAGAAAAUGAUGGAAAUGUCAAAAAAAUAAAAGAAAAUAAGUUUCCCAUGUGAUAUGUGGUCUAGUUGUUGGGAAAAUUUGCAAAUGUGAAUUUUGACUUUAUUUGCAAAAUCUCUCUGAAAUUUGUAAAAAUGGGCAUAACUUUUGCAUACUAACUCGGAUGAAAAAGUUUUUUAUAUGAAAAAUCAUCUACUCAAAAAGUUACAUCCGAAUUUAAUCGGGGGAACCCCGUUAAACAUUUUCAAAAUCCUCAAAAACCUAAUAGAAAAAAGUUACGGGGCUUUUAAGAUCUAGAGUGAAAAAAAUCGAAAAAAAUUCAAACAGUGGGCAAACUGUGGUCAAACAAUGGUCAAACUUAUUCUAGAAUAUUAGUGUUACUAAAUAAUUAUUUCAGUUAUUUCAAUUUUGGUCAAACUGUGGUCAAACAAUGGUCAAACUAAUUAUUCAAGAAAUAUUAGUGUUACUAAAUAAUUAUUGUUUUUUAAAACAAUAGUUUCAAAAUGAAACUAUGAAAUGUGUCACUUCAUGCUCAAGCAAAAUUCCUGAAGGUUAAUAGGAUCGACAUCUUAGUAUUGUCAGGAAAACAACAAUUGCAGACUUGGAGCGAGGGAGAAUAGAACCCGGAAGUUAAGCGUGCUCAGACUGGGGGAGUGGGAGAAUGGGUGACCGUUCGGGAUGUUAGAUGAUUUGGAAUGAUGAGGGGUAAUUAGAGGAUAAAUUGAGAAGUGAUGAGAGGUGGUGAUUACAAACUAGAGGUUAAAAUAAUUCAGAAAUUUGAAAAUAAAAUAAAAAUUCAAAAAAAAAUCAAAAAAAAUCGUAAAAUUUCCUUUAGUCCCGGUUUGUGUUACCAACCGGGACUAAAGGUGGAGCUCCACGUGGCCGCGCCCUUUAGUCCCGAUUCUGGAUUGAACCGAGACUAAAGGGAUAGGCAUUAGUACCGACACUUUAGUCCCGGUUCCAGAACCGGGACUAAAGGCCCUUAUGAACCGGGAUAACAGGCCCUUUUUCUACCAGUGUCAGCUAACUACUAUUUCCGUUGAUUUUACACUGAGGUUCAAUUAUCCGCGCUAGGGUUUACCUACCGGUAGCGGAAGAAUCCCUACCCUAGCCGCCCAUGGCGACUAGGGUUUACCUACUCCACCGGCGUCUAGCCGGCGUUGAGUCUUCCCUACAGUCGUCUGAUCGCUCCGAUGGACCCUUGGGCUGGCCUUGGGAUUGGGACAUGACGAAGGGGUAGAUUGGUUCUGCCAGUAGUUGUGGCGGAUGUUUUUCGUCCAUGACCACGACAAUCGGCAAUGUGCAGGUUGAUCCUACCGCUACCAAGAUUCUGGACCUAGUGCAGGUUGAUAUAGAUAGAAAAUUCCUUUAUUCUAAACAGUUCAACUGUACUCUAAAUAAAUAUAGUGAUCCAAACGAUCUUAUAUUUCUUUACAUAUAGAAUAUAUUCACCUGCGGGUGAUAUGGAUAGACUCUUUCUACAAAAAACAAUAAAUAUCAGUCUUCCUCGGUCUCAAAAUGGGGCUUGCUUCGGUAGACCCCCCCUAACAAGUAGAAGGGCAGGUCAACGAAAGAAGGGUAUGCUCACCUCGUAUUAUAUGGUUGUAGCUGGUGUACGUAGACCGCGUGCAUGCAAAAAAAAACUGCCUGCACGAUCUACCCGCCCACCCCAUCUACUCGCCCGCGACCCCGUCUACUCGGCUGCCCCAUCCGAUCGCCGCCGCCGCGGAUCUCCGCCCUCCGACCCCGUCCGCCGCCGCCGUACGAGCUCGUCCGUAGCCGUCGUCGCCGUCCCAACGGCGUGCGUCGCAGCAUCUCAUCGUCAUUGUCCACCGCCUGGAUGUGAAGGCACCCCGUCUACUCCACCGCCCACCUCGUGUACUCGCCCGCCCCAUCCGAUUGCCGGCGCCGCGGAUCGCCGCCGUCCGACCCCGUCAGACGCCACCGUCGCCGUCCCAACGGCGUGCGUCGCCGCAUCUCACCGUCAUCAUCCACCCCCCGGACGUGAAGGGCCCGACGUGCCACGCCGCAUCCGGACCAGUCUCCCCACCCCCCGUCGCGGAUCCUACCAAACAUCCGGCCGGUGGCUCGUCGUGCACGUGGCCGGCUGGUAGAUUCAAGGCGGGGACAGCUGCCGUCGUCGAACGCCGGCGACGCCUACACCGCGGGGCAAGGUUUGUCAUCUAAACCUAGCGGGCAUGAUGGAUAGAAGUUAGGGCUAGUUAAGUGGCGAAUCAAGGAUAGAAGUUAGGGCUAGUUAAUUUAAAGAACGCUUAUUUGUCAUGACGACAUCACACAAUAUGCACACACCGCUGGGCAACCUCAACUAGUUGUUUCACACAACACAAAAAAGUGUUGUUUGAACCAUUGCAUUAAGAAAAAAAAAUCAUGGUAGCUGCUGGGUUCAUGGAUUACACGUCUUUCUCUUUUUUUGCAAACCAACAUGAGUUUUUGUCAUUGUUGUAAUCAACACUUCAAAUGUUUUGUAGUUUUGUGAGUUAGCUAGGCGUGUUGACAUGGACGAAGAAUCCGCAUUCGGGAGGGACGAGAAUGAUACUGAUAAGGUGACUAAGACUGAUAACGAUAAUUUGAACGGAGAUAUGACAACAACGACAAUGAUUCCGUCUCGUCAUAUGAUAUCUUACCUCCGGAUGAUUUUCAUAGUAAUGAACAUGGCGCAAAUAGUGAAAACGUAAGUGGCGUAUAUUUUGAUUUUAUUUUUAAAUUUGCAAAGUAUGGCAUGGCUAACUAUGUGUACAGAUUUGCAGGAAGAUGUGGAUGUUGACAAUGUGCAACAUAGUUGGCAGGAAUCAUUUGCAGAUAAUUUGAGCCAGGUUAGUUGAUAGAUGUUGUACAUCGAUCAACACUAUGAUUUAAAUGAGGGUUUAAGUGAUACUAAUUGACAUAUAUAUUUUCAAAUGAAUGUUGUAGGAUGAGUCAGAUGGUUCUUGCGUUGAUCACGAUGAGGGAGAUAUCGAUAUUGAGGAGGCUCAAAGGCAGCAGAAGAUGCUUGAGACACAUUGGAAGGUCAUAGCUAUGACCUUUCGGUCACAAGGGGAUGCAUACAUAUUCUACAACAAUCACGCCAGAGAGCACGGGUUUAGUAUCAGGAAACAGAAGGUGAAACGAGGUGCUUCGGGAAGCUCCUGGACCCCGAGGCGCAUAGAGACCGGGGGGUCCUCCUCCUCGUCCGGCGGCUCCCCCUGCCUCCACCUCCGCCCCGUCAAGCCGGAGCCCCAGGGCGCGCCUGUCAGCGCGCGCACCCGCAGCUCCGGCGUCCGCAUCGGCGACAACGCCUCCCCCACCGGCCGCUUCGUCCUCGUCAAGCCCAAGCCAGAGCCCGGCCUCCCCGCGGAGUACGAGGAGGUAGCCCGGCGUGGCUUCUCCGACGAGGACGCCCUGCGGUGGGCGCGGGACGACUACCUCCGCGACGAGAUGGUCCGGCAGCGCCGGGCCCUGGAGGAGAUCGCCGCUCGCAAGCGUGGGCGCGAGGACGAGCACGGCGUCGUGGUCCUCGACAGCGACGACGACGACGACGCCCCCGGACCAUCCAACCCGCCGCGCCAACCGGGGGAGGGAUGCAGCAGGGACGGCAGAGGCGUCGGCGGGGACGACGACGACGACGGCGGCGGUGACUACACGCGGUUCUACCGCCUCCUCGGCAUGUAGAACCGCGUGGGCGGGCGGCGAGGGAGACGACGCGGGUAGCCCGCGGUAGUUUUUCUCUUUUUUUGUAAAGUAUGUUUAAAUUUGAACGAACUCGCCGAUGUUUACGUUAAAUUUGAAUCGUGUUUGCGCCGUAUUUGACUUUUUUAAAAAAACGUGGGCGCCGCGACUGGGGGACAUCACGCCCCCAGUGCGCGGUUUAACGCCGGUGCGUCCCCAGGAGGCGAUUUUUUGCCCCUCCUGAGAAGCCAACGGCUGGAGAUGCCCUUAGAUGGCGGGUUCCAUCCAUCGAUCUGCAAAGCUUUAUAUGGAGGAGGGUUGGCUACGUUCCUAGUGCAAAUCGGCAACCGAUUCCGUUUUGAAUAAGAUAAGAAGACGGGUUUGCUAAUUUUCAGCCGGAUGAAAACAAUUCGGCUUCAUUCGUUUUUCUAGCCGCUCGAUCUCUGUUCUGGGAUUUGUGCUAAUCCGUUUUAUUCCUAGCUUCAGUUCUGUUUGUUGUCUUAUCGGGCGCGCAAGCGAGACCCGUUUUGUUUUCCCUGGCUGGCCGAACCGUUGGUCCUUUUUUUUCUUCUCUUUUUGUCUCCCUGUAGCUGCCUUUUCCCCUCCGGCCCUCCCUUUUCUCAUUCCUAGCAUGCAUCCGAGAGAGGGAGAGAGAGAGUCAUGGCGAUGUUGUAGAUCCCCUCGCCGCCGCAUCUGCCUGCUGAUGUCUGCUGCAUCUCCCGCCUUGAGGUGUGCUGUAUCUCCCCCUUCCCUCGCGCUCCGUCCCUCCCAAUCUCCCCUCCCCUUCUUUCUUUUCUGCAUUUUCGAUGUGUUGUCUUGCUCCUUAGAUCGAUUGAGUUCAGAUCGAUUUUUGUUUAGGUUGUUGUUGUUGUUGAUGUUUAUAUCGUUAGGGCACUCAGAUUUGUUCUUUUAGAUAGUUGAAUGUGAUAGCCCCGCGCCCUUUAGUUGUAUGUGGUCUGUCCUGUUCGUGCACUUGGAUUAGGCUGCAGGAGUGAUUAAUCUGCUAUAGGGGAUUCAUUUACUAUGCAUGGCCAUUUGGAUUAGGGCUUCUUUGCCUUGAAUUGGCUGGCUCGUUUUGUUUGUAUAUGUAUGUGCAAAUGCUCAGUUGGUUCACAAUGGGACACCGUAGAACACCCUGGAAGUGCCCUGUUGUAGGUGUUAGAUCGCCUGGCCAUUUUAUGUUUUCUAUGAAGUUGUGUUUUCAGUUUUUUUAGAUUAGAGUUUUAAGUAGUGUUUUGUUUCUGUGUUUGAAUAGGCAUCAAACUUUCUAUUCUUGCUCUGUAGUUGUAUGCUCAUUUAGGGUUCCAAAUCACAUUUAAGUUACCUGUCAAUUAUCAUGUAGGUUCUAGUUUUCAGUGUAAUUUUUAGUGGAUUUUAUCUGUACUAUGGUAGUGCAAUUACUGUGUGUUGUCAGUGCAUUUUUAGUGUGUUUUAGUGUAAAUAUUAUAUGUAAUUGCACUGUUAUUUGAGUGCAUUUUGACUGUAAUUCAGUGGUUUAGUCUUGCAUUUGUUCCAGUGUACUUUCAAUGCAAUCUCAUAGUAAUUGCAGUGCACUUCAAUUUCAUUGUUGAUGUAAUCUUUGAUGUAAUUACAGAGUAUUCUUGCUGUAUUACUUCUUUAGCUGUAAUCUUUUUGUUGUAAUUUCAGAUUAAUCUCUCUGUAAUUACAGAGUAAUCUCUCUGUAUUUACAGAGUAUUCUUGCUGUAAUUACUUCUUUAGUUGUAAUCUUUUUAUUGUAAUUUCAGAUUAAUCUCUCUGUAAUUACAGAGUAAUCUAUCUGUAAUUUUUUGAUGUAAUCGAGUGAAUAUACAGUGUAAUUACAUAUAAGAAUUUUAGUGGUGUUAGUAGUGGAAUUUGCUCUGUUGUUCUACGGGGUAUGAGUUGGUUGUUUGUCGUGAACUUUGUGUAAAUGUGUGUUUUCUCCAGAGUGUAGAUUUCCGCUCUUCUUCAGCUAGAUUUCCGCUCCAGUACCUUGUGAUUUCGGUAGGUUGUCCUUGUCUUCUCCCUUUCCCCAUUGGAUUUCUUCUAGAUCUAGUUGCUUGUUUCGAUUCCCCUGGCAUUUGAUGCACUUAUAGGUGUAUGUGUAUUUGUAGCGGAGGACUUUCCUGGCAAUUUCGUUGCAGUUGUAGCGGUAGGUGCAUGGAUGUAGCGGUGGAUUUGAUUCCCCUUUUGAUUUUCUAUCACUGGCCUGGGCGUCUGAUUCUGCUGACUAUUUUUUCUAUUUGGCAUGUGUUUCUAGGUAGUAGUUGCAUCUAAGUUAUAGCAGCUCCAUAACUAUAAUUUCAUUUAAUUACAGUGUAGUUUCCUCUGAAAUUGUAGAGUAGCAGCACUGUAAUUACAGUGUUGUUAUAGUGUAAUUUCCAGAGAUAACCAGAGUUACUGUAACUUCUGGGAUUGUUAAUUUUACAAUCACUGCAAUUACAAUUACAGUAUAAUUUCAGGUUAAUUACAGUGCUAUUGUCAGUGUAUAUUUAGUGCAAGUACACUAGAUCAGAAUGAAAUUUUCAUUGCAAUUACAGCUUGUAUAGCAAUAGUUGGGGAGGGGAAUGGGAGUUUAGAGGAGGGAGUUGUGUUGAGAUUAGACAUGGGAUGUUACCAGGAAGUCUCGUGCCCCUUCAAUUCCCAUUCCCUAACUCUAAUUACCCUCAACCAAGCUGUUAAAGUAUUUUUUUGGAGGGUUUGUCUAUGUUUGGUCUACAAGCAUUUUAGAUCUUUUCUUUGUGGCUUGUCUUUGUUGGCUGGUAUUUGCAUUCAUUUUAGAACCAUUUAUUUAUAUUUAUUUGUGUUCGGUAGUAUUGCAUCUAAGUUACAUCACUUCAUGACUGUAAUUUAAUUUUAAUUACAGUAUAAUUUCCUCUAAAAUUACAGACUAAUCGCACUGUAAUUAUAUUGUUACAAUGUAAUUUCAGAGUAAUCACAGUGUACACUGUGCUAUUUUGUUGUAAUUACUGCAAUUUCGCUAUAAUUUACGGUGUUGUUACAAUGUAAUUUCCAGUGGUAAUCACAAUGAUAUUUUUACUGUUAUUACAUAUACUAGGAUAUUUACUGUAUUUAUAGUUAGUGCAAUUACAGUGUAAUUUCAGUAAAAUUACAGUGCUAAUUAGACUGUAAAUCACAAUGUCUUUGUUCGGUAGUGUUGCAGCUAGUCACACUGUCAACAUAUACUGAAUCUACCUUUGUGUCUGAAACUUUGCCAAGUUCCUACCUAAUCACCCUACAGUACAAAUAUACAGUGUAAUUUUUUAUCAUUUGUACUCAUACACUCUUGUCUUUUUUUAGCAUUGAAGCAGUGAGGUGUGAUAGGGCCUGUUGUUCAUAUCGUUCACUUGGUACUUCGUGCCCUAAUGGACAUCUAGGCAACUUCCUGGUAAUAUCUUAAUGUCGUUUUUCUUUGCUCUUUUAAAGGAAAUCGUCUUGAAUAAUUCCGGGCCUGAACUGAUCUGAAAUGCUUUUGAAGAUGCUAACGGUGCAUUUCCAAUGUGGACGACCAACCAUGUAAGUACUUUAAUUUCUGCUAUCUUUUUUGGUGUUUGUCAUUGCCCUUUCUUUUUUUAUUUCUUAUUUCCUCUAUAUACAUUUUUCUUCAUAUUCUUCUUCCUUUUUGCAGCUAUACUUUCCUGUAACCAUUCGAAAGCAUUGGUUUUCUUUCAUCGUUUCUUUGAAGGAAAGACCCUUUGCUUUCCUUGAUUUAGCUUUCGAUGAGCAUUCUUAAUUUCACUUGCAGAUUUGUCAUCCGCUAGUACAUUACUAAUCAAUUUGUUUCUAGAUUAGUUUCCUUUUUGAAGGCACAAUUUUUUUUUAAUCUUUUGAGAUUUUCUCUUGUAUUUUAAAUUGUAUUCAAAGAAUUAUAAACUUCAUAGGAUUCUGGGAUGCUUUUGUUACUCCCAUGAUGAGGAAACAAAUCGAUUCCGAACAAUUUGACGGUGUCUACCUAGCUGUACCCAACCAGACCAAUAUGUAAUUUGGUUUUUAGUAUGGCUGACCUGAUUCCUGAUUUCCUUUUAUAUUUUGUUCUUGAUAACAUUGUUGGUAUCUUAUUUUUUGUUUUUCUACCUUUAUUCAUGUGAAAAAUCAGGCACGAUUGUGGCGUCUUUACAUUCAAGUUUAUGGAAGUGUGGACUAAAAGGACUCAAGUUACUAACCACUUUUCAAGUGCUGACACAUCCAACUUAAGGAUAAAGUAUGCUAAUGAUAUGUUUUUCAGCGAGUUCAACAGUGUGGAUAAGUUCUAGUUACUGAUUUCUUUGCAGAUGUAAGCACUUCUAUUUUUUAUACUUCAAAUUUACAGAAUAGAAGUUCAUGAUUUCCAGUCAUUUUUUAGUUGUACUUUUGGCUGAAGGUUGCCCAAUUUACGGUACACAUCUACAUCAUUGACUGUCUAUUGUACUGUACAUUUUCUGCUUUUUGGCUCAGUGUCAAUUGCUUCACUUUUUGUGCCGUCCCACUCGCCAUUGAUCUGGUUUUUGUUUCUGAUUUAUGUCCUCAAUUGCUUCAAUUUUUGCUUCUCCUAAUUUAUGUAUGUGUCAAUGAAUUUCUUCUGUGGAUCGUCAUGGUUGGUUUGUUCCUUGCCCAUCGGUCGAUUUCUGUUUUUGCUUGGAUCUGCUCAUUUGGGUAGGAUUCUACUAAUGCUUGGUGGAUUUUGGUCUACUGGUUUGGGUAGGAUGCUACUGAUCUGUAGCAUAGCAUGCCUUCCUGUGUGCAGAAUUUCUUUAUUGUUUUGUUCAGCCAUUUCAAAUCAAUCUUUGACUUUGUGCUUUGGUAUGUGUUAGCAGAUGCAUUUUUUCAAAUUAACCCAUGAUGCUAUGUUGUCUUGACCAGCAGUGUUCCAGUGUUAACUGUAAUUUCUAUUAUGGUUUAAUGUAAUUAUAUAUAUACAAUAGUUUCAGUGUUAACUCACAAACUUACAGUGUAAUUUCUAUUCUUGUUUAUUGUGAUUAUAUAUUUACAAUAGUAUCAGUGUUAACUCACAGAACUUAUGCGGUGGCCCAAAAUCUGGACCCCAACAGCGAAGGAAGAGGGGUGCUGCAGUUAAAGACUGGGUUAAUGUCAGUAAUCAGGGUAUGAGCUACUACUCACCUCAUCUCUUUCCCGUCUUUGGGGUGAAUAUACUACUAUUAUAUUAUUGCAUGACCAUUCGGACACACUUACCUAUGCUACCAGUCACCAACUAGUCUAGGUCACAUAUGUUCGACUGUAGACGCUCUAAAAUGUACUGUUUAUGGGAACAUUUAUUUAGUAAGCUAAUAAUAAUUUACCUUUUUUAUGGACACACUAAUCUGUUUUUCUGUUAUCUGAAUCCACCCACAACGCAUACACAUGUGCAAUUCUGACAACGCAUAAAACUGAUCUUGGAUUGAAUGUUAAGCAUUGCCAUUCUUUUGCUAGUUUGCCAGAGUAAUGUGUUAGUUCAUGCAAGACCAAACGCCCUCACCCAUAAUAAUGCGAUGGUUUCGAUUAUCAUGUAGGAGUAAUGUGUUAGUUCAUGCAAAACCAAACGCCCUCACCCAUAAUAAUGCGAUGGUUUCGAUUAUCAUGUAGGAGUAAUGUGUUAGUUCAUGCAAGACCAUGAACCCUGGCUAGUGGGGACUGAGCUUGGGUGAAUAAACUGCACCUGCCUUUGGUAGGUGUAGUAAGUCACUGAAGCUGGCGUCCGGCUAGUUGGCGAUCACGGGACGCAUUGUAGCCUGACUGAGGCAUUUGAUUUCAACCAUGCAUUUGAUUUCCAUCCCGGCCCAUUCCCCAGAGCCGGCUGGAUCACAUGCUGACAUGCACCAGUGGUGCGCUGCUAGCCCUUUCAUCCCUAUUCCCUAGACUUUGCUCAUCCCUUCAAUGAAGAAAAUAUGCCCUAGAGGCAAUAAUAAAGUUAUUAUUUAUUUCCUUGUAUCAUGAUAAAUGUUUAUUAUUAAUGCUAGAAUUGUAUUAUCCGGAAACAUAAUACUUGUGUGAAUACAUAGACAAACUAAACGUCACUAGUAUGCCUCUACUUGACUAGCUCGUUAAUCGAAGAUGGUUAUGUUUCCUAACCAUAGACAUGUGUUGUUAUUUGAUAAACGGGAUCACAUCAUUAGAAGAAUGAUGUGAUUGACAUGACCCAUUCCAUUAGCUUAGCACCUGAUCGUUUAGUAUGUUGCUAUUGCUUUGUUCAUGACUUAUACAUGUUCCUAUGGCUAUGAGAUUAUGCAACUCCCGUUUGUCGGAGGAACACUUUGUGUGCUACCAAACGUCACAACGUAACUGGGUGAUUAUAAAGGAGCUCUACAGGUGUCUCCAAAGGUACAUGUUGGGUUGGCGUAUUUCAAGAUUAGGAUUUGUCACUCCGAUUGUCGGAGAGGUAUCUCUGGGCCCUCUCGGUAAUGCACAUCACAUAAGCUUUGCAAGCAUUGUAACUAAUGAGUUAGUUGCGAGAUAAUGUAUUACGAAACGAGUAAAGAGACUUGCCGGUAACGAUAUUGAACUAAGUAUUGAGAUACCGACGAUCGAAUCUCGGGCAAGUAACAUACCGAUGACAAAGGGAACAAAGUAUGUUGUUAUGCGGUCUGACCGAUAAAGAUCUUCAUAGAAUGUGUGGGAGCCAAUAUGAGCAUCCAGGUUCCGCUAUUGGUUAUUGACCGGAAACAUGUCUCGGUCAUGUCUACAUUGUUCUCGAACCCGUAGGGUCCGCACGCUUAACGUUACAAUGACAGUUUCAUUAUGAGUUUAUAUAUUUUGAUGUACCGAAGUUUGUUCGGAGUGCCGGAUGUGAUCACGGACAUGACAAGAAGUCUUGAAAUGGUUGAGACAUAAAGAUUGAUAUAUUGGACGGCUAUAUUCGGACACCGGAAGUGUUCCGGGUGAUUUCGAAGAAAACCGGAGUGCCAGAGGGUUACCGGAACCCCCCGGGAGAAGUAAUGGGCCUUAUGGGCCCUAGUGGAGAGAGAGAGGGGCGGCCAGGGUGGGCCGCGCGCCCCCUCCCCCUCUGGUCCGAAUUGGACUAGGAGAGGGGGGUGGCGCCCCCCUUUCCUUCUCCCCCCUUCCUUUCCCCCUCCUAGUAGGAGUAGGAAAGAGGGGAGUCCUACUCCUACUAGGAGGAGGACUCCUCCUCCUUGGCGCGCCCACAAGGGCCGGCCGGCCUCCCCCUUGCUCCUUUAUAUACGGGGGCAGGGGGGCACCUCUAGACACACAAGUUGAUCUUCAUGAUCGUUCUCUUAGCCGUGUGCGGUGCCCCCCUCCACCAUAAUUCUCGAUAAUAUUGUAGUGGUGCUUAGGCGAAGCCCUGCGACGGUAGAACAUCAAGAUCGUCACCACGCCAUCGUGCUGACGGAACUCUUCCCCGACACUUUGCUGGAUCGUAGUCCGGGGAUCGUCAUCGAGCUGAACUUGUGCUAGAACUCGGAGGCGCCGUAGUUUUGGUGCUUGAUUGGUCGGGCCGUGAAGACGUACGACUACAUCAACCGCGUUGUCAUAACGCUUCCGCUGUCGGUCUACGAGGGUACGUAGACAACACUCUUCCCUCUCGUUGCUAUGCAUCACCAUGAUCUUGCGUGCCCGUAGGAAUAUUUUUGAAAUUACUACGUUCCCCAACAGUGGCAUCCGAGUCUAGGUUUUAUGUGUUGAUGUUAUAUGGACGAGUAGAACACAAGUGAGUUGUGGGCGAUAUAAGUCAUACUGCUUACCAGCAUGUCAUACUUUGGUUCGGCGGUAUUGUUGGAUGAAGCGGCCCAGACCGACAUUACGCGUACGCUUACGCGAGACUGGUUCUACCGACGUGCUUUGCACACAGGUGGCUGGCGGGUGUCAGUUUCUCCAACUUUAGUUGAACCGAGUGUGGCUACGCCCGGUCCUUGCGAAGGUUAAAACAACACCAACUUGACAAACUAUCGUUGUAGUUUUGAUGCGUAGGUAAGAUUGGUUCUUGCUUAAGCCCGUAGCAGCCACAUAAAACUUGCAACAAACAAAGUAGAGGAUGUCUAACUUGUUUUUGCAGGGCAUGUUGUGAUGUGACAUGGUCAAGACAUGAUGCUAAAUUCUAUUGUAUGAGAUGAUCAUGUUUUGUAACCGAGUUAUCGGCAACUGGCAGGAACCAUAUGGUUGUCGCUUUAUUGUAUGCAAUGUAAUCGCCCUGUAAUGCUUUACUUUAUCACUAAGCGGUAGCGAUAGUCGUAAAAGCAUAAGAUUGGCGAGACGACAACGAUGCUACGAUGGAGAUCAAGGUGUCACGCCGGUGACGAUGGUGAUCAUGUCGGUGCUUCGAAGAUGGAGAUCACAAGCACAAGAUGAUGAUGGCCAUAUCAUAUCACUUAUAUUGAUUGCAUGUGAUGUUUAUCUUUUAUGCAUCUUAUCUUGCUUUGAUUGACGGUAGCAUUUUAAGAUGAUCUCUCACUAAUUAUCAAGAAGUGUUCUCCCUGAGUAUGCACCGUUGCGAAACUUCUUCGUGCUGAGACACCACGUGAUGAUCGGGUGUGAUAGGCUCUACGUUCAAAUACAACGGGUGCAAAACAGUUGCACACGCGGAAUACUCAGGUUAUACUUGACGAGCCAAGCAUAUACAGAUAUGGCCUCGGAACACGGAGACCGAAAGGUCGAGCGUGAAUCAUAUAGUAGAUAUGAUCAACAUAGUGAUGUUCAUCAUUCAAACUACUCCAUCUCACGUGAUGAUCGGACAUGGUUUAGUUGAUUUGGAUCACGUGAUCACUUAGAGGAUUAGAGGGAUGUCUAUCUAAGUGGGAGUUCUUUAUGAUUAAUUGAACUUAAAUUUAUCAUGAACUUAGUACCUGAUAGUAUCUUGCUUAUUUAUGUUUGAUUGUAGAUAGAUGGCUCGUGCUGUUGUUUCGUUGAAUUUUAAUGCGUUCCUUGAGAAAGCAAAGUUGAAAGAUGAUGGUAGCAAUUACACGGACUGGGUCCGUGACUUGAGGAUUAUCCUCAUUGCUGCACAGAAAAGUUACGUCCUGGAAUUACCGCUGGGUGCCAGGCCUGCUGCUGAUGGAACUGACGAUGUUAAGAACGUCUGGCAGAGCAAAGCUGAUGACUACUCGAUAGUUCAAUGUGCCAUGCUUUACGACUUAGAAUCGGGUCUUCAACGAUGUUUUGAGCGUCAUGGAGCAUAUGAGAUGUUCCAAGAGUUGAAGUUAAUAUUUCAAGCAAAUGCCCGGAUUGAGAGAUAUGAAGUUUCCAAUAAGUUCUAUAGCUGCAAGAUGGAGGAGAACAGUUCUGUCAGUGAGUAUAUACUCAAAAUGUCUGGGUAUAAUAAUCACUUGAUUCAAUUGAGAGUUAAUCUUCCAGAUGAUUGCGUCAUUGAUAGAAUUCUCCAAUUACUUCCACCUAGCUACAAGAGCUUCGUGAUGAACUAUAAUAUGCAAGGGAUGGAUAAGACAAUUCCCGAGCUCUUCGCAAUGCUAAAAGCAGCGGAGGUAGAAAUCAAGAAGGAGCAUCAAGUGUUGAUGGUCAACAAGACCACUAGUUUCAAGAAAAAGGGCAAAGGGAAGAAGAAGGGAAACUUCAAGAAGAACAGCAAGCAAGUUGCUGCUCAGGAGAAGAAACCCAAAUCUGGACCUAAGCCUGAAACUGAGUGCUUCUACUGCAAGCAGACUGGUCACUGGAAGCGGAACUGCCCCAAGUAUUUGGCGGAUAAGAAGGAUGGCAAGGUGAACAAAGGUAUAUGUGAUAUACAUGUUAUUGAUGUGUACCUUACUAAUGCUCGCAGUAGCACCUGGGUAUUUGAUACUGCUUCUGUUGCUAAUAUUUGCAACUCGAAACAGGGACUAUGGAUUAAGCGAAGAUUUGCUAAGGACGAGGCGACGAUGCGCGUGGGAAAUGGUUCCAAAGUCGAUGUGAUCGCGGUCGGCACGCUACCUCUACAUCUACCUUCGGGAUUAGUAUUAGACCUAAAUAAUUGUUAUUUGGUGCCAGCGUUGAGCAUGAACAUUAUAUCUGGAUCUUGUUUGAUGCGAGACGGUUAUUCAUUUAAAUCAGAGAAUAAUGGUUGUUCUAUUUAUAUGAGUAAUAUCUUUUAUGGUCAUGCACCCUUGAAGAGUGGUCUAUUCUUAUUAAAUCCCGAUAGUAGUGACACACAUAUUCAUAAUGUUGAAACCAAAAGAUGCAGAGUUGAUAAUGAUAGUGCAACUUCUUUAUGGCACUGCCAUUUAGGUCAUAUCGGUGUAAAGCGCAUGAAGAAACUCCAUACUGAUGGGCUUUUGGAACCACUUGAUUAUGAAUCACUUGGUACUUGCGAACCGUGCCUUAUGGGUAAGAUGACCAAAACACCGUUCUCCGGUACUAUGGAGAGAGCAACAGAUUUGUUGGAAAUCAUACAUACAGAUGUAUGUGGUCCGAUGAAUGUUGAGGCUCGUGGCGGAUAUCGUUAUUUUCUCACCUUCACAGAUGACUUAAGCAGAUAUGGGUAUAUCUACUUAAUGAAACAUAAGUAUGAAACAUUUGAAAAGUUCAAAGAAUUUCAGAGUAAAGUUGAAAAUCAUCGUAACAAGAAAAUAAAGUUUCUACGAUCUGAUCGUGGAGGAGAAUAUUUGAGUUACGAGUUUGGUGUACAUUUGAAAUAAUGCGAAAUAGUUUUGCAACUCACGCCACCCGGAACACCAUAGCGUAAUGGUGUGUCCGAACGUCGUAAUCGUACUUUACUAGAUAUGGUGCGAUCUAUGAUGUCUCUUACUGAUUUACCACUUUCAUUUUAGGGUUAUGCUUUAGAGACGGCCGCAUUCACGUUAAAUAGGGCACCAUCGAAAUCCGUUGAGACGACGCCUUAUGAACUGUGGUUUGGCAAGAAACCAAAGUUGUCGUUUUUGAAAGUUUGGGGCUGCGAUGCUUAUGUGAAAAAGCUUCAACCCGAUAAACUCGAACCCAAAUCGGAGAAGUGUGUCUUCAUAGGAUAUCCAAAGGAAACUAUUGGAUACACCUUCUAUCACAGAUCCGAAGGCAAGACUUUUGUUGCUAAAUUCGGAAACUUUCUAGAGAAGGAGUUUCUCUCGAAAGAAGUGAGUGGGAGGAAAGUAGAACUUGAUGAGGUAACUAUACCUGCUCCCUUAUUGGAAAGUAGUACAUCACAGAAACCGGUUUCUGUGACACCUACACCAAUUAGUGAGGAAGCUAAUGAUGAUGAUCAUGAAACUUCAGAACAAGUUACUACUGAACCUCGUAGAUCAACCAGAGUAAGAUCCUCACUAGAGUGGUACGGUAAUCCUGUUCUGGAAGUCAUGCUACUAGAUCAUGAUGAACCUACGAACUAUGAAGAAGCGAUGGUGAGCCCAGAUUCCGCAAAAUGGCUUGAAGCCAUGAAAUCUGAGAUGGGAUUCAUGUAUGAGAACAAAGUGUGGACUUUGGUUGACUUGCCCAAUGAUCGGCAAGCAAUUGAGAAUAAAUGGAUCUUUAAGAAGAAGACUAACGCUGACGGUAAUGUUACUGUCUACAAAGCUCGACUUGUUGCAAAAGGUUUUCGACAAGUUCAAGGGAUUGACUACGAUGAGACCUUCUCACCCGUAGCGAUGCUUAAGUCUGUCCGAAUCAUGUUAGCAAUUGCCGCAUUUUAUGAUUAUGAAAUUUGGCAGAUGGAUGUCAAAACUGCAUUCCUGAAUGGAUUUCUGGAAGAAGAGUUGUAUAUGAUGCAGCCAAAAGUUGUUGUGUACCCUUAUUGUUGUGCAUAAAACGGACAAAAGUCUGUUUACGCCCGCGCACUACGCCAUCUGGUAUAUUCGUUUUGCCCCAAACAGACGCACCCGGGCAGGAUGAUGUCGCGCGCUGGAGUUGGCCUAACACAAGGUGAAGGCCAGAUGAUGAAAGUGACGCAUCACACACAUCCGUUGACAAUGCGAGGUUGGCCAACAGUGGAACGCGCCAUGCGAGGAGCGAGCAAACGAUCGACAAGGUGAGACUGUCCGCGUCAACAAGUCGAGGCCGGACGUAGUCCAUGCACGCAGCAACGACACAAGGAAGACGACGAUCAAUGGACACGCGUACUUGUCGGCCCUGUGCAUGUGCGGCACCACCCAUGCAACAUGCAUGGAACACGGCGGCGACCAAGCCCGUCGUGAACGGAAGGAUAAGAGCAUCUUUAGCCAUUGCCCCCCAGGAGGCUUAAAAAUCGCCGCCUGGGGGCGUGCCGGCGCUAAAAUCGACGCUGGGGGCGAUUGGGUUCCCAGGCGCCGCCCCCAGGCAACGAUAUCGGCCCAUUUUUGGUGCAAAUGUGCCUGCUUUUCGGCCCACUUUCAGCGAAAAAUCAGCCUGAUAUCGGCACAAACCGGCUCAUAUUCGCCGCGGUUCGACGCAAAUUCAACAAAAGUAAUUUUUUCUCACAUAGUUCAUCACAGAAAACCAAUAGAAAUCAAAUAGUUCAACAACAAAUAAUUCAAUACAAAUUAUAUAGUUCAACAAAUAGAAACUCAUAUUUCAUCACACGUCGAGCUAGGCGUUGCCUUUGAGCCUUCAUAGGUGCUCCACCAGAUCCUGCUGCUGUUGUUGAUGCAUCUGUGGGCCUCGAAUCUCCUGACGCAUAUUGAGGAAGGCAGUCCAGGUUGCCGGUAUGUGACUCUCCCGAUUCAAUCAUACACUAAUCAUACACGCAAAUGUGUACGAUCAAGAUCAGGGACUCACGGAAAGAUAUCAAAACACAACUCUAGACACAAAUUAAAAUAAUAAAAGCUUUAUAUUACAAGUCAGGGGCCUCGGGGACUCAAAUACAUCAGCUCGAAUACAAACAAGUCAGCGGAAGUAAUCAUAUCUGAGUACAGACAUAAGUUAAACUAGUAUGCCUUAAGAAGGCUAGCACAAAAGCAACAUAGAUCGAAAAGGCAAGGCCUCCUGCCUGGGAGCCUCCUAACUACUCCUGGUCAUCGGCGUCCGUCACGUAGUAGUAGGCAUCCUUAGUGUAGUAGCAGUCGUCGUCGAAGGUGGCGUCUGGAUCCUAGGCUCCACCAUCUGGUUGCAGCAUCCGAAAAGAAUGGAAAGAGCUGGAAAAUGGGAAGCAAAGCAACCAUGAGUACUCAUCCAAAGUACUCGCAAGCAAGGAUCUACACUACAUGUGGAUCGGUAUCAAUGAAAUGGAGAGUAUCUGUAGACUGGAAUGCAGAAUGCCAGAAGAGAAGAGGAAAGCCUAGCCUAUCGAAGACUAGCAUCUUCAGGCAGCUCCAAGCAUCUUGCAGCAAUCAGAAGAGUAUAGAAUAGCAGUUUAUAUUUAGAGGUAAAUACACCACAAGUCACAGAACUUGCACACGACGGUCAGUUUAGUGCGUAAACUUGUAAAAUACGUGUUUCUAGUCAUCUAACUUGUCCUCUUGUUCAUAUACGGUGCUUUCUACCGUAUCCGGCUGUAUCAUUACGGGUGCCAACGUGAUGGGGCCUACAGUCAGUGGCUGAGGUGGUGGUAAUCCACACGCACUGUUUUCUUCUCAGAUAGCACCCUUGCAUUUUAUUUAUUUAUAUGCAGAAAAUUCUCAAAUAAAAGUAAAAAAAUUGUAGCACACAGCGGGAUUUGAACCCACGACCGACCAUGAUUCGCCCCGCAUAGAAGCCACCAGACCAACUGCAACUUUGCGUUUAAUGGAAAAAAUUAUCUUUAUAUAACUAGACCAUGCGAAUUAAAGUAAAAUCAAAACGGAGACAAGGUAAUCCCCGCUUCGAGCUUGAGGGCCCAGUCCAAAAGAAACCUAUAUGCAUUCAUUCUGAAGUAUAUUUUCUUUUAUGUACAUAAUUCACAUUCAAACAAAAAUUUCGUUCAUUUGUCCUAAAAAACUAUGUACAUUCAUUUUGACCUAUAUUUUCGUAUAUCUAAAUUUUCAAAUUUUAAAUUAUUCAAACUCAAAAAAAAUGAUGUUGAUUUGUCCAAAGAAAUUUAUGUACAUUCAUGCUGCACUAUAUUUUCUUUUAUCUAGAUUUUAAAAUUAUAAAUAUUCUAAUUGAAAAAAAUAGUUGAUUUGUCCCAAAAAUUUACGUACAUUCAUUUUACACUAUAUUUCCUUUCAUCUAGAUUUUAAAUAUUUAAUUAUUCGAAAUCGAACAAAAAUUAUUUGAUUUGUCCAUAAGAAUUUACAUACAUUCAUUUUGAACUAUAUUUUCUUUUACCUGGAUUUUUCAGUUUACAUGUACUCGAAUUCAAACAAAAGUUGAGUUGAUUUGUCUGAAAAACAUACAUACAUUCAUUCUGCACUAUAUUUCCUUUUAUAUAAAUAUAAAAAAUUUAAAUUAUUCAUAUUCAAACAAAAGUUUUGUUGAUUUGUCCAAAAGAAUUUACAUACAUUCAUUCUAUAUUGUAUUUCCUUUUGAUCUAGAUUUUAAAAUUUAAAAUUAUUGAAAUUUGGAACAAAAUUUUGUUGGUUUGUCCAAAAUAAUUUACGCUCAUUCAUCCCGCACUAUUUUUUUUCAGGAAUAUAUAUUUAAAGUUAGGUACUAUGUGCAAAAAAUAUUGUCUGUGCAGAAAGAAAAUUAUACAUAGUUUGCCAGCACUAGGAUACAUAAAUUUCAAACUAUAUAAUACAUAGCAGUCUUAUCUCUAUUUAUCACUAAUAAACUAAAAUCAAAUCUAUCUUACAUAGAAAACAAAGAAAGAACAAUACAGAAGAUAAAUUUUGUUUAUGUUGUCAAGUGUCACUGUGGACUGAUGGUCGGCACUUAUACACAAGGCGAGCUUUUAAGAAGGUCAUAUUUCGAACCGGGCCUUCUCCUUUUCAGCACACAAUUUUGUCGUUUUGAUUUCUAUUUUAAUUAGUGCGGUACGUGUUCAAUAAAUAGCACUAACUGUACAUUUGACACAUCAAACUUAGUUGGUCUAGUGGUUUUCUAUGCGAGGCCAAGGGCAGCAGGUCAUUAGUUCAAAUCCCAUCCCGUUCUCCAUUACUUUUUCAUUUUAUUUGAGGAUUUUCUGCAUAAAUUAAUAGAAUGUAAGGGUCCUUUCUGACAAAAAACCGGCCUCAGCCACUGACAGUGGCCCAUGAUCUUGGCUUUUCUACAACAUGUUUGAUAAAUAUAAGAGGUAAAUACACCAGAAGUCCCGUUCUCCAUUACUUUUUCAGUUUAUUUGAGGAUUUUCUGCAUAAAUUAAUAGAAUGUAAGGGUCCUUUCUGACAAAAAACCGGCCUCAGCCACUGACAGUGGCCCUGCCACGUUGGCGCGCGUAUGGAUAUGACUGGGUAUAAUGGGAAGCACCGUAUAUGAACGAGGCGACAAGUUAGAUGACCAGAAAUACGUAUUUUACAAGUUUAUGCACCAAACUGACCGUCGCAUGUAAGUUCUAUGACUUCUGGUGUAUUUACCUCUUAUAUUUAUCAAACAUGUUGUAGAAAAGCCAAGAUCAUGGGCCACUACCUCCGGAUCAUUAUCGAUACCGGAAAACACGUUGAGCGGGGGGCACGAUUGGUUUUUCUGUUCUGCGAGCUGAGGAGUUGUUUACCCCCUUGCACUACUAUUUCCCGACCGCUGCACAUGUUCUUUAUGUGACUUAAUAAUAGAGCAGUCAUAGUUUGAUGGCAGCGAAGCCGAUGGUCGCAUAAGGUUUUUCAGUAAGCGCUUCACUUUUGUCGGAUCUAUUUUCUCCUUUGGCUCGGGCCGUUUCGGUGCAAGCUGGUGUUCCACAUCGGCAUCCACGGCCUUCUUGAGUUCCUCAUCAGUCAGUUCAUAUGGUAGCUUGGCAGGAGCCUCCUUGAUGCUUUGUAGUACUAGCCGCCGGAGCGGCGGUUCUCUUCCGCUUAUCCACCCGUGGUGGAGGCGGCGGAGUCUGCUGACACGACGGAGACGACUGAGGCGACUGAGUCUGCUAACGCGGCGGAGAUGCCUGAGGCGGCGGAGGCGGUGGAGUCUGUUGACAGGCGGAGAUAGAGUUGGAUUGCUACUCUGAGGAGUCGAUAGCCUUGGCGUCCAAUGUGGAAGCACGAUGUGUUCCUUUUCUCCAUAGAAUGGUACUUUUUUUAGCAUCUCCCAGUUCGGUCUCCCCUUCACCUGUAGGGAAGUCAAACUCCAACUGCUCAAAUCCCUAUAUAACUUCAUCCACCUCGACAACAGCAUAGCCAUCUAUAUUGGAGAGCAAUGGAAGUUCCAUCACGUACAAGAGGUAAGGCAAAGCCGACCGCUGCCUUCACGAAUAUGUUCAUGCAUUUCACAUGUAGCUCACCAUUUUCCCUCUGCGCGAUAUCAUCCACGGGGUAGCGAGGAGACGUGAUAUCAUCCAUGGCCCGAACGAGCUCCGUGGAAGCCAGACUGCUUUUCCGCUGAGAUGGUGGGCCGGCAAUAUCGAAUGUAAGAUCUUCGUGCCGCUGAGAUGGGCCGGUAGCUUGCUGGCUGGUAAGUGACUCUAUUUGCUUCUGUUGCAAUGCUAAUUUUUCAUCUAUCCAUUGCAGCCGGUUUGCCUCUUGUUUCUUUUUUCUCCUCGGCUUCUAUAAAUGACACUGCAGUUGGGAAACCCAAUCUUUCACGGAACGGAGCCUGAUGAGCCUCGUGUCCGUCCACUGUGUUUAGCAUUCCAGAGGGCGCAUGUCAACUCGUCGUUCUCUCUAUCGGGAUUGAACUUCCCGUUCUGCACAUCCUUUAUUGCAGCUUUAAGGGUUUUAAGAGUUGUUGCAAGUUGAUCUUUUGUAUAAAUACACUUCCCUGUUUCUGGGUCCAACUUUCCCCAUUCCCGUAGAACCAAGUCUUUGCAUGUUUAGACAUUUCAUCAAGCACCUCUUGUGCAUAGGAAGGGAGAACAAACUAACACACACCUCCCACCUUUUAUGAGGAAAAGCAAAGAAAAGAACGGGCAGGGGCGAGGAUAUAUAUAGGCAAAUUUUUAGUCCCGGUUGGGGUCUAAAACCUGGACUGAAGACAGACCUUUAGUCCUGCUUGGAGACACCAACCAGGACUAAAGGGUAUCGUGCCUGCUGCAAUCCCUUUAGUCCCGGUUGGUGUCUGGAAACCGGGACUAAAGGUCCUAUCGAAUCCGGAUAUGGCCGGCGUCCUAGCCGCUCGAACCGGGACUGAUACUCAUAUUAGUCCCGGUUCGUAACGCGACCGGGACUAUUGCUCCGAUCCGGCUAGAACGAAAGCCCUGUUUUCUACUAAUGUACCGCUCGCAAGAUUCUGGACCUGGUGCAAGUUGAUAUAGAUAGAAAUCUCUUUAGUUUAAACAGUUAAACUGUACUCUAAAAAAAUAUAGUGAUCCAAACGAUCUGAUAUUUCUUUACAUAGAGCGGGUGAUAUGGAUAGACUCUUUCUACAAAAAACAAUAAAUAAUAUCAGUACCAAGUACUAUGAUUUAACCUCUAGUUCUCUUGCGGGCAGUAAAACUGAAUCUAUCCCUGACGAGAAAAACCUAGCUAGAUCGAUCAAACAACCGACUGCCACGACGCAGCAAAGUACAGGUCAAUUGGCACCGUCGACCUUGGCGCUGGGUCUGGGCAGCGUCACGAUAGUGUCCACGUCCGAAGCGGCGCACGUAGCUCCCAACGAGGCCGUGUCCCCGACGCGCAGGCCCCUGCACGACACCAUCGUCCCAUGGUGGUUGCUCCAGUGGGUUCCCGGCAUGGUGACCGCCACAUCGAACACCGGCGUCCCUCGCCGGGCGUCCGCCGCGAGGCCGUCGAGGGCAAACCCGGGGAUCUGCACCGCCGUCCCCCACGCCACGAUGGCCUGCAGCUCCCUGGUCCCCCUUCGCUUGGUGCAGAACCUCUGGACGGGCCCAGCGGCGAGCGGGACGCCGGCGUAGCUCACCUCCACGACCGUGCCGGGCGCGGUGCAGUCGCCGAUGAAGAUGCUCCGCGAGGCGACGCGGAGGGUGAGGUUGAAGAGAGGGUUCAGAUCGUGGCCGUCGAGGCCGGUGGCGGCGUCGAUGGCGGCGGAGUAGAGCGGCUGCUUAUCUCCUAGGGCGACGCACAGGAUCACGGUGAGCAGGCCGAGCACUACGAGCACGGCCACCGCCACCGCCACCAAUACUAAGCUGUCCACCGCGCCCCACCGGCGAUCAUCGAUCUCGCCCAUCGCAUGCAGCUUGCUACGUACCUAGCUAGGUCGUCGAUCGAGAGGCUUCGAUUGAUUAUUACUGUAUAUGGAGGAGGGUCGGCACAGCCAAAGGCAUACGUAGUGCAAUCAGCAUCGAAUUACCUAUUCCCGUUUUGAAUACAGCAAUGCUACCUAAAGAUUUAUGCCUAAUUUACAUAACAACUUAGGUGUCCUUUUCUUGUUAGAUAAGUUACGUAAGAUUAAAUAGGUUCUUACAAUAAGUGUAGCAUUUUUUUAUUUUAAAUAAGAGACGGCCGGCAAAGCAAGCAGAUAGAUAAGCCAUCACGAUUCGUAUGGAAAACAGAUUUGUAAAGUUUCAUCUAAGUCUUACUCCCUCCGUUUCUUUUUACUCUGCAUAUAAGAUUUGGUCAAAGUCAAACUACACAAAAUUUGACCAAAUUUCUAUAAAAAAAUAUGAACAUCUAUAAUACUAAAACUAUAUAGUAUGAAAAUACAUUUCAUGGUGCAUCUGAUAAUAUUGAUUUCAUAUUUUGAAUGUUUAUAGUUUUUAAUAUAAAGUUAGUCAAACUCUAUAAAGUUUGACUUUGACCAAACCGUAUAUGCAGACUAAAAAUAAACGGAAGGGCGUCAUUUGAUUUGAUUUUACACGGAAGAUCAAAUAUUCGCGCUAGGCUUUACCUACCAGCAGCGAAAGAAUCCCUACCCUAGCCAUCCAUGGCGACUAAGGUUGAGCUACUUCACUGAAGUCUAGCGAGAAAAGUCCACAUUACAACCCUGAACUAAUCACAUGGUUUAGAAUUCAACCCCGAACUUCAAAACCGAUGGAAAUACCACCCGAACUAACUACGCGAUCUAAAAAACAACCCUCCUCGCGGUUUUGAUCCAGUCAAGUGGUUUUGACCGAGUUGACCGCUGACUAGGCACUCCUUAUAUGUGGGACCCACCAGAGGAAACAACAAUAAAAAACAUCCCACCCUCUCUUUCUUCCUUCUCUAUCUAGCCAGCAACAGCACAGAGGUGUCGCCGUUCAAGGGCCAGAGGGGGAACCAGCGACGGCGUCUGUAACAUCUGAUGCACGUGUCCCAGUAGCAUCGCCGCCGCGCCUCAUCCCCAACAGCGCCGCCGCGCCUCGUCCCCAGGAGCCCCACCGCCAGUGCAAUUUCCUUGCUCGGCCACGAGCACCUAGGCCCCGUGCACGUCGGCCACAAGGACCUAGGGAGCCGUCGCUCCAGCUUCUCUAUGCGACCGCAUCACGAGGCCCGCUGUCCCCUACGUCGACCCGGCCCCUGGCGGCAUCGCUCCCCUGGUUGGGAUAAGUGGCGGGGAAGAAGGGCAGAAGCUUGAGGACGGUAGGGGCGCCGAGCAGAGCAAGUACGACGAGGGACGGCCCGACUGCUCCUGUUGCCGCCGUUGGCGAGCUGCUGCUGCAACCUAAGGGGAAGAGAGGGAGAGAAGAGAUGGAGGGAGGAAAGAAGGAACCUGCCGGCAUUAUGGUGGCACCAUCGGUCUCCGGUCGCCGGCAGUGGAAGUGUUGGCCGCGAGGCGGCGGCGGGGUGGACUCGGUUGAGGGUGAGGGUGUGAACGAAACAGAAAGAGAUGAGGGAUAAGGCUGGGAUGUAUGUGUGACAUGGCAUGCUGACUAGGCUGCCAAAUUAGCUUUGACUAGGUCAAAACCGCUUGGCCAGCCUAAAUCCGAGUCAAGAGUUGUUAUUUGAACUUUGUGACAAUUUGAGGGUUGAAUCUGACCGGUUUCAAAGGUCAGGGUUGAAAAUCAAACCAUGUGGUUAGUUGAGGGUUACAAUGUGAACUUCUCUCGCGUUUAGCUGGCAUUGAGUCCUUCCCACCCACCACUCCUACCCCUCGUCUCCGAUCGCUUGGAUGGACCCUUGGACUGACCAAGGGGACAUCUAGCAUGUCUUCCCAGCCUAUGGUUGGGGACAUGACGAAGGGGGUAAAUUAGUUCUUCCAGUAGCGGCGGCGGAUGUUUUUUGGCCAUGGCCGCUAUGAUGGCCAAUGAGCACGUUGAUCCAGUGGCGAAUCUAGCCCCCCCCCCCCUCCCACACACACACAUUAAAAAAUAGAAUUUUUUUUACUGGUAUACAGCUCAGCCUCGUAUCAAAAGUUCUACCUUAUUUGAUCUAAACAACUGAGAGUUAGUGGUUUUUUCUUCACACUAUUAACUUUGAGCCACCCUCCCCUUCAUUUUCUUUCAAGGUUCGCCACUGGUCGUGUCUAGGCUGAGCGGCCGGAGAGACGACGCGGCAACAUGAUUAGGGUCUAUGAGAAAAAGACCAACCGAAUCUUGAUAUUGAAUUUUGUGCAUCCAAGUAGAACUGUAGCAUUCUUGUAGUGAUGCUGCGUCUCAAUUCUCAUUUACUCCAUCUUAAAGAAAUAUAAAGCUAGGAUUUCUGCCUCUCGCCGGCGUCGCCGCAGGUCUACCUCGUCUCCGGUGGCCCUAGGGCCAUGGAGGCGCGGUGGAUCCUGCCAAGGGCCGGCGGGAGGGCUUUGUUUUCAGUCGUUUUUUUCCUGUCUUGUUAGGGUUUGUGUCCUACUCAGAAAGGCCAGACGGCGGCGGCUCCCUGGAAAUGGAAUAAAGGUCUCCCCGCCUAGCCCCCGUUCCGGCGGUGCAUCUAGCAUCAUUGGUGAGCGUGUGGAGGUGUGUCUUCAGCGGAUCUAUCUUUAGUGGAUUUGCUCGGAUCUCGUCGUUGUUCGUCUACGUUCGUGUGUCUUCGGGUUGAAUCCUUCCAACCUACGUUAUUCUUCGUCGGCGGCGGUUGCUGUUCUGGUGCGCUGGUCCUAUGGGGCCUUAGCACGACGACUUACCGACUGCCUACUACAACAAGUUGUGCCCGACUUCGGCGAUGGAGGGGUGAUGUGACGGCGGCGCGCCUUCGGCUCGCUUCAAUGCUUGUAGUCGUCGCUAGGUGGUCUACGGAUCUGGAUCUAAUUUUUAUUUCUGGUGUUCAUUGUACUGCCAUGAUUGAAAAUGAAUAGAUUAAAAGUUUUUCCGAAAAAAAUAAAUAAAUAUAAAAGCGCUUAGAUUACUACUAAAUACUCUUUACUGACGAAGUACUUGUCAUUCACUUCAAUCUUCCGAUCUUGCUAUUGAGUUCCGCAAAGACUUGAGUGAAAAAACGUCUUUUCUAUGGACCUGAUCCAUAAAAAAGAGAUGCUAAUCCAUCCUUUUUUUUAUGGACCUUGCUUGACUAAAUGAUCUAUCACUUUUGUAAUUUUAGUUUUGCUAAAGCACAUUUAGAUGUGUCAUAAUUAUUGCGCAUCUAAGUUUCAUGUCAUUGAUCUUACGCGAAGAUUCGUGUGUAUUUUUUUGGUUUUUUUUUAUAUUUGAUUGAGCCAGUUAGAUGUGCAAUAACUAAGUGACGUGCAAAUUUCAAAAUGCAGCACGUGCGUGAGAUGUGAGGAGACGGUUUUGUGUGAUAACCGGGAUUUGUUAGGAUGGUAUACUAACCAUAAAUUAGCAACUGGAAAUGACCAAUUACCCUAUAAAAUUGACGACCACAUUUGGUUAUUUUUUUAGGGGUAAAGACCUGAUUUAUUCAUCAAAGUCUACCUGAAGUGGGAUACAUCUUUGGUCGUGGGGAACGCCAAACUAAACAUGGCGUCCCAGACCUUUAGAAAGAGAAAACUUAGCUAAAUGAUGUGCUUCAUAAUUAACAGCACGACUUUCAAAUCAAAAAGUACAGGAGAAGGUAGAUGAUUUGAUAUUGAUCUCGCUAAUGGUUGCACCAUAGACACCUCGUGCCCGCCUGUUGAUGUCUAGGACGACCUGCUAGCAAUCCUAUGCCACAAUGAACUGCUGAAUGCCCAGAUCUUCCGCAAGGGAAAGGGCUUCCCGGCAUGCUAUAGCUUCGAGUGUAGGGGGCUCACAAACUCCUUUUACUACAAGAGCCGAGCUUCCCAAGUAAUUUCCCUCUUCAUCCCUGCAAACGGCCACCGCAGAACCUCCUCUUCAUGCACGCACACCUGCAUCAACAUGGAUCUUAUAAUAACCCGACGGUGGCUUCUUCGGUCUCGGCUGGCCCGACUGGGGUACUGAAACGCUAUUGUUCUGGUUUUGCUCUUUACUGCUGAUGAUAGCAAGAUCUUGUAAAUAUCUCUGGCCAUGGGAUACCCGACUCGACCCGACCCGAUCCGGCCCGGUCUUGCCUGUGGCACGGGCCUGGGCCUAAGUUUUGAGCCCGAAGGCCGGGCUGGCCAGGCCCGAGCCUGCCAUAUUUAUGAUUUAGGGAAGAGGCCUGAGGCCCUGUGGGCUUUUUCACUGACAGACCGGGCCUAGGCCUGCCAUAUUUGGGCUUUAAGGAAGAGGCCUAGCCCAAGACCCAAGGCCCAACGGGUUUUUUCACUUUUUCACUGGCAGGCCAGGCUUGGGCCUGAAUUCUAGGACCGACAGCCGGGCCGGGCCCGGGCCUAGAUUUUCUGCUUUGGGCUUUGUUAGGCCUAGCCCAACGGAUGUCCAGGUAUACUCCCACAUUACUCUCGAGGAGAGUACCGCUCUAUUUAUGGAUGCCAAUAUCUGGAGAACAUCCCUAGUACUAGCGAACAUGGGUUUUUGUUUUUUUUACCGCACACACUAUUUUAAUAAAUAAAACAAUGUACAACUACACAUACAUACAGAAGCUAUCAGAAAGACCAAGACAUGACAGAUGUCUAGAAAACAUUGCAGAACGAACCCCAUAUAAAAGAUUAUAAAAUAAGUCCCUUGGGAUCCCUGCAAACAAUCAAAUCUCAAGUAGCCAUCGACCCAUCAACGCCGCUGAGAUGCACACUGGGAGAAAGUACAAAGCACCAACAAGCCAAAAUCCUGACCAGCUCCAUAGCCUUGUAGGCGUUGUGAGUAGAAAACUAAACUACAGAAUAGGCACUUCACGAUAUGGCGUGUUGGCCGAGGAUGCUCCUCACGCUGACCGGGAUUAAGAUCUGAUGCAUCCUGCUGCUAUUGCCGGGGGAAAAUGCUAAAUCCGCCGAUGUGGGACCAUCAACCUUGUACUAGCACACAUCUGUCCCACUUGUUAGCGCCGCCAUGAAAGGCGACAACCGCCAACCAAGGAAGCAUAAGGCUUACCGCUCCAAACGAACGAUAAGCAGGCGAGGGCAUCGGCUCAGCAGCGUCGCCGAGAAGAAGGUCACCGUGGUGAGGAAGAGACCAAGGCCACCUUAUUCGACACAGCAUCAAUGUCACCAAAUUGGUGCUACUAGACAAAGACGAAGCACUAAACCUAUGGAACAAUAGGAAGAGAAACAGGAGCCCACCCCCUCCACCAGCUGCGGGAGCAGCGGACAGAGAGGGAUAGAGAUCACUGCUCCCGGCGUCCCAGAGCGGCAGAAAAUGUCGCCUCUACGAAGCGGUUUGCUUUCGUGAGAGCAGUGAAUAUGGGUUAAAAAAACUAGGGCGUGUUUUACGUGAAAAGAAAUCGGGGUGUGUUUUGCUGCCUCAACUUUUUUUAUAUGUAGUCCCGUUGACUACAAAGAUAUCUCAGGCGACUUCGUCAAUCUUAAAAUGAUGUGCCGACUCAGCCUCUCAUAGGUGUUCAUAGGGGUGUGUGUGUAUGUGCGUAUAUAUAUGAGCGUAUGUAUCUGUAUUUUGUUAAAGAAAAAAAAAACUUCUUCCAUGUUUUUUUUUUCGAAUAGGGGGAGCUCAUGGAGAUGCUCUUUAGCUAAAAACAAAUCAAGAAAAGACUCGCCGGUUAGCCAACCCACGGCGGCCGGCCGGCCAAUCUCCCGACCCGACGGCGACCGUGAUGCUUACACAGAUUUUUUUUUAGCUUAAGCAAAUGGAAUGAUUCCUCCGGCGCGGCAUAAUCCGGCCACCUUUCCUUCUCCUCCUCCUCGGUGAGGUCGCGCCGGCUGCCUCCCCAUUCCCAUCACCUCCCUCCCACCACCCCGCGCCAAUGCCUCCCCGUCCCACGCGCCAUGGCCACCGAGACCCCGACCGCCUCCCCCACCGCCCGCACCCUCUCCGCAGCCUUCGCCGACGACCGCCGACGCGAGGCCAGGCGCCGGGCCGUGCCCGCCGGGCUCGUCAAGUUCAUGCUCCACCGCUGGGGCGCCGCCUGCCUCCCCAAGAGCAGGGCCGCCCUCAGCGGCGCCGCCACCCCGCCCCCGCCCCCGCAGACGCAGACCCGGCCGUCGUCCGCGUCGGCGCAGGCGUCGGCACGCCAGCGCCACGCGGACGCGGCGAAUGUCGCUGCGAGGAGGCCUUUGAGGGAGAAAGGGGAAGCCGCCGCCGCCUUCGCGGUCGCCCGAGCGCCGACGCCGACGGGAUCCCAAGACAAACCCGUGACGCCUACCGGCGACGGGAGCGGCUGGAGCGGCGAUACGGCCACCACCGUUGGGAGAGGAGCAAACAUCUGGGUGAGGGUCCCUCGCAAGCGGACGUCGUCGCCGCAGGUGGACUCUCCGCAGCAGCUGUCCGUGGAAUCGACGGCGUCGGCGGCGGAGGACGAGUACGCGUGGGCGGACAGGUACCGGCCCAAUGUGCUCGCGGAAUUCAUCUGCAACAAGGCCGUCGCCGACGAGCUCCACCGGCUGGUACACAUCACAAAUUCCUCUGUCACCUCUAGCAUUACACCUAUUGAGUAUUGAAGCCAAGCAUUGGAACAGAGUGAUGAAUCUUGUCUACAGAAUUCGAGGAAAUGCUUAACUGGGACUAAAUUUUGUGAUGGUUCCUGCAUCCAGGUGACCGAGCAAGAGUGCAACCAUUUCAUAUUCGAAGGCGGACAGGCAGUCGGGAAGAGAAGCAUGGUGCUGGCACUCCUAAGGGAUGCUUUUGGUCCUGAUAAUCUCCAGGUACGAAUUUAUCCUAACCAAACCUUGGUGCUUCAAAUUCAGAAUGCUGUAUGUAUUUACCAUUUCUGUUAUUAUUAUUAACAGGUACAGGAACACUCAAAGAGGAUCGAACUCAAGGGAGAAAUUGCCAGACACGUCGAUGUGAAAGUCAAGAUUUCAGGUCAUCAUGUGGAGGUUAACCUGGCUGAUUUACAUGGCUAUGAAAAUCAUGUCAUAACUACUUUGCUGAAUGAAUCAAUCCUGCCACCAGACUCGAUCUGCGAUCAUACUAACUGCAAAGGUACUACAUGCUCAUACAGUUUGCUUCUCGUUUGAUUGACACUUGUGUUAGCCAAUACAGGAGUUUUUGACAGCUCUUCCUGUUCUUGGUUGAUGUGAAACCCUAUGUAAAAGUGUUACUGGUUUCUUAUAUGCAGUGAUUGUGGUCCACGACGCUGACAGGCUUUCCUCCGAUUUUCAACAUUAUAUCGGUUGGUUUCUGGGAAGGUAUGCAGGUUGCAACAAAAUCAUCUUCUGCUGCUCUGAUUCUUCAAACCUUGAGGCUGUGAAACAUCUAUGCAAGGUUGUCACACUUCAGCCACCUUCAUUUGAGGAGGUACAUUCAACUUCGGUCUGUUUAUUACUUUUAUGGAUGGUUAUUUUCUCAUUAGAGUGCUGGACAAUUUGAUGAAAGAUUAUCUUCUCUUAGAUGAUCAAGGUUCUGGAGUUCAUUGCUAUGAAAGAAGGCAUAGAUUUGCCUCGUGGAAUUGCCAGCAGAAUCACAGUGAGCGCGAGUAACAAUCUCCGACAGGCAAUACGUUCUUUUGAAGCUACAUGGAAAGCAAAGUAAGCACACGGAUCCUUUCUCCUUUUCAUAUUCUGAUGGUAUAUCGCCAUAAUAAUGUUGUCCAUUCUGGAGUGCCAGCAGGCCAGCAUAGCACUGGUCUGUUUACUGUGCAAAUGCUGCUGCCAUGUUAUGACUAAAAAGGAUGCUGCACUACUAAAGAAAUGGUUUCACACCAUGAUUCCAUUCUCCUUUGUUUUAUAAGUGUUUGCAAGGUCCAAGUGGUAUGAUAUUAAUCUUGAGUGAUAGUACUGAAUUUACAUCUGAUCUUUAGAGGACUAGUGUACAACAACAACAAAGCCAGUGUCUGUUUAUUUUUUUAACUAUGGAUCCUACUUUGCUUGUGUCGAAGAAUUACUGUAAUUUUAGUUCUCCAUACUGAUAAACAGCUCCCUUAACAAACACAGCUAUCCGUUCGUAGAAGAUCAACCUAUUCUGACGGGAUGGGAGGAAGAAAUAUAUAAUGUGGCCAAGAAAAUCAUGGAGGAGCCAAGUCCAAAGCAGUAUGCUACCCUUCCACCGUGUUGUUCUGCAGUUCAGUAUGCGUGAGCUUCUUUCUUCAACUUCACUACAAAAAUAAAAUCUACAGAUUUGACUUGUGCACAGGCUGUAUCUCAUUCGGGGGAAGAUCAGAAAAAUGAUUGAGCAUAACGUGUCACCUUAUUUCAUCUUCCGCGUAAGCUCUGCUCUACCUAAUGCUCACAUGUUUUAUCUGAUUUGGGGAGCCCAGUUAAUGCUCGUAUUUGUCAUUGCUCAUUACUGUUCCUUUUUUUCCUUUUCCUUUUGAGAUGCAGCACCUGGUUACUGGACUGAAAAGGGACAGGGAUAAAGAUUUUCAGAAUAGUGUUGAUGAACUGGCAUCGGGGUUCAACCAUGUGAGCAUGACUACAAGCAUCUUCACUCACAAUUGAGAUUUGAGAGUGACAUUUCAUUUCCAUUUCUCAACUAGAUUACAUUGAUGUAUGUGUUCUUUGCCUGCUUGCUUGUGGGCAGUGUGCAGGCCGCAAGUUUCAGAAAGAACAAGUCAAAGAAUACAGAUCUCGGGACACAACUUUGGACAUCAGUAUAGAACAUUUUGCCGUGGAAGGCCGUGACCAAGGGGAAGCCAUCCAAUACUUCAUAAAGAUUGAAGGUAUAUGCUGAUUGUUUUUUGCUUCGGUUCACUUGUGAACUGUAGUCUAACCCUUAGAAAAUCCUGGCAGAAUUCACGGUGAGGUUCAUGAGCUUCUACAGAUCCUGGCAGAAUUCACCGCAAGGUUCAUGAGCUUCAACAUAUGUUUCAUAGAGAAUAACUCGAGUAAAGGGUGUGUUCCAUGAAGGGGGUGAUCCACUCUCUCCAUCGAAAUCAUCUCCAAGUAUUGUCGCACUUCCGAUAAAUAAGCAGUGGCCUCUGCCUGCCUCUGAAUCAGAGCAUUUUAUAUGUUGCUUCGCCUUUGCAUGUAAGAUGAAGACAUACCCGUGUUAUCUGUGUUGUCUGUGCGAAUGUAUGACCACGCACAGAACUUAGCAUAUGUAUGGAGUGGAUUGUGAUGGGCUCCAAAUUGUAAAAAUAUCAACUUCAUAUUUGAUAGUAUAUCAAUAUUAUCAUAUUAGUCGUAUGGAGUUACGUAUAUCAUAUUCAUAUCACUUGCCUUGUGUACUUUGUAUUCUAUUACUCACAACGCCGCAUUCCAAAGCAAGAUAGAGGUUGUAAGUAUGGAGUACUGUGUUUAUUUCAUCACACAAGAAACCACAAUGGUGUGAGGAACAGAUGAACGCGGAUUUUUUGAUGAACAGUAAAAUCAAAAUAAAUAGUAAAUAAAAUUUAAAUUUUCUGUUUCUUUUGUAGAUGUUCAUAUUACUGUGGCAAGUGUACUUGAUAAUUUUCAUGCCAUAUGGGAUAGCAGUGCUUCGUCGAUGAAAAAAACAAAAUUAAGUUUAACAUUUGGAGUUCGACUUUCUUUUUUGCACAAGUCAAAAUGCUCAAAUUUUUCACCUGCAAAUUUGCAUGUACCAUUUGGGUCUAACAAUGAACACAUAUAUUUUUUUUCCAAAUUUUUUUACGUUUGUAAAAUCCAUUUUUAUCACGCAAGAGCAUGUGCUCCCUAGAUCCAAAUUGAAUAUCCAGGAAAAAAAACUGAUUUUAUAGCCACAUUUGGUUGCUUACUUUUCGUGAUAUUAUGCCCCCCUAACAUUUAACAUGUGAAUACCCUUCUGGUUUGAUUUUUAUCAUGACCUUUUCCUGAUAUAAAAAAAAUACCAGGAUGGCUAGUUAUUCUUACUCUUUUGCCAUGAAAAGUAGUUACAAAUUUGAGCAAAAUGAAAUUUCAAACAUACAUAUGUGCUUCUGACAAAAAAAAUCCCAAAGUACUCUACAUAUUAGUGUGUGUGUGUUUUUUUUAUAGAGCAUAUUAGUGGGUAUUUGUUGCCAUGAUCUGUGAAUUGUUGAUAGGUAUUUUCUGUUUUCUGUUUUUUUACUACACAAUAUAUUCAAUAUUUUUCAGACGCCUUACUUUCUAACAUGCACAGCUAAUAACAUAAAAUUUUGCUUGUAAGUGCUCAACCAGUAUUUGGGAUACAUUCUAUAUACCUAAGAGAUUGAUCCCCACUAUAGGUAUUUAUCUCAACAUGCAGCAUGUCCAACUCAGCAACCUGCCACAUCAGCAACUCCUAACGUGACUUUCAAAAAAAAAAGCAACUCCUAACGUGCAUGUAACAUUGAACCUUUUAUUACUGGCAUACAAAACGGACUGAAACGAUGUUUUGUUACCAUCCCUCAUCAGUUUCCAGCCAUAAAUCUUGGGAGGAGCCUUAAACCACGGACUCAUUGCUUUCCCCUGUUUAUUGUGCAGGACGGGAGUGCCGAUCUCCGAGUCAGAGCGCUCCUCCGGCAGGACCGCCGGUAUGGCUAGCCUCCGCAGCUCUCCGUUAAUCUAUCGGACUACGUUCCCGUUGCUGGUGUGUCAGUAUGUGCCCUGCAUCGUCGAGACUCGAGACAGCGACCGCGGUGCCCUGGUCGUCCCCUCCAUCUUUGUCUCUGUUCUGGCUAAGGUAGCUCCGUCGCCGAUGGGCAAGUUGGUUCCGCUCAGUGCCCUCCAAACGGACCGGUUGCUGGGUAGAUUGGAGUCCGGAGCUUGCUUUAUUUUCCUCCCCUCUAAUCUUCACCACGGCAAGUCCCAAUCUUGUCUGUAGCAACGCCUCAAAUCAUCUCUCUCUUCAUCCGCUCCAGCAAAUCCCAUUCCUCUACUUCCCUGCAUAAGUAAAUGACGCGGUUGGUUUUCCCUUUAAGCAGCCAGUUCCCAUGUAGAUGCAGCCUCCCCCAUGGCAUGGUGUAUGGCCGCUAGACAAGACACAUCUAUAGCCAUCGUCGGGUACCAGUUUCAAUCCCCUCUCUGCACCCCAUAGUGCUCGUCGCGAUGGCGGGCGAGCAUGGUGGGUUUCCUGGCAGUGCUUUGAACUCGCUACCUCCUUUCCCUCCUCUCUAACUUCCUGGAACUGAUAUAUUUCCGUUUAAUGCAAAUGGAAAGGGGUACACCCGGUUCAAAAAAAAAAAAGCCCCUCUCUGCAGUAGUACAGUUGCAUAUCAUCUCCUCAUGUAGUCAAGGUGGCCCUGACCCUUGGAUGGAUAUGGCUUACUUUCUUUCGUGUAACUUUGCAGGCAUAUACUGAAUCGGUAGAACUCUCACUAAGCACAUCGCCAUGUUGAUAGCUCAGGUACACUCAUCUCAAAGUAUGUGUAUGUAUUAUUUUCUUCAGAGAAAAACCUUUCAUUAGUUUCCCAAGUACUAGAUUUUUGUCCGUAAAUUUGUAUUUCGUCAAUCUUAAUAUGAAUCAUGCCUUUCUCACCACACUCAUUCAUGGAAUCAUUUUACCAGCCACAUGAUUUACCAAUAGAUGUCUUUAACAAUAUGAUAUUUCAGGCCUCUUGAUUCUUACAAAGUAGGACAUUUGGACACACUAUGUCAGUUUUUAUCUCUUAAUAUUAAUAUAAAAUUAUCUAUAAUAAAGUCCUGCUACAACGUGUAACAGGUUUUCCUGGUCCCUUGAUUCCCAAACUUCCUCUGCUAUGUUUGCUUCUAUACUAUAUCAUGUGCUUGGUAUGCAGAUUAUUUUUGCAGUACCAUCCUUGAGUAUAUUCAGAAACGAGUCAGUGUUGUAUUAUGAGACACACCUACUACUCCUACGUGUUAUUGGUUUUUCCCAAACAUACUAUAUAUGAACACAAUAUUAGCUAGAUUGACUGCCUAAGCCACUUCACUACAACGGUAUUAAGGUUCUUUGGCAUGCAAAACACAACAGAAGGUACAAUUAUUCCAUUGGUUGAUCAUAGGUUUGAAAUAAAUAUUUUUAUCGAACCCUUCUGUUUAUAAGACUGAACAAAAUAGAUGUCCCAGAAAUUUAUUCACAGGGUCAUGCUGUUCGACAGGGUUGUACACGUCUACAUGGACCACGCCAGAAAUCACCACCAUGUAUUCUAAUCCCUUGACCAACCGUAGUUACUUCUGCUGAGAAGUGAGAACCGUCGCAGGUAUAUAUGCAACUUAACUGAGGUUAGUUAGUUUCAUGAGGCUACUUAAAAUCUUCAGUCCCGCUGUAUGAUAGCUAUCGAUUUUCUACAACCUCAUUUGAUCAUCGUGUUCUUGGUAUCAAUCAGACAACAUCCUCUCAAUGUUGACGUCAGACAAAGAUUCCUCAUCCAAAUUUGACCUUUAUCCAUAACUGUCAAGUAAUUUUUGUUCCCUUCUUGGUACCUUUGCAGGUUUAGGUACUAUUUUGGAACAAAUGGCAUUUAGAGAUCCUUCUUUUAGGGACUAUCUUUGAACCCUUAAACCCCAGGGCACUCAACAUUCUUGAAGACAUUUCGGAGUUUAUUUUGGUAUGAAGAGCGUGUUCACAGAGAUCACUUAGGAUACAAGUUAGAAUUUGUGUUGUAGAGGAGGAAGAAUAUUGCUGCCACCAUUUAGAUUUGAGGAUAUGUUCUUGAAAGAUGUUGGCAACCAUUCAUUUUUUUACUACUACCUAUGUACACUAAUAUAAGACAUUUUUUAGUUCAAUUUGUACAGCAAAAACAUCUUACAUUAGUGUACAAAGGGAGUACUAUUUUCUUUGUUUCAUGUAUAAAACCGAGUAAUAGUUUACCAGGGUUUGAAAGAAGAAAUCAUAUUUUAUGUUCCCUUAAGAAAUCGUCUUAUUUUGUUGUACUUUAUUAUGCCUUCUGCUGCUGAUAGUCGUGGUUUCUUUGCACAUACCUGUACUUUUGCAACACACCUACAAUCUCCGUUUCUUUGUCGCAAUCAUGGCGACACAUGUGGGCUCUUUAGAAAAUUCCGACUACAUUCCGACUUCACAAGUGGUACACUUAUCUGUACAUAAUUCUGCAGCAUUGUUGUGGAAUUGUAAUAUUAAUGUUGUCUUCUGUAUGAAAAUAUACUAUGUCGAUCUAUCAUCUAAUAUCUUUUAUUUUGCGAUGGAUUACUACAAGUUCUUCCUAUACUAAGGGCUACUAUAUUGAAUGGUUUACAUCCAGAUGUCAUUCCUUUUAUAUGGCAUUUUGACUAUUUCAGAAGCAGUUGGUGCUAGAACUGUUCUAGCUAUUGGGGCAUAUUGCUAUGUUCACUCAUAUUGCAGGUUGUUUUUCCGAACAUAUUAUAUUUUUCAGCAACUGUAAUUAACAUUUUUAAAUCAUCAUGGUCAUGUGUUGAUGACCCGCUAAUGGUAAUGUAGUUCAUGAUGUUGGGAAUACUUAAAGAGUGCCUUCUUUCAACAGAUAAUGAAUGCACUACAUUGUAGUUUAGUAUCGCUAAGAACAUUGUUCAUGCUACAACUACUAUGGUUCUAUAUUACAUUUUAUAUUUAUAUACCACCAAUGACUACACAUUUCAUUGCAUGUAAGUCAAAUCCAUCAUUAACUGAUUCCCAUUGUUAUAUCUGCGACGUGGGUGUUACUCAGAAAUUUUGCUACAAAGUCCCGCAGCAACGCGCGGGGUGUCAUCUAGUUUGUCAUAACUUUCGUGGUGGCUUAAGUGAGUUGUGAUUUCAGCUCAAAAUGCUACUAACAUGUAGUUGGUGCCCUGGUCAGAGUAAAUGCUAUGCUAUGUAUCCUUGUUUCUCAGCCCCCGUGAUCACUGCAAGAGGCCUGUCUAGUUAUGUUCUCUUGGUUUUUGGGAAGAGAAUGAGAAUGCAGUUAGUUGAAUUUGACUUGUUUUUUGUUGUUGAUAAAAGUUGAAUUUGACUUGUUGGAAUGUGUUUAGAAUUGCGACUAGUGCAGUACCACCCGAGCACAAUCUGUUUGUCAUCUGAGGUAAUCCUUGGUUAUGGAAUGAAAUUUGAGGUCAGUCAACAUUACUCAAUCAUGGCGGAGAAGCAUUCCUGGCCUAAUAAAGGUUCAUAUACAGUUGCCUUUAAAGCUGUGAACCGUCGAAUCAGAGAAGUAGAAGCAGUGAAAUCUUUUGGCGUUCGACCAAAGAGCUAGCCACGGCGGAGCACAUAUUGACAAUACUGUUCCGGCAUUUCAUAUCAUUGGCAUAUUUCACAUUCUGAAAUGUUUGCAGCUCAGUCAGCAAGCCGCACGGAGACGGGUCAUUUUUGAAAGCAGCUUCAGACUGUAUGCACGCUCUGGGUCAGCAGCAAAAUCCACAUCCUGAAGCAUUCGUUGCAUCAAAAGAGUAGAAUUUACACCAGAGCCUUGCCGGUUAAGGCGCUCUAGCGACCUGUGCUCUGUCUAUCAUCUAGGGAGGGACUGGUUGCAAGGACCUAGCAAAAGCAAACAACGUACGUCCUGGCGAGUUGAAGCUGGGGACACGUACUGGGACUGGAGCGUUAGCAUCGAUCGCGCAUUGCAAAAGGAUAUACUAUGAGCAAGGGCCUGAUCUUGGUGGACUUUACCGGUGGGAGAACCUCGACGUUGCCCCUGAUCGAUGAAGGGCCAAACAAUGCCACAAAAUCAAAACGUACUGAAAAUCUGCGAGUGAGAGCCAUCUGUACCCAACUACCCAUCCUUAGUUCUUUGCCACAAAAUGCUGUAUCUGAAUAUAUAGAGACAGCAUAUUGAAGGCUGAACACGGUUAAAUAAUCGAAAAGGAGAGAAACGGUUAGUUGUUCAAUCUUCAGACAUGACAGUAGAUUACACAGUUCAUGGUGGUAAUUGGCAAAGUAGCGGACUCACUACAUCAUUCUGAGCAUUGACCACUACCCGAGGCAAUACAUACAUCCUUUCUACAAAUCCAUCGUCAAAUGAAUCUGAUUCCCUACUUUACAUGAUCAGUGAACAUAAAUGCAUUCGACGCCAAGCACGGCGAUUUUGCAGUUACAAGCACGCCUGGGUUUCCCUCCUCUUUGCCAAAAACGCAAAUCUCCCUUGCUACUGUUGCAUCACAAAAGCAGCGUGUUAGUCUCCAUCAAAUCAGAGUGUUGAUAUUUUGUAAAUUCUACCCUUUGGUGCAAUGCUUCGGGAUGUAAUUUAUGCAAUUCUAAUCUUCUAAAAUAAGAAUAAAAAUAAAGCUUUCUUGCAAUAAGGUGAUCUUGUACUCUCAAGAAACUGAACAUAGUUGAUGCUCGCCUGUCUUUUUUAAACUGAACAUAAAUUGCAGUUCGCGGGUGCAAAACAGUUGCGCCCAAAACAGCAGAUGUAGAAAUAAUGCAACAAACAAUAUCCACUUUCAAAACUCUCCGAUAUCUAGUCAAGAACGGGGCCGUCUGUCAAACAUCGUGAACUGAAACACAAGUAUAACAAGUCGCAACUAAGCCACCACAAAAGUUAGUCGGGAAACACAUUCAGAAGAAGAAAAACAAUAUAUAAGCACUUAAAAAGCCGAUUUAUAUUAUUAGUGGUUCACACAAUAAGGAACAACCAAGAUUGAAAAAAAAAGAUCCUCAAAAAUUAAACAAAUUGUGCAGUCAAAAAAAUGAAAACAAGAGAAUUAGCAUCCUCUGGGAUGAAGAGAUUGUGCACUACAUAAAAUGGAAAACAAGAAAAUUGCUAUCAGAACAAAUAAUUUGUAUAAAGGGACUCUUAUUAGAAUCACAUGUGCAUAUCAAAGAAUUCAUUUUUCAAACUUUAUGCACAUCCGAAAGUUCAUAAUAUUAUAAUUACUUUCCAGAACUAGGAGUACUGUAUUUUUCUCUAUAUAAAUGAUGAACACAAACACAAACUGUAGAUACAAAUUAGCCAGUGUGGCCUGGCUGCAAAUGCAAGAUAGCAAUAUUCCAUAGAGAAAGUUUCCAUAAUAUGAAAAAUCAAUCUUCCGUAACUUUAUUAGCUCCAGAAUUGUACUGAUAUUUUGAGAAGCAUCUAGAGGUUUCUAUGGGAAUAAUCAUUAUAAGACACCAAGGAAUGAUUUUUUAGUUUUCAACAAAGUAAAUAAUGAUGGUUAGCUCAUACCCACAUAUUUCCAUUCAUUUCAUCGUACCACAAACAACUGCAGGAUUCGGUGA
This 137818-nucleotide long non-coding RNA is filed under the name Triticum aestivum (bread wheat). RNAcentral describes it as "long non-coding RNA (TAES_LNC006532)". The record is from RNAcentral. Lineage: Eukaryota; Viridiplantae; Streptophyta; Magnoliopsida; Poales; Poaceae.